AUUUCUCCAUGAUUGAGGUUCCUUUUUUCAUCUGGUAACUCCAAACUCAACAGCGUAUCCACAUACGCCAUGAUUAAUUCUUCACCGUGCUCGGUCUUUUGUUCUUUGGCCCUGCGUCGAGCUUCAAUCAAAGGAAUGAAGAUAUUCUCUUGCUCUCUACGUAGAUCAUGGAGUUCCUUCCAGAGACUCCUAAAUAUUAUUUUUCCAACUCUCGGAAAGAUUUUGAGUAUAUUGAACCGUUGGAGACCGACAAGCAACGCGCGUUGUACAUUUUCAAUUUGUUUGAUUUGAGAUUCGUCAAGCUUGUCCCCAAAACACAUCAAGACAAGAAGACAGAACAUAGCAUACUGAAAAUGAUCAACUAACUUCACCGAAUCAUCCUGUGCGCCGCGAAGCUGUUGAAUGAGGAUACCUAGCACCCAUGAUCUUGCAUUGGAAUAGGACUUGAUGCGAGAAGCAUGGAGUAUUUCUGAAGUCAAGUUUCGAAGUAGAUGACGCCAUUUAGUUCCGUAAUUUUCGGUGUGGAUUUGGCAAUAGUUACUAUUGAUGAUUUCAUUGGCUGGUCGGUUGGAGGUAACAGCGCCUUGUUGCACUAAAGCCUGGUAGGCUAAGGAGUGACUAGCUACGAAUAUGGAGGGACCAGACCUAAUAUUGAGGGUGAUCAUCAUACGACCAUACUUAACCUUGAGGUCACGGAGGAUGGGUUCCAAGUUCGCGGGGGACUUUCUAGCCCAUAAUAAGCUGCCGAUCACAGGAAAAGUGUGCGGUCCGGGAGGGAGUUUCUUUGUGGAAUUGGUAAGAUAGUUGAACAGGAAUUUGAUGAAGAAAGAGAUGCAGAGAGUUAUGACAGUGACUACCCAGCUCUCCAUUACUCUCUUCCAAUUGCACUACGUGAGAUGAGUUUUCAUUUUCAUUUGUGUAACUAUAAAACAAAUUAGAUAUAUGUUCUUUUCCAAAUUUAAUAUACAACUUCAAGUUAGAGUAUAUGUUCUUUUCCAAAUUUAAUAUACAACUUCAAGACAAGUUCAAGUUAAAUGUGAUAUUUUCGGGGCCAAAUAUAGUUUUCCCAGUGAAUUAGUGUCCAACGAAAAUAAAAAGCAAUUUAGAAUACCUAAUCUAUUGGAACAGAAUUUAAUUUGGAUGAGGAUAGAUUUAAUUGUUACAUGCUGCUACAAUUGAUUUAGGAAAUUUAUCAGUUCUAAUUUGGCAACACCUAAUCUAUUGAAACAGAAUUUAAUUUGGAUGAGGAUAGAUUUAAUUGUUACAUGCUGCUACAAUUGAUUUUGGUGUUAGUGAUAAUUAUAUAAGAAAUUCAAAAUAAAACUUGCUUGACUUAGAGACACGAUAAUACGCUUCUUGAAGAUAGUUGGAGUCUCUCCCACGAGCAAACGGAAGAACUAGUAACAACUCUAUCUUCGGGAUUCAACUAAGCCAUCAUUCAAGAAUGUUGCUCUUCUAUUCUUGAAUUAGUGAUUUCACCAUUUGAUCAAUAUCUCUCAAAUGUUUUUCAAGGGAAAAAUAAUUUUUGAGUGCUUGUCUUUUCAAACACAUGAAACACUAUUUACAGAAUUAAAGUUUGAUGUAAAAGAUGAGUAUUAAUUAAGUAAUAGUUAAUAGGUUCAUGAAUAGUUUAAAACAAAAAAUUAUUUUUCUUUCAAGAACCUAUAAUGUAAAUGAAUGAAUUGUAAAAUUCUCAUUCAUUUUCUUUGUAACUCAAAAUCUUUCAAGUGAUGCAUUUGUUUCAAAAUUUAUUGAAACAUAAACUUAAACAAUAACAUAUAUCAACAAAAGUAAAGCUCAUGAAUACAUGACUUCAAGAAAAUUUACAUGUUAUAAAGAAGGUUAUAGAGGAAAAAACAAGCUAGAUGGGUUGGUUAAGAAAGCUAGAAAAGAAACUAGGACUUGACGAAAGUGUUUUCACGUCAUGACUCCACAUCAACACAUUAGGGUCUAAAAUGUCCGCAACCAUAAAUAUAGAUGGUGGCAUUCUUUGGGACAACAUAGCCGUUCAGUUCUACUUCCUCCGUCACCGUGUGUGAAAGCACAAAAUGACCAGGUGGAUGCCGCCUAAGACCUUCCAAUAUCACUGCCUUCAAGUAGGGCAAUUUCAUGCAAAUCCUCCUCCUUCACUACCUCCUAAGACCUGCAAUUUCUUGAUAUAGUUUUUCCUGAAUGGAAGGGCUUUUGACCAAGUUGGCCAUAACCACUGUAAGGCAGUGGAUGUCAUAUCCGUUCCGGCGUUUAGGAAUUCACUGCAGAGAGCAACGAUUUCUCCAUGACUGAGGUUCCUUUUUUCAUCUGGUAACUCCAAAUUCAACAGUUUAUCCACAUAAUUAGCCAUGAUUAAUUCCUCAAGCCCUGCUUCGAGCUUCAAUCAAAGGAAUGAAGAUAUUCUCUUGCUCUCGUCGUGGAUCAUUUAGUUUCUUCCAGUGAUUCCUAAAAAUUAUAUUUCCGACUCUAGGAAAGAUAUUGAGUAUAAUGAAUCGUCAGAACCUACACGCACCGUGAGCUGCACAUCACUACAUUUUCAAUUUUUUUGAUCUGAGGUUCGUCAAGCUUGUCCCCUAAACACAUCAAAACAAGAAGACAGAACAUAGCAUACUGAAAAUGAUCAACUAACCUCACGGAAUCAACUUGAGCGCGACGGAGUUGCUGAAGGAGGAUACCUAGCACCCAAGAUCUUGCAUUGGAAUAGGACUUGAUACGAGAAGGAUGGAGUAUUUAUGAAGUCAAGUUUCGACGAAGGAGACGGCAUAUAGGGCCGUCAGGGGCGGAGCUGAUGUUUUGCUGGUUAUUAUUGACUAUUUCACUAGGGGGCCUGUCGGAGAAAACAGACCCUUGAUGGACUAAAGCUUGGUAGGCUAAAGAGCGACUAGCUGCGAAUAUGGCAGAACGAGACCCAAUUCUUAAUAAUACUUCAGAAAUGAUUUUAAGGAAUUAACUUUCCGGGGCAUGUUAAAUUGAAGACCCAGCAACGUCACAUACUUCUUUCUGUACCAUCAUUUCAAAUAGCGCAGAUCGUGUUUCCACAGACAAAACAAACAAAAAAAAAAGCAUAUAUUAUAUGCGCUCAGUUUAAAAAAGAAUUACCGACUUUUUUUUUUAAUUCGUUUAAAAAAGAAUAACCUCUUUCCGUUUUUGGCAAUACUUUAAUUUCAAUUUUUCACAUGGCAUAUUUAGGACCACAAGAUUAAAGAACAUUUUGGUACAUUUGACACAACUUUAAUUUAAGAUCACAAGAUUUAAAAAUAUUUUUUAUUUUCUUAAACUUUAUGUCAAGUCAAAAUAGGUCAUUCUUUUUUAAACGGAGGGAGUAACAAUAUAUGACAAUACAAUACAAUAAAAUACAUUACAUUACAAUACAGUACAAUAACAACUAACAACCAUACAAACAAUCCGAGCAUGUGAUUUUGCCACUAACUUCUACUAGAGGGAAGUCCACAAGAAAGAAUAUGCAAAUAGAAAGAACCAAUUACCAAGAGUUAACUCGGCGACAGAUACGAGCACAUGGUGGAUUCUUCAUCAUAAUGGCGAAUUCUUGCUUCUCCGAAAGAUCAACAUCGUCUCCUUCCACAGGAUUCAAUUGAAAAUGCCAAAUCAGAUUAGCCACAAAAUAUUCUAAAUGAAGCAUAGCCAACGCAUAGCCAGGACAUAUUCUCCUCCCUGCAUCGAAUGGCAUCAUCUUGAUCUCUCUACUUACUGUUAUAUCGAAGGCUUCCUUAUCUGAUCCUUCCAUUAAGAACCUCUCAGGCUUAAACUCCAAGGGAUCCUCCCACACCUUUGGGUCUAAGGCCAUGUCUGCAACCAUGAAAUUGAUGGUCACAUUCUUUGGGAUGACGUAGCCAUUCAUCAGUUCACCUUCCUCCAUCACCUUGUGUGGAAGCACAAAGUUAUCAGGUGGGUGUCGCCUAAGACCUUCCAAUAUCACUGCCUUCAAGUAGGGCAUCUUUUGCAAAUCGUCCUCCUUCACCGCCUCUUCUGUCAACCUGCUCUUUUUUUCUCCCACUACACAGGCAAUUUCUUUAUAUAGCUUCUCCUGAAAAUUUUUCGGACUAAACCUGCGGAAAAAUGCAAGUUUAUAUAGCGAUGAAGUGCUUCUUCAGAAAGGAGGCAAUGGUUCAUCGUAAAGUCAUACUUUUUCCCAAAACAGUGUGUCUUUUACUCAAAAAAUUGUGUCCCUUCCAAGCAACUUUCAGCGUUUCUGCAUGCUUCUCGUUAAUGGAGAAACAAAAACUGCAUGCACGCGUUAAUGGAGAAACAAAAACUGCAUGCACGCGUUAAUUCCUUGGAUUUUCGGACUAUGUAAAUAAACAAGCCGAAGCCGAGUGAGCGACGACGACGCGAGGCACCUCUUUGUUCUUGCCUCACUAUCCAAGUGGAGAUGUGACUACUUCCUCUGUCACGGUGUGAGGCAGCACCAAGUGACCAGGUGGGUGCUGUCUAAGACUUUCCAAUAUCACCGCUUUCAAGUAGGGCAUUUUCUGCAUAUCCUCCUCCUUCACUACUUCGCAUCACCUGCAUUUCAGUUCUUGUCGUAUCUGUUCCGGCGAUUAGGAAUUCACUGCAGAGAGUAACGAUUUCUCCAUGACUGAGGUUUCUUUUUUCAUCUGGUAACUCUGAAUUCAACAGUGAAGAUAUUCUCUUGCCCUCAUCGUAGAUCAUUGAGUUCCUUCCAGUGACUCCUAAAAAUUAUAUUUCCAACUCUAGAAAGACAUUGAGUAUAAUAUAUCGUCGGAAACCGACACACACCGUGUGCUGUACGUUACUACAUUUUCAAUUUGUUUGAUUUGAGGGUCUUCAAAUUUUUCCCCAAAACACAUCAAGACAAGAAGACAGAACAUAGCAUACUGAAAAUGAUCAACUAACUUCACGGAAUCAUCCUGUGCGCCAUGGAGCUGUUGAAGGAGGAUACCCAGCACCCAUGAUCUUGUUGUUUUCGAUGUUUUCGGGUACAAGAAUCUGUAUUUAGGCACAACAACUUUAACACUAGUUCAAGUUUAAAACAAGAACACUAUGAAGUACAAAAACAUCCUCCACACAAGAUCAAAGUGAUCGUUCUAAGAAGUGUGUUUUAUUUUUUCAGAAAUUAAGAUGAAACAGAAAUAUAAAGCCAAGUCCCCCGACUUCACGGAGUGUCCUUAAGGAAUAAUUUCUCUCACUGUACCCGAGGUUUUGGAAUCUUCCUCCCAGGAUAAAAUGGCUUUCAAUCCAACUAUAGUGGUACCUCAAAUAAUUGGAUUUGUCGAACUCACUCAACGAUUUGAUGGAUCACAAAGAAUGUUUUGAAGACAAGAAGAGUUUUUAUUUCAGAAAUUUUUUCAUUCAUCUCUAAACCUGUGGAUGAAAGAAGAUUUAUAUAGCCAUCAGAUGGCUCUUCUGAAAGGUGGCAAUGGUUCACUUAAAAGGUUUAUCGUUUGGAAGAGUCACGUCUGUUCAUUCGAAACAUUGUGUCUUUUUCUGAACAGACACAACUAUCUAAACAGUCACACCUUUUCCAAAACAAUGUCUUUUGCUCAAAGGUUGUGUCCCUCCAUUUUCUAUUCACACCAAUUAAAUCCAACAAUCCCCCACAUGAAUGGGGAAUGNNNNNNNNNNNNNNNNNNNNNNNNNNNNNNNNNNNNNNNNNNNNNNNNNNNNNNNNNNNNNNNNNNNNNNNNNNNNNNNNNNNNNNNNNNNNNNNNNNNNNNNNNNNNNNNNNNNNNNNNNNNNNNNNNNNNNNNNNNNNNNNNNNNNNNNNNNNNNNNNNNNNNNNNNNNNNNNNNNNNNNNNNNNNNNNNNNNNNNNNNNNNNNNNNNNNNNNNNNNNNNNNNNNNNAAACACGUCCCGAUUUCAUGAGAGCUUAAAGAAUAGGCCUUUACUAACAUUCUCCUUGAAGCGGCUUCCACUUCGCCCUCACAUAGGUGAUUUCUGUACUUUAAAUCCUAUAGAUUAAACUAUUUGGUCAAAUCUACCAAAGUUAGAUAAUCAUUAAAAGACUUUUCACCUUAAGUCUUAUCCUUGUUUACUACACAUUGUCUACAUCAUGAGAAUGGGUUGGGUAAUUGACAAUGUUGAACAUGUCAAACACAACUUUAUUUGAUCUCCUUGAACCUAACUCUUGGGAUCUCCAGUCUACUUGGUAGAGUUACUGCCAUGCUGACUUGUCCUAGGCCUUAAACCCAUUCCCUUGGAUGUCCUUUCCACCCCUUCUCUAGAUAGGCCUUUUGUAAGUGGAUCCAAUACAUUAUCCUUUGACUUUACAUAGUCAACAGUGAUAAUUCCACUAGAGAGAAGUUCUCUAACGGUAUUAUAUUUCUAUCGUAUGUGACAAAAUUUACUGUUGUACAUCAUGCUCCUUGACCUACCUAUUUUCGCUUAGCUAUCACAGUGUAUACAUACUGGUGCUACUGGUUUGGGCCAAUAAGAAAUAUCUUCCAAGAAAUUCCAGAGCCAUUGUGCUUCUUCACCAGCUUUAUCCAAUGCGAUAAAUUUAGAUUUCAUUGUAGAGCGAGCAAUACAAGUCUGUUUGGAUGAUUUCCAAGAGACUACUCCUCCACCGAUAGCAAAUACAUAUCCACUUUUGGAUUUUACUUCGUUCGAUUCGGUGAUCCAAUUUGCAUCACUAUAUCCUUUAAGUACCGCAGGAUGUUUAUUAUAAUGCAAGGCAUAGUCUUGAGUGUAUUUAAGAUACCCCAAAACUCUUUUCAUUGCCAUCCAAUGAGUUUUGCUAGGAUUACUUGUGUACCGACUCAAUUUACUAAUAGUGCAUGCUAUAUCUGAUCGUGUACAGUUCAUUAUAUACAUUAAACAUCCCAAUACUCUUGCGUACUCCAAUUUUAAGUUACUUUCACCUUCAUUCUUUCGAAGUGCAAAGCUCACAUCCAAAGGAGCCUUGGCAAUACCGAAUUCCAUAUACUUGAAUUUGUCAAGUACCUUUUUCGAUAUAAUGAGACUGUGACAAUGCCAACCUUUGUGGAGUUCUAUGGAUUCUUAUACCUAAGAUCACAUCCGUAACUCCAAGGUCUUUCAUAUCAAGCUUGCUCUCGAGCAUUCAUUUUGUUGCAUUUAUGUCAGAAAUGUUUUUGCUAAUGACCAACAUAUCACCCAUAUAUAAACAAACAAUGACUUGGUGAUUUGGAGUGUCUUUAAUAUAAACAUAUUUAUCACAUUCAUUUAUUUUGAACCCGUUUGCCAACAUGGUUUGGUAAAACUUCGCAUACUAUUGUUUAGGUGUUUGCUUUAGUCCGUACAAUGACUUAAUAAUUUUACACACCUUAUUCUCUUUUCCUGGAACUACAAACCCUCAGGCUGUUCCAUGUAAAUUUCUUUCUCCAAUUCUCCAUUUAAGAAUGUGGUUUUUACAUCCAUUUGAUGGAUUUCAAGACCAUAUACCGCCGCCAAGGCAAUUAACAUUCGAAUCGAUGUUAUUCUUAUUACUGGUGAGUAUGUAUCAAAGUAAUCAAGGUCUUCUUUUUGUUUGAAGCCUUUUACUACAAGUCUUGCCUUGUAUUUGUCAAUAGUACCAUCCGCUUUCAUUUUUCUUUUGAAGAUCCAUUUAGAACCUAAAGGUUUAUUUUCUGAAGGAAGGUCAACCAAUUCUUACGUAUGGUUGCUUAAGAUUGAAUCAAUCUCACUAUUGACUGCCUCUUUCCAAAAGGAUGAGUCUGACGACGACAUCGCUUCUUUAAACAUUUGAGGCUCAUUUUCUAAGAGAAAUAUUACAAAAUCUGAUUCAAACGUAGUAGUUCUUUGACGUGCACUACGUCUUGGAUUCUCUCUUCAUUAUGUAUAUUCUCACUUGAUUCAUCUCGAGGUCAUUUAGAUCCUCCACUAGAUUGUUCAUGUCUAGUUUUAUACGGGUAGAUGUUUUUAAAGAAUUUAGCAUUAUCUGAUUCAAUUACCGUAUUUUUAUUUAUAUCUGGAUUUUCGGAUUUAUAAACUAAAAGCCGACAUGCUUUACUGCUUUUAGCAUAUCCUAUGAACACGCAGUCCACAGUCUUAUGUCCUAUCUUAACCCUCUUAGGCAUAGGAACUUAGACCUUUGCUAGACAUCCCGACACUUUGAAAUAUUUCAAGUUGGGUUUCCUUUUUUUCCAUUUCUCAUAAGGAAUUGAUGGUGUCUUACGAUGGGAAACUCUAUUGAGUAUACGAUUGGCUGUAAGGAUAGCCCCCCUCAACAAGUUUUACGGUAAAUCGAAACUUAUAAGCAAGAAAUUCAUUAUUUCCUUCAAAGUUCGAUUUUUCCUUUCCACAAUUCCAUUAGAUUGAGGUGAAUACGAGGCCGUAGUUUGAUGGAUAAUUCCAUUCUCUACAUAAAUUUCGGCGAAAGGAGAUUCAUAUUCUCUGCCCCUAUCACUUUUUAUCAUUUUUAUCUUUUUCUCUAACUGAUUUUCUACUUUAUUUUUGUAUUGCCUAAACACAUCUAUUACUUCAUCCUUACUAUUUAGCAAGUAGAUAUAACAAUAUCUAGUGCAAUCGUCAAUAAAAGUUAUGAAAUACUUUUUCCCACCACGUGAUGGUGUUGACUUUAUAUCACAAAUGUCAGUGUGUACUAAGUCUAAAGGAUUGAGAUUCCUUUCAACGGACUUAUAAGGAUGCUUUGCAUACUUUGAUUCCACACACGUUUGACACUUUGAUUUAUUGCACUCAAAGCUUGGCAAAACAUCUGAGUUAAUCAGUUUUUGUAAUGUUUUGUAAUUAACAUGGCCUAAACGUUCAUGCCAUAAAUUAUAAGACUCAAGCAAGUAAGAAGAGAACAUUUAUUUAUUUAAACAUUCAUUACAUUCAUCUUAUAAAGGCCCUCGGUGAGAUAGCCUUUUCCUACAUACAUUUCUCCUUUACUAAUUACAAUUUUUUCAAAAACGGUAACACAUUUGAAUCCGUUCUUAUCUAGAAGUGAAAUAGAAAUCAAGUUUCUACGUAAUUUCGGAACAUACAAGACAUUGUUCAGCGUCAAAACCUUGCCUGAGGUCAUUUUCAAGCACACUUUUCCUGUUCCUUCUACCUUAGCAGUAGCGGAGUUAGCCAUGUAGAUCAUUUCUUCUAGUUGAGCCAGAGCGAAUGACGAAAACAACUCUUUGUUGGCACAUAAAUGGCGGGUGGCACCAAAAUCCAUCCACCAUUCGCGAGGAUUCCCCACCAAGUUGCAUUCUGAGAACAUAGCACACAGAUCAUCACAUUCUUUGUUGGACUCAACCAUAUUAGCUUGGUCCUUUUUCUUGCCUUUAUAAGGACACGACAAUCCGUGGACUUAUGGCCAAUUUUGCCACAUUUGAAGAACUUUUUCUUGAAUUUCUUCUUAGGUUGAUUGCUUCCUUGUUCAACUUUCUUCUUUUUCUUAGAAUUGUUUUGGUCAUCUUCUACAAUAUGUGCUCCAUUAAUUGUAGAAUUCUCUUUUGACCUUCUCUCAGCAGCCUUAUUAUCCUCUUCAAUACGCAAUCGGACAAUAAGAUCUUCGACAGUCAUUUCCUUACGUUUGUGGUUCAAGUAGUUUUUGAAGUCUUUCCACAUAGGUGGUAGCUUCUCAAUGAUCGUUGCUACUUAAAAUGCAUCAUUCACAAUCAAACCUACAAAACAGUUUAUGUGAGUACUAAGAACAUUUUCAAUUUGUUCAACUAAGGUGUUUUUCAAAGAUAUACCUUCUACUAAGAGAUCAUGGAUGAUUACUUGCAAUUCCUGAACUUGAGAGACAACUGAUUUGCUAUCUAUCAUUUUAAAGUCCAGAGACCUUGCAACAAAGAAUUUCUUAAUUCCCACAUCCUCUGUCUUAUAUUUUCGUUCUAGUUCCCCCCAUAAUUCCUUCGAUGUCUUAGUUCCACUGUAAACAUUGUAGAGGUCGUCUUGGAGACCACUCAAGAUAUAAUUCCUACAAAGGAAGUCUAAGUGCUUCCAAGCCUCUACAAUCAUGAAAUACCCUUUGUCUGAGGUUCCCUCGUGCACCUCAGAAGCAUCCUCACUAGUGAACCUUUGAAGGCAUAGAGUGGUGAGGUAAAAGAACAUUUUUUGCCGCCAUCGCUUAAAGUAAAUGCUCGCAAAUUUUUCGGGCUUCUCCGCAGGUGCCAUUGGUUGCGAAGCAUUUGCUCGACUUGUUGAGGCAAUACUAGUUGCCCCCACAGACGUUGCCGCAUCUUGCAUUUGACUUUCAUUAGUCAUUUUUCCUAUUACCACAAGACAAUAAAUUUAGUAUUUUCAGAAUACUACUUAUAAAGUUAAACAACUUUAAACUCUUCUUGUUUCUUAACAAUGAAGUUUUUAUGACUUCAAAUUGUCAACCGAGUGAUCUUUAACUUGUGAUGGAGAUUUUAUGUCUUCUAAUCACUAGUUAAAUUCAAACAGAGUAGAAAACUUAAAGCUGUAAUCUCUAAAAACAAGCAAUACAGAUUCUGAAAAAAAAAACUUUAGUGAAAAGAAAAUUUCACCAAAAAAGCAAAAUUUUUUUUUCAACAUUAUUCCUUAAGAUUGUUGUUUUAUGAUGUUUUCGGGUACAAGAAUCUGUAUUUAGGUAUAACAACUUCAACACUAGUUCAAGUUUAAAACAAGAACACUAUGAAGUACAAAAACACUCUCAACACAAGAUCAAAGUGAUCUUUCUAAGAAGUGUGAUUUAUUUUUUCAGAGAUUAAGAUGAAAAAGAAAUAUAAAGCCAAGUCUCCCGACUUCAUGGAGUGUCCUUAAGGAAUAACUCCCCUCACUGUACCCGAGGUUUUGGAAUAUUCCUUCCACGAUAAAAUGACUUUCAAUCCAACUAUAAUGGUACCUCAAAUAAUUGAAUUCAUCGAACUCACUCAACGAUUCGAUUGAUCAAAUGUUUUGAAAACAAGAGUUUUUUUUCAGAAAUUUAUUCAUUCAUCUCUAAACCUGUGGAUGAAAGCAGGUUUAUAUAGCCAUCAGAUGCCUCUUCUGAAAGGUGGCAAUGGUUCACUUAAAAAGUGUAUCGUUUGGAAGAGUCAUGUCUGUUUAUUCGAAACAUUGUAUCUUUUUUUGAACAAACACAACUAUAACAGUCACACCUUUUCCAAAAUAAUGUCUUUUGCUCAAAGAUUGUGUUCCUUUAUUUUCUAUUCACACCAAUUAAACCCAAUACAUCUUCCAUUGGAACAGGACUUGAUGCGAAAAGGGUGGAGUAUUUCUGAAGUCAAGUUUUGACGAAGAAAACGGCCGUAAAGGGCAGAGCUAAUGUUUUCGCUGGUUGCUGUUGACAAUUUCACUAGUGGACUGGUCGGCGAAAACAGAGCCUUGCUGGACUAAAGCUUGGUAGGCGAAAGAAUGACUAGCUACAAAUAUGGUGGAACGAGACCCAAUACUGAGGGUAAUGAUAGGACCAUGCUUCACCUUGGAGGUCACGGAGCAUGGAUUCCAAGUUCAGGAAGGUCCUUCCGGCCCAUAAUAAGGUCCUUCCAUUACUAUCUUCCAACACUACUUCUAUCAACACAAAAGAUAUGAGUAACAAAGGAGAACUAUCUAUACAUUUUGCAGCUGAAAAAAUGCAGGGCCUCGUGUAAUUUCACCACCUUCUUUUUUUUCACAUUUUUCUAAGUCUAUUAGUUUAUGAGUAGAUUUGAAGGUCGUUGAAAUUCAAGUGCAAAAUUCAUUCUACAUCCUUACUAGCUGCUGAAAUUUGAAAAUGGAGAAAGAAUUUGUAAUUUAUUAUGGUUGAACCGUGAAAAAGCUUGAAGAAGAAGAAAUAAAUUUAUCAUAUUCUUGGUUAUUGUCCAAAUUGAUUAUAGGGUUUCGUGAUGAUAUUGUUAUGAAGUUGUAAUUGACAUUUGAGCUUGAUUGGUGUGGAUUUGGUUGAGUUUUUGCUGAAUUAAUGAUGAGACCCAAAAAUGUAGAAGCUGGAGAGCAUUGCAAAAAUUCUUGUAAGUCUUCAAAAUCAGCUUUGGGCUGCCACUUGGCCAUUUCAUAUUGAUUAGAGCAUUUCUUUUUAGUUUUUUGGCGCGCUUGAGGUAAGUGUUUUCACACGAUGGCUCCGCGUCAACACAUAAAAUGCAAGAAAAAAAGUUUGGAAAUACUUAUGUUUUCUCCUUAUUAAUUUCUAUACAAAGCUUCAUGGCAAAAUUCUAAUCUGAAUUGCCAGAGCUCAGUCAACUAUGAUAUAGAUCCUGGCGUCUUUUACAUUAUCACCAACGUACUUGCCCCAUUUCCAAUAUACCAAACACAAGAAAUGAAGUUGCUUUAUGUUGAACAAACCUUUUAGGCCAAGAAAGUUCAAUAAUAUUAUCUGAUGUUGUACUUCACAAAAGAUUUUAAGGAAUUAACUUCCUGGGGCAUAUUAAAUUGAAGACCCAGCAACGUCACAUACAUACAAUGCAAUACAGCAAUACAAUACAAUACAUUACAUUACAAUAACAAGUAACAACGAUACAAACAAUCCGAGCUGAUAUUGCAUCAAGACAUUUACCGUGAUUUACCCACUAAAUUCUACUAGGAGGGAAGUCCACAAGAAAGAAAAUGCAAAUAGAAAGAACCAACCAAUUUCAAACAGUGUUAAACUCGGGGACAGAUACGAGCUCGUAGCGGAUUCUUCAUCACAAUGGUGAAUUCUUGCUUCUCCGAGAGAUCAACAUCAUCUCCUUCCACAGGAUUCCAUUGAAAAUGCCAAAUCAGAUUAGCCACAAAAUAUUCUAAAUGAAGCAUAGCCAAUGCAUAGCCAGGACAUAUUCUCCUCCCUGCGCCGAAUGGCAUCAUCUUGAUCUCUCUACUUCCUGUUAUAUCGAAGGCUUCCUCAUCUGAUCCUUCCACUAAGAACCUCUGAGGUUUAAACUCCAAGGGAUCCUCCCACACAUUUGGGUCUAAGGCCAUGUCCGCAAGCAUGAAAUUGAUGGUCAAAUUCCUUGGGAUGACGUAGCCGUUCAGUUCAACUUCCUCCGUCACCGUGUGUGGAAUCACAAAGUGACCAGGUGGGUGUCGCCUAAGACCUUCUAAUAUCACUGCUUUCAAGUAGGGCAUUUUUUGCAAAUCUUCCUCCUUCACCUCCUCUUCUGUCGACUCGCUCUUUUUUUCUCCCACUACACUGGCAAUUUCUUGAUAUAGAUUCUCCUGAAUGGUAGGAUUUUUAACCAAGUUGGCCAUAAUCCACUGCAAGGUAGUGUAGGUCGUAUCAGUUCCAGCGGCUAGGAAUUCAACGCAGAGGGUAACGAUCUCUUCAUGAUUGAGUUUUCUUUUUUCAUCUGGCCACUCCAAAUUCAAUAGUGUAUCCACGUAACACGUCACAAAUUCAUCCUCGUGCUCGGAUUUUUGUUCUUUGGCCUUGAUUCGUGCUUCAAUCAAAGGUUGGUAGGUUUUCUGUUGCUCUUGUUGUUGCUCAUUGAAUUCCUUCCAGAGCUUUCUAAAAAUUAGCUUUCCAAGUCUAGGAAAGAUACCUAAUACAGCGAAACGUCGGCUUCCCAAGAGAAACUUCACUUGCAUAUUUUCAAUUUUUUUGAUUUGAGGUUCGUCAAGCUUGUUCCCGAAACACAUCAAGACAAGAAGACAGAACAUAGCAUACUGAAAAUGAUCAACUAACUUCACGGAUUCGUCUUGUUUGCCGCGGAGCUGGUUAAGGAGGAUAUCCAACACCCAGGCUCGGGCUUUGGAAUAGGACUUGAUGCGAGAAGGAUGGAGCAUUUCUGAAAACAAGUUUCGACGGAGCAGACGCCAUGUAGGGCCAUAAGGUGCACCGUUGAUGCUGCGGUUGUUAUUGUUGGACGGCACACUUUGCCGGUCAGAGAAAACGGAGCCUUGCUUGAUUAAAGCUUGGUAGGCUAAAGAAUGACUAGCUACAAAUAUGGAGCUAUGGGUCCCCAUAUUGAGGGUGAUCAUAGGACCAUACUUAGCCUUGAGAUCAACGAGUAUGCGUUCCAAGUCGAUGGCGUUUCUUCUGGCCCAUAAUAAAGUGCCGAUCACCGGCCAAGUGUAGGGUCCCGGUGGGAGUUUCUUCUUGGACUUGGAAUUAGAAGAGAUGAUAGUAUCAAAAAGGGAUUUGAGGAAGAAAGAGAUACAUAAAGUGACAACAAUAAUAAACCAAGUUUCCAUUAUUACUGUAUUAUUUUUCUAAUUGUAUCAUCAAGAAGAAGAGGUGUGUUUUUGUUGAUCUAUUUUUCAUUUCCAUGACCCGUAUAUAUAGAGCAUCCACCAAAAGGAGAACAGGAAUAAGCUAAGAUGUCGUGAUGCAAAGAAAUUCACCCGUGCUAAGUUACCUCUGCUAACUGCUAAGCGUGUAUCCACCUUGCACUUGCUUACUCAGUUCACACUUGUCGAUUAGAUAUUUAGAUUUGAUUAUUUUUUUUUCAUUUUUCCAUAUCAUAAUCAAAUCAAAUAUUAUCCAUUUCUUAAAAUUUAAAAUCAAAUCAAAUUAAAUAUAAAUUUUUUAAGUCGGUUUGGUUGGUAAUUGGUAUGAACACUACUUAAAAAAAUAUAAAAUAUAAUUUAAAGAUGGAUUAUAAUUUAAAUAGGGUUAUUUCAUAAAAAGUUAAAGGGUAAAAUUUAAAAGUAAAAAAUGCUAAUAAAAGCAAGAACAAGAAAAUAAAUAGAAAGAGAACAGAUUUUUUAUUUCUCUUGAUCGAUGAGAGAUCGUCUUAAGAAUACAAUGAACAAAACCCUCUAUUUAUAGAAAAAAAUACUUCUAGUUUCUAACUCUAUUUAUAGAAAAAAAUUCUCCUAGUUUCUGAUCAAAAACAGAAACUUUCUAACAAAAAGACAGAUACUUCAAAUCCUAACAGAUAUCAACUAGAUCGUGAUAGAUAUGAACAAAACCUGGGAAAAAUACUUCUGACUAAAAAACAGAUACUUCAAAUCCUGAUACAUGCCAACUAGAUCUUGAUAGAUCUUAUUUAUAUUAGACAUUCAUUAUAAUGUAAAUACAUUUAUAACACUCCCUUGAAUGUCUAAUUGAUAGUUAAAACUUGACUAGAAAAAACUCAGUGAAAAAAAAAUCUAGUGAAGAAAAAAGAGUAUACAUCUCUAACAAUAUCUGCCUCAUUAAAAACCUUACAAGAAAAACCCAGUGGAACAAAACCUUGAAAGGGAAAAAGAGUACAACUUGUUUUUGCUCCCCUGACGAGAACAUCCAUGAACUUUUGCAUCCCAAUCUUGUGCACCAUCUUCUUGAAAGUUGUAGUUGAAAGAGACUUGGUGAAUAAAUCAGUCACAUUGUCACUUGAACGAAUUUGUUGCACAUUACUAUCACCAUUCUUUUUGUAGCUCAUGUGUAUAGAAAAACUUUGAUGAAGUGUGCUUCGUUCUAUCUCCUUUUAUGAAUCCCCUUUAAAAUGUGUUAUGCAUGUUGCAUUAUCUAUGUAUAAAACUGUGGGUAUAUUGUCACAUUUCAAACCACAUAUUUCUCGAAUAAGAUGUAUCAUGGACCUCAACCAUACACAUUCUGUUAGGAUUUUUGCCCUGAUUUUCUUACCAAAUUUAAGUUUUAUUUUUCUUAGAAGGAAAAUAAAAGUAAUACCAUAAUUACUUUUCUUUUUUCAGAAAGAAAAAUAUAAAACUUUUUCAUAUUUGGCAAACCUCUUUUUUGGAGUAAAGAUUUUGAAUAUCUAUAAAUAGAAGACCCUCUUCUCAUACAAUAACACAACAACAUCCACAAUGUAGUCGUUCAACAGUCUUAUUUAGGUGGAGAUUUCUCCCAACAGGUUUUAUAUUUUAUUUUAAUAUAAGUUUUUUAUAUGUAGGUUGUUUGACCAAAUUACAUUAAUAAUAUAUGUUUAGUAUUGUUUUCUUUGUCGUCUGAUUUAUCGUCUUCAUGAUUUGCAAAUUAUAAGCUUCCACAUGGCGCCCUCUCGAUUUCGAACCUAACAAGUGGUAUCAGAACUUAUGAUUCAAUGGUACAAUAGUGUGGUGAGACGAGAUUAAACCGGUUCAAAGCGGUUUUAAAAUCAUGCUGCAACAAUUUGGUGAUAAUGAAGAUUUUUGUCUAGCUACAUGUGGAGAAGGAGCUUAAGUAUAUUUAUAACAUUCAUGUUGCUGCAUCUUUAAAAAUAAAUAUAAGAUAUUUUUUAAACCAUUUAUAAUCCAUAAUAUUUUAAAUUUUAUUUUAAUCAUGGCAAGCAACAGUUAUGAACAUUAUAUCAAGAACGAAGUUCAUGCACGUGAAGUGAAAAAGGCGAAUCAAGUGAAGAAAAUCAAGCCAAAAAGGGAAGAUUUGUCAGGAUUUUUGCCCUGAUUUUUUACCAAAUUUAACUUUUAUUUUUCUUAGAAGAAAAAUAAAAGUAAUACUAUAAUUAUUUUUACUUUUUCUAAAUGGAAAAUAUAAAACUUUUAUAUAUUUGGCAAACCUUUUUCUUGGAGGAAAGACUUUGAAUAUCUAUAAAUAAAAGACCCCCUUCUCAUAUAAUAACACAAUAACAUCUACAAUGUAGUCGUUCAAGAGUCUUGUUUAGGGGGAGAUUUCUCUUAAUAGGUUUUAUAUUUUAUUUUUAAUAUAAGUUUUUAUAUGUAGGUCAUUUGACCAAAUUACAUUAAUAAUAUAUGUUUUUAAUAGUAUUUUCUUUGUCGUCUAAUUUAUCGUCUUCAUGGUUUGCAAAUUAUAAGCUUCCGAAUGACGCCCUCUCAAUUUCGAACCCAACACAUUCUCGGCUAGCUUUAUGAAUAGCUAUUAUCUCAUCAUGGUUCAAUAAAAUGGCUAGAUAGACUAUUUUGUUGUAAUACCCCAUAUUUCCUUAGCUUAAUUUAACUCUCAGUACAUGAGCUAGCCUAUAUAAAAAUUUUGAAAUACUAAGUAUUUUUCAGUUUAGACCCUUCCACUGCGUAGAAAAUUCAACUAGCUUUCCAACGAUAUAAAAUUCGCCCAAAUCCGAUACCUGAGCGAAGAGUUAUAGCCAAUUUAGUAUAACAGUUUGCCAAAUUGCAUAUUAGCGCAUCGCGGAGGCCAGUAAAAUGGCAAUUGUCCAUUUCCAAUGUUGCUCCGCGAUAUUGGAGCAUGUCGUGUCAUGGACCCAAUUCAUAAUUGUCUUUUUUCAGUGUUCUAACGCAAUGUCACCACGUCGCGGUGAACUUCCAGGCCGCAUCCAAGGUAGCAACGUGAUACCAUAGCAUCGCACCACCAGCCACAUUUCCAGUUGGCAAUUUCCAAUGGCCCGACGCGAUCAUGGCAUGUCGCGCCAGAGCCCAAAAUUGAGUUUUUCGGUACGAAUUUUUAAAUCGUUCCUGGGGUAAAUGAGUAUUUUUCCAUUGCCCUAAGCAAUCUAAACACAAAAUUAAACCCCUAAAUAACCUAUUGCCUCAUUAUUUCCUCACUUUCUCUCAAGAAUAAAAUGUUCUCUCUCAAAGAGGCAAAAAAACCCUAGUUUAAGAAAUCAAGAACAAGCCUAAAAAUUCCUCUAAGAACCUUCAAGAAAGAAUGUUAUAAGUUAUAUUAGGUGUUCAUUCAUGGGUUCCUUUCACCCAUGAAGUCCAAGAACCCUUUUUCAAAAUACAAAGAUAGUGUAUUUAUGAAUUUCUAUGAUUGAGUUGAAUUGAAUUCAUGUUCAUGUUAUUGUUGAGUUUUUGUCCAUGAUUAAAUUACAAGCUUUCAUGAAAUUAAUCAUUAUAUGUGUUAAAUUACAUGAUCCUCUUGAUGAACCCUUCAAUUUACAAGUUGAUUGAUAUAGCCAUGAUAACUAUACGUGUUGAUUGUUGUAUAACCUAAACGUGCCUCUCAUGUGUUUGAUAAAUUGUUUAUGAGAAUGAAAAAAUGCCAUCAUAGCAUGCUAAAAUGUAUUCCCCAUUCAUGUACAAGUUAAUGCAUUACAAGUGUUUGAUGAAAUGUCUCUAUGAAUGAAUUAUGACCAAGUGAACAUUAUUAUGUUAUUCAAGAUUAUGCUUCACUUUACUUUUCAUGCUAUCGAGUCCUGGGGUAUUUAAUAAUCGACAAUUGAGCUAUUUACCUAGAGCCAGUGUCAGUUACAGAAUAGUAUCAGUCAUGUCACAAUCAGUAAUAUUCUCAGUUAAUUACAGAACUCAAUAAAACUCUGUCAGUUACAGAACUUAAGAAAACUCAGUAAACUCAGUAUCAGUCCAGUCUAAUUCAGUAUAAUCAGUUCAGUGUCUUUCAGUUGGGAGUAGGAUUUAGCACCGAGCGAGCCUAAGGAUGGGGGCUUACCCAUUAUUAGGACUGGGUCCCUAGAAGCAAUCCCUAAGUUCCAGAACUACGUAGCCACCGUAGGUUAUGAGAUAUCAUCCGUUAGAUAGGACUGACAUACUCAGGGAUCACCCGCUAGUUUAGGACUGAUCUCAGGGGUCACCCGUUAGUUAGGACUAACUCCACAUCAGCUGUUAAUACUCGCGGCACGGUGCUAACACCCUUUCAAUUGGGGUUACAGAUUGGACCGCAACUCAGUCAUCUUAUCUUAUUUGGGGCAUGUCAGUUACAUGAUUACCUCCCACAAUUUUGGUUUCAGUCUUCAAUUUAGAACUCAGUUCAGUUCUACAGAAUCAGGACUGUCAGACAUAGAUAAUCAGUAUCAGUAUUUAGUUAUCAGUAACUUUAGGUAUCAGUUACUCAGUUAUCAUAACUCAUUACUCAACUUUAGAAAAGUCCAGUUACAGUAUUUUCAUAUAUGCACAGUUUUGCACACUUAGUAUAUACAGCAUUAUCAAUUAUCCAUGUACUCUCAUAUUCAGUUAUUCUCUAUCAUUCAGUCAGUUACUGUUCAUGCAUAUGAACCCUUGUAUUCAGCCUUACCUCAUGUAGCAUAUCUAUAUAUUCCACGUACUCACGCAUACUCUUUCUUUGCGCUAUGAUGUCUUAUAUCAUAGGUUCGGACGCUCAGGUUCCCGACCGCACAUAGACAGAUUCAGAUUCAGCCAGCAUAUUAGAUUUAUUAGUGAGUCCUCAUCUGUCGAGGAUAUUCUUUUGUUUCAUUAUUUCAGUAGACUCAGUGUUUUAGUAGAUGGGGUUAGUUGAGGGAUUGUCCCAUCAACUCCACUUUCAGAUAGUUUCAGUUAGAGAAUUAUCAAACUAGUUUUCAGAUAAUAUUCAAUUUUAUAUAUUGUUAUUUCGGUUGAUACACUUUAUUAGUAUUUUACAAAUUUUUGAACCUUAUGGCAUUUCAGCCUAUUUUUCUCAUUUUACAGUAUUAUUAUUCAGUUCUCACAGUAGAUAUCAGUCAUGGGUUAGCUUGUGGUCCUUCAGGGUUGUAAGCACCAUAUAGUAUCUGAGGUACAGACUCGGGGCGUUACAAACUUGGUAUCAAAUCCUAAGGUUUAACAGAGUCCUAGAGAGUCUGAAAGUCGCGUCAAGUAGAGUCUUGUACAUGGAUGUAAAGUGCGCCACAUUUAUGGACAAGAGGCUACAAGAUGUUUUAGGAAAAGUUUCCCUUCUUUCAUGUCUCAGAUCAUGCUAUAGAAAGGUCCUCUAAGAAAGUUAUAAAGAUUCUCAUUUUUGCUCUAUUCAUGCCAGCCCUGCCUUAUUUUCAAGAUAACAGAAACAAUCAAGCUUAAAUCCCUACAGAUAGAGUUUUUUUUCAGACAUUCCCCACAGAUAAUUAUGGGAUUGUCGUAGGCUCAAAAGUAUCCCAUCAGUUUUGUUAUGUUCUAAAGUUUUAAAAUUUCAUUUAUGAUCAUGAAAACUCGUGCACUAACCCAAAGUAAGUUGUGCCUUUAAGUCCCUUCUCAGUAUUCUAGGAUAACAUAUGACCUAGAGUUAGAAGCAUGAAACCAGGAUUUUAGCAACAGUAGUGGAGUUGGGGUAAUGUUAUCUGAAUUUUGAGCAGAUUAUAUUUCAUGGGGAUAGUUGUAUAAAAGGUGAAUCAGUAGGCUUGAAACAGUGUAUGUAACAAAACAAUUUAAGUUUGUUGAUUUGAAAGUGUAUGUUGUUAGUGUAAUGGUAAUUCCCAUGGUGUAGGAAAAAUAUAAGUUUAGAUAUAGGAUAAUUGUAGGCUAUGAUGAAAGUAGUAUGGUUCAUUGAAGGUUUGGGGGUAUCCAUGUUAAGUGUUAGAAUCUGAGUUUGAAUCUUCGAGGAUUGAGCUAAUAGAAAGAAGAUUUAAGAAUUUUAAGUUAGUCAAUUGCAAGUUGUUACAUGAUGAUUGUUGGGGUUAUAGAGGGCUAAGAAUUGUAUCUCAGAAGAAAUUACUAGCAACAAGUUUUACAUUAUCAGGUGUAGACUUUCAGGGUGAGUUUAUUAUUUAUGCAUAUUAUUAUACCCUAGAAUCUAGAGUAAAAUGGUAACAGUGCAAUUUAGAGUUGUUGAGUAAGUGGUUUACAGACUUAGAAUGAUGACUUUAAGCUAAGGGGGGAGAUAAUAGAACAAGUAACCAAUCAGGCUCUCAGAUCCUAGUAGUGAUGCCAGUAUGUGUAGAAAAGUAGUAGGAGAGAAUGAGGCCCAACCCAUUCAUAUCUCAGUGCAAGGUUUCUCAAUCAUCAUGAUAUCUACUCAUGCCUUACAUAUCAGCCCUAUGAUCAUAGUUCAUAUUGUGCACUUUAUAGAAAAUUAUGUAGGCUUACAGUUCCUAGUAAAAGGAGUUCUAGUUCACCCACCAGUCCGAAUCAUAUUCCAUGAAGUUAUGAACUCCAAACUCAGGUCAUGCAGCUCAUGACUCAUGUAUUCAUGCUUUACAGUAUGUUCAGUUCCAGUACUCAUGCUACACUCCUAAUGAUCUGUUAAAUUCAGACUAUGUCAUGUAUAUCUUCAGUUUAGACCUCUUGGUAAAUCUGUGAUGUAAAUAUUCUAUUCCUCAGACUUCAUUAGGUAGGGUUAUCGGUGCCCAUAUUACAAAAUUUUAUCCAUAUUAUGGGUUCUUCUUCAGAUGUCUUAUUCAGACCAUACUAAGGUUCCUUACUCCCUAAAGUCAUUAGAACCUUAUAGAAAGAGNNNNNNNNNNNNNNNNNNNNNNNNNNNNNNNNNNNNNNNNNNGUUCGUAAAGUUAGCAAUUUAUUUUAGCAGUUAGGUGGACAAAUUUGGAUGGUUUUCUAUCUUUCCAUUUAGUUGCCCUUUCCCAAAAUAGAACAUCCUGGUAGUUGCGAGUUCAGCUCAGUUCAUGUAUCAUGACUUAGUUUCAGAUCUCAGAUAUCCAGUCAUGAUUCAGUUCGUAGGUGCCCUGUGCAUCGUCUCAGCUUUUCCUUAGUAUCUUAGCCAAGUCAGCAUUCUUCAAGGGACAUAAUGACCUAAGGGGGAGAUGUACUAUAGUCCCCGAGCUUUCAUCUCCUAAACCUUCCAGUUUCUCUUCACGUAACGAAUCCAGUGUAUAGUAGUGGGUACUCAUAAGUUGAUCCUCAAGUUCUAAUCUCAGUCAUAUGAUAUGUAUCCAAGAAAUCAGUUCAGUUCAUGAUAUUCAGUUCAUAUAUCAUGUUUCAGACUUAGUAAUGUUCUCAUGUUCCCGUUCAUACAUAUCUAGUAAAUGAUCUUAGGUUCAUCAAUAUUCUGAGCCUAAGGUAACAACGUUCCUUAGAUUUACUCGAUUUCAUGAUUUAGUUACAGUCAUAAACUUGGUUUUCUUUGCCGUUGAAUAAUCAAUCAUACAUUCAUGAAUCAGUUCAGUCAUGUAUUCCAUGUAUCAGAUAUACACGUUUAGUAUGAAAACUUAACUUAUCAAUAGCUUCAGUCAUGUAUUCCAUGCAUCAGCUAUGCAUGUUCAGUAUAGAAACUCAGUUUGUCAGUAGUUCAGUCAUGUAGUCAGAUUUCAAUUUUGCAUGUUCAGCUUGUAAACUCAGUAUCAGUGUUUCUCGGCUUAAUUAGUCUAAUUUAAGGACAAAUGUUUCCAAGGAGGAGAUAUUGUAAUGCCCCGUAUUUUUCUAACUUAAUUUAACUUUUAGUACAUGAGUUAGCCUAUAUAAAAUUUUUGAAAUACACAAUAUUUUUCAAUUUAGAGCCUUCCACUACAUAUAAAAUUCAACCAGCUUUCCAACGAUAUAAAAUUUGCCCAAAUCUGAUACCCGAGCGAAGAGUUAUAGCCAAUUUAGUAUAACAGUUUGCCAAAUUGCAUGUCAGCGCAUCUCGGAGGCUAGCAAAAUGGCAAUUAUCUGUUACCAGUGUUGUACCGUGAUACUGGCACGUCACGUCAUGGACCUAAAUCACAAUUGUCCUUUUUCAAUGUUCCAACGUGAUGUCACCGCAUCACGGUGUACUUCCAGGUCGCAUCCAAGGUGGCAACACGAUACCACUGCGUCGCGCCACUAGCCACAUUCCCAAUUGACAAUUUUCAGUGGCCCGACACGAUCAUGGCGCUUCGCACCAGGGCUAAAAAUUAGAUUUUUUAGUACGAAUUUUUAAAUCAUUCCCAGGGGUAAAUGAGUAUUUUUCCACGACCCUAAUCAGUCUAAACACGAAAUUAAACCCUUAAAUAACCUAUUGCCUCAUUAUUUUCUCACUUUCUCUCAAGAAUAAAAUGUUCUCUCUCACAGAGGCAAAAAAACCCUAGUUCAAGAAAUCAAGAACAAGCCUAAGAAUUCCUCCAAGAACCUUCAAGAAAGAAUCUUCUAAGGUAUAUUAGGUGUUCAUUCAUGGGUUCCUUUCACCCAUGAAGUCCAAGAACCCUUUUUAAAAUACAAAGAUAGUGUAUUUAUAAAUUUCCAUGAUUGAGUUGAAUUGAAUUCGUGUUCAUGUUAUUGUUGAGUUUUUAUCCAUGAUUAAAUUACAAGCUUUCAUGAAAUUAAUCAUUAUAUGUGUUGAAUUAUAUGAUUCUCUUGAUGAACCCUUCAAUUUACAAGUUGAUUGAUAUAGCCAUGAUAACUAUGUGUGUUGAUUGUUGUAUAACCUAAGCAUGCCUCCCCUGUGUUUUAUAAAUUGUCUAUGAGAAUGAAAUACUGUCAUUAUAGCAUGCUAACAUGUAUUCCCCAUUCAUGUACAAGUUAAUGCAUUACAAGUGUUUGAUGAAAAUGUCUCUAUGAAUGAAUUAUGACCAAGUGAACAUUGUUAUGUUAUUCAAGAUUAUGCUUUGCUUUACUUUUCAUGCUAUCGAGUCCUGGAGGUAUUUAAUACCCGAUAAUUUAGCUGUUUACCUAGAGCCAGUGUUAGUUACAGAAUAGUAUCAGUCAUUUCACAAUCAGUAAUACUCUCAGUCAGUUACAGAACUCAGUAAAACUCAGUCAGUUACAGAACUCAAUAAAACUCAGUCAGUUACAGAACUCAAGAAAACUCAGUAAACUCAGUAUUAGUCCAGUCCAAUUUAGUAUAAUCAGUUCAGUGUCUUUCAGUUGGGAGUAGGAUUCAGCACUGAGCAAGCCUAGGGAUAAGGGCUUACCCGUUAAUUAGGACCGAGUCCCUAAAAGUAAUUCCUAAGUUUUAGAAAUAUGUAACCAGCGUAGGUUAUGAGAUGUCACCCGUUAGAUAGGAUUGACAUACUCAGGGAUCACUCGCUAGUUUAAGACUGAUCUCAGGGUCACCCGUUAGUUAGAACUGACUCCACAACAGUUAUUAGUACCCGUGGCACGGUGCUAACACCCUUCCAAUUGGGAUUAUAGAUUGGACCCUAACUCAGUUAUCUUAUCUUAUUUGGGGCAUGUCGAUUAGAUGACUACCUCUCAUAGUUUCAAUUUUAGUCUUCAGUUUAGAACUUAGUUCAGCUCUACAGAAUCAGGACUGUCAAACACAGUCAAUCAGUAUCAGUAAUUCAGUUAUCAGUAACUUUAAGUAUCAAUUACUUAGUUAUCAGAACUCAGUACUCAGCUUUAAAAAAACUCAGUUACAGUAUUCCCGUAUAUGCACAGUAUUGCAUACUUAGUAUGUACAACAAUAUCAGUUAUCCGUGUGCUCCCAUGCUCAGUUAUUCUCUAUCAUUCAGUUAGUUACUGUUCAUGCAUAUGAACCCUUGCAUUAUGCCUUACCUCAUCUAGCAUACCAGUACAUUCCACAUACUAACACAUAUUUUUUUUUGCGAUAUGAUGUCUUAUAUCAUAUGUUCGGACGCUUAGAUUCCCGACUGUGCAUAGAUAGAUUCAAAUUUAGCCAGCAUAUCAAAUUUAGUAAUGAGUCCUCAUCUGUCGAGGAUAUUCUUCUAUUUCAUUACUUCAGUAGACUCAGUGUUUCAGUAGAUGGAGUUACUUGGAGGAUUGUCCCAUCAACUCCAGUUUCAGAUAGUUUCAGUUAGAGGCUUAUCAGACUAGUUUUCAAACAAUAUUCAGUUUUAUAGAUUGUUAUUUCAGUUGAUACACUUUAUCAGUAUUUUAUAGAUUUUUGAACCUUAUGGCAUUUCAGCCUAUUUUGCGCAUUUUACAGUAUUAUUAUUUAGUGCUCAUAGCAGAUAUCAGUCAUAGGUUAGCUUGUGGUCCUUCUAGGUUAUAAGCACCGUGUAGCGUUUGGAGUACAGACUCAGGGCGUUACAUUUGUACAUCUCCAAGAUAUGGCAGUAUCCCCACAUGUGAACACAUAGCCUAUUUGAGACCAAGUUUUAUGCGGAUUAGAUAAGUACCCAAUAUCAGCAUGACCAAUAAGAUUGGGACUGCAAUCUUUAGAAUAAAAUAAGCUCAUGUAUUUUAUCCCGUUUUGAUGUCUCCCAAUAGGAGGAGAAAUAUAUCUUGCUAACAAAUUGACUGAAAAGGCUAAAUCAGGCCUUGUAUCUGCAAGAUACACUAGUGCAUCACCUGCACUAGGAUAUGAUGCUUUAUAACCAAUCCAAUUCGGUAUAUUUCUUAUUUCAAUAAAUAAUCUAUUACUUUUGAAAACUCUCCAAGAGUUUCAAUAAUUUUCAAGCUAUAAGCUUAUACAAUAAAAGGAUUCUAGAUAAGUUUCCUAGAAACUUUUAUAUGCUUCAAACAUUUUGAAUCCUUAGAAAGUUUUCAUUUAAAUUUUGUCAAGUGAUAAUAUUCAACAUUUCAUGUGUGACAUCUUCAAGUGUCUAGACAGCAAAUCAAAUAAUUUUUACUCUUACCAAGAUGCCUCCUUUCAUGUCACUUAAUAAAUAUUCUACAUCGGCAUGCUUAAAUAAACAUAGAAUUUGGAUCCCCACAAUCUUUCACAAUAUUGCACCAAUAUUGUAUCAAAGAUAUUGAUGAUAUAUCAUUUCGUAUUGGUUCGCUGUGUGACAUAACAUUUUGAUAUCUCAUCACUUCAUUAUUUUUAGGUACCUAAACCUCUCAUAAGGUUUCAUGAAGUGUUAUGUCGUAGGCUCUUCAAGAGCACAUUGCCUUCUUAUUAUGAUUAUUUGCUCCUUAUCCUUUUUAAGAAUUAUUUUAUUUGGAACCGAUUGGUCUACCACGCUUCACGUAUGCAUAGACUUUGUCCUUCUAGAACACAAAAUAGGUGCACUUGCAGCUUAAAUAUGAGAUGCUUUUGUCAUUUGACUUGAAUUAUCUUUUGAAUGAGGAUUUAAUGAUAAUUCCUAACAUAUUUCAUGUUUCUUAUAAUCUCCCCAUUAUGUUAGGAAAACUAACAUACAUCCUUCAUUUUCUUUGAGGAAUCCAUCUUUGUGCAUCAUGGUAUAUUUAUUAACCGUAUACCAUACAUUAACAAUCAGAUGGAAUAGUCGAUUCCUGACCUUGAACCAAUUGAGAGGGAAGAAAUAAUCAUAAUAUAUUGGUCUAAUGCAUACAAGUGCUAUUGUAUGCAACAUAUCAUAUUUCAGACCAACACAUGAAGCUUUGUUCUCAUUAGCAAUGGUUUAGCUAUUUAUCGAUGGCAUUCAAUUCCAAACAUCAUCAUCAAGAUGAAUUGUCUUGAUUACACAAUCUGAAAAUUAUGCUCUUAACUCAAUUUUAUUGAGCAAGUAACUUUAUGAAUGUCAAACUGCAGGUUGACAAUAAAUGUACAUGUGAUCAUCUUAUUGAUACAUCUUUUCAAAGCAUAUCACAUGGUAGGUGACCGGACCCAUAUUCACCUUUUAUAUUUUUUAGAUUUUGAGAGAUAAAAUUCCAACAUUAGUUGGUCCAACCAACUUAUUAUGAGAACAAACAACAUUAAAAAUAAUGAAGAAUUUUUUAAUUCUUCAAUAUAUGUUGAAUACUUAGUAUGCACAUCUUUGGAAUGUCACAAUCAUUCAUGUCAGUUUAUGAACUUUUAUUCUAGCAAACUCCAAGUUUAUCAUGACAUGUACCUUUUAUUUUAGUAAAUUUCAGAUUUACUAUUACAUGAAUAAAAUUCAGAUUUACUACUUUAGAAGUAGAUUUCAAAAUAACUCUUUUAAGUUAUUCUGACUCUUUCGGAGGUGAGUUGUGAUACCAUCACAAUCAAGUGCACGUUUGUAUUAAUAAGUUUCUCAUUCUCCAGAAAUGGAAAUAAUCAUGCCUUAAGCCUAUCAAAUUCUGAUAGUUUUUAACCUCUUUUAAGAUAUUGCUAAUUUAGGAGCAAAUCGAGGCAUAUAUGGUUGUAGAGAAAAUUUUCUCUAACAUAUCUUAUAGUCAUAAUAAGCGUGUGAAAAUAUAUCACUUUUGAUGAUUAUCAUAUUAUCCGUUCAUGCUUAUAUUCGUAUAUUCAAUCUCUUGUCCUCUUUCAUACAUAUUACGCACUACUACCACAUUCACUUAAGAGAAUGGAGCAUAUUCAAUGGAACAUGUCUCAUGCCUUUUCACAAAUGCUCAUUGUUUUGCCUUAGCCAUCAUCAAUAUGGUGCAUUGAGAUUCAAACUCAACAUCUUAUCCAUAUAAAGGCAUCUUAGGCUAUAAAUCGAUGGGGUUUAAACCCAACAUCUUUCAGAUUCAAAGCAAUUGUUACUUUUAAGAGUUAUAAAAUACCAUAAAAUUUAACCACUAAUAGUGAUUAUAGACGUAAAUAAAUUUAAUAACAAAUAAUCUUAUAAAAUACACCACAAAAAUUCAAACAUGAAUAAUAACCUAGAUGUUCAUGAUCCACUCACAGAACUUUAAUAGCUUCAUCAAAUCUUAAUUACUUUGGCAAUUCUGUAAAACUGUCAUAAAGCAUAAGCUUCCUAAGACAAAAAUUGUGUAACACUUAAUCAAACCCUUUAUAUAAUCAAAGUGUUGCCCCAUUAUACGUAGAAUCAAAAUCUCAAGAUCCUAUCAAAAGUUGAAAUCUUUAAAGUUGAUGUUCACAAGGUCAAUAUGAGUUGCUUGGUUCUUCCUAUCCGUAUUAUCUAUAUUCUUAUCUUCAAAGAGUAUUUUGAUUCACGGUAGAGUUUCGUAUUGAUAAUGUGCUAUGAAAUAUAAAAUUAAGAACAAGAAAAUAAAUAAAGAGAGAAGAGGAUCUCUUGAGGCAUGAGAGAUCAUCUUGAGAAUACAAUGAAUAAAAUCCCUCUAUUUAUAAGAAAAAAUACUCCUAGUUUCUGACUAAAAAACAAAUACUUCAAAUCCCCCUCUAUUAUAGGGAAAAAUACUCCUAGUUUUUAAUUAAAAGACAAAUACUUCAAAUCCUGAUAGAUAUCAACUAGAUCUUAUUAGAUUUUAUCUAUAUUUUUUUAUAGACAUUCAUUAUAAUGUAAAUACAUUUAUAACAAAAAAUAAGUUUUUGACUGUUUUACGAGUAAUUUUCACGGAUAGUCAUUUAUGUUUUCAUAAUUGCCUACAAAUAUCACUUUUGUUUGUUUUAAUACAAGAAUAUCACCUAACUAUCCCUAUUUUCCUCAAAAAAAUACUUAACACUUUAAAAAUCUUCUUAUCUCCUACUUGGCAUGUCAUGUUGUUAAAAUCUUUUAUUUUCUUAAUUAUAAAAGUAUUUAAUUCUUCAAGUUCAUUUAUUCAAACCCAUGUCUUAUAAACUAUAAGAAAAUCUAAAUUACGGAAUAUUUUAUUUUUGGGGGGAGAAUUUGGAAAGGAAUUUACCGAUAACCUAAUUCUCUACAAGGUUUUCAACAAAACUAAUAUGAUGAAAAACCUACAAAUUUUUUCUAUCAAAUAAAAUUUGAAGGAGAAAAUCUUAGAAUUUUUUUUUUGUCAAGUAAAAUUCAAUAGAAAAAUCUUAAAGGUAAUUAUCACCUAAAAAUUUUAAUUCAUAUGUAGAUCACCGGCAAAAUUUUAAGCAAGAUCCUUUUGAUAAAAAGAUAGUAAGAAAAUAGAUUCUUCGUGCGUAUUUUCCCUAAGUGAAUUUCAUAAACAAAUCAAGUAAAUUCGCAAAGUUAACAUAGGCAAAAACUUUAGAGAAUAGAAAUUCAUUAUUUUUAAUUUCAUUUUUUCAUUUUAUUUUUUGUUUCUAUUAUACUAUACUUUAUCUUAUUAUUUAAUUAAACACCAAUUUAUAUCCUUUUCACAUCCUAAAUCCACAAAAACAAGCGAUAAUUGGUUGGGUAUUGUUUCAAAGAUUCAUUUGUAAUAUUAGAUCAUUUUGUUAAUAUUUUUUUUUAACAAUUAAUUUAUUUCAUGACAAAAUAAUUUAUCUUUCCUUCAAUAAAGUUUUAAAAAUAUUAGUAAGUGGUGAAAUAAAUAAAUUUAAAAAACUUUGAAAAGUACAAAAUAAAAUAAUUCAAUCCUUUAGUUUUAUGUGUACAUUUGGACACAUCAACUACUUAAUUGACGAGUAAUGUGCAUAGCUUUACCAGAGGAAUUAUUUUCCUUCAAGUUGUGUGAUUAUCUAAUAUUUUUAUCAUGUGAUGUAAUUUUUCUCAUAUCAAAUAAAGAAUAAAUAUAAUUUAUCUCUAUUUUUAAGAAAGACAAAAUAAAUAUAAAAUUUAAAGUAUAUAAUUAAAUUGUUCUUCAAUAAUAAAUAUAUUAUGUGUAUUUAUUUUUUAAAAGAAAUAAACUAAAUUUUAGUUAAAUAAGUUUGAUAAAUUAAAUAGAUCUAUUUCUUAUAUAUAUAAAAACAAAAAUUAAUGACAUGAAAUGCAAAUUAGGAGAGAAGAAAUGUUUUUAAAGUGUCAAGUGUUUUUUUGAGGAAAAUAGGAAUAGUUCAGUAAUAUUCUUGCAUUAGAAGAAACAAAAAUGAUAUUUAUAGACAAUUGUGAAAAUAUGGGUGACUGUCUAUGAAAAUUACUCCUGUUUUACAAAUAUAAAUUCAAAUUGUAUUUAAAAUUUUCAUGAUCAGAGGUAUUAGAUGGGUCCUUAAUUAAUCUUUAAAUCUAAAUUGAAUUAACUUAAUUAAAUAUUUUAAAUUUAUAAUUUAGAUAUGUAAAAAAUUAUACGAUAACUCUAAAUUAUAAUUUUUUUUAUAUUAAUAAGAUAAAAAAUACUUAUUAAAAUAUUAAUCAUAAUUCAUAUAAUUUGUCUUUCCAUAAUUAAAAUGUCACAAGUAAAAAUAAAUUAAAAAUGAGUUAUUAAAUUCAACUAAACUAAAGUCUAAAUUAUAUUUUAGAGAUUAUGAAUUGUCAAUAGUGUGAAGCUUAUAGUACGGACCUCUCACCUCAUGGGGUCCACACAAACCUUAAAUUGAGAACAUGAUCGGAUUGGAUUUCAAUUUCUUCUAAACUCAAAACUCAAAGUUGAUAACAUGCACAAGCUUAAGUUUUACACUUUAAAGAUAUAAAAAAAAAAAUAUUUUUAUUUUUAACAUUUUCUGAAAAAUAUAACAUUUUCUUGAUGUAACAUUUUCUUUUCUUAAAGAUAUAAAAAAUAAAAAUAUUUUUUAAUAAGUUCAUUUGAAUAUAAUGUUUGAAAAAAUUACAUUACGGAUAGAUAUAUGGAUCUAAAUUUGUCGUGAUACUAUGAUUUUCUAUUUUUUUUUCUUGUCUUUCAUGGUUCUAUAUAUCAACAAUUUGAAUUAUUAACUUAUAAUAUCAUUUUAAAAAAAAAAAGAAUAAAUGAAAAAAUAGAAUAGCAAAAUCAAAAUAAAAGGCAAAAUAAAGUAUGUCAAUCACAUCAAGUUAAUUGUUACGUAAUAUGAAAUUCUUCAGCAUUUCAUGUUCAUCAUGACAUGGCAUCGAUGAAUUCAAUUAUACAAUAUACUCUUCUUAUAUUACUCCAUCCGCUUAAAAAAGAAUGACAUAUUUUUUUAGGCCGUUUUAAAAAGUAUGAUUCCCUUCUUUUUUUAGUAAUUUUUAAAUUUUAAUGUUUCACGCGGCAUGUUUAAGACCAUACAAUUGAAGGACAUUUUGGUACAUUUGAUAUAUCUUUAAUUUAAGAUCAUAAGAUUCAAAAAUCUAUUUUAUUUUCUUACACUUUGUGUCAAUUUAAAUUAGGUGAUUCUUUUUGGAAAAGAGAGGAGUAUAUAUUAUAAUGAUGACUUAUAGCCAAUGAUGACAUGACAUAUUUUUUUUUUAAGAAUUCCUCUUUUUACUUUUUUAUCUUCCUAUCUUUUUUCAAUCAAUUCAAUCUUCAUUUUCCUGCCCCCUAUUUUCCUAUGUAAGUAAAUGCCAAAUUAAAUGACUCCAUUGUUAAUGCCUAGUGGACUCUAAUCUUUCACACUCUUAUUAAUGUGCUCCAAUCUUUCACUCUAGUGUUACCAAAUCUUCCACUCUAUCAUUAGUGUACAAUCUUUCAUGCAAGAUAAGAUUGUAAGAAUAGUCUACUGUGCUAAACGUGGACGCAAUCCACACUAAUUAAUUGUGAUAACCACUAUUCAAUCUUUUGCUUGGAUGGUUUAUAUUUGGUAACGUAAUUAUUUCGCGUUGUAUAAUAUUAACUUAUUUUUUGACAUAUAUAUAAUAGAUAAUGUAAUUUCUAUGGUUAGGUAAUGUCAGAGAGUGACGGAGUCAACAUCUUAACUAAGGGGUUCAAAAUUGAAAAAUCUGAACAAAAGAAUUAGUCGACGAAGGUUCAACGUCUGUUACAUAUACAUGAAAAAUAAUUUUAACCUUGUAUAAAUAGUAUAAUUUUUCGAUCCAAACUGCAGCAAUAUUAGCAAGCUCCACCUUUGAUGUCGGACAUCAAUAAUCUGAACAGUAACUUUAUCAUAUUAUAAAAAAUAAAAGAAACCAUACGAGCUCGAUUUUUUUUUUUUAAAAGAUAGAGGAUUAAAAUAAAUGGUUCUAUUAUCUAAUUUUAAAAAGGCAAAACGAAAAAAAAAUAGUGUGCAAUCACCCUAAAUUGACGGUUAAUAAAUUGAGAUUUUUCAUUGUUACUAUUUGAAUAGUCAAAAGAUACUUCCAUUGACCGUGCUUUUUAAAUAUUUUAAAUUAUUAAUUUUUGCGAUUUAUAUUACUUUUAAGUUAGUUUUUAAAUAUGUUAAUUUAUUUUUAAAAAUUAAAAUUUUCAUAUUUCAAAUCACACCGAAUAUUAAUUGGUUUGAUAGUUGAUUAUACUCCAAAAUAAGAUCAAUAAAUUGAAACGACAUAGUUAUAUUGCAUUAGCGAUCUUUAAUAUGGACUUGGAUUGCGUUGUUUCGUGAAAUGUUGCGGCAAUUGCGUAGAGCAUUUUGUGCAUUUGAGUCUUUUAGAGCAAUGCUUCACCUAAGAGUGGACGAAACGACUAUUUACUGUUCGUUUGGAUGUUUGUUAUAGUGUGUUUCGUAACGUCAUUGUUUUACGUUAUCCUGAUACAUCUAUAGAUACACCCAAAAUAUGUCUAAACUAUUUCAAGAUUUAUGCAUUUUAUUUUUAAUGUGUGUUGUCUGCACUUUUUGAAGAUUGUAGUCAUUUCUAUUGUUAUCUAAUUUGGUAUGAGUGCUAAUUCAGUGGUGGAACAAGAAUUUUUACUAAAAACAGUCAAAAUAUAAAGAGGUAAAUUCAGAAAGAAGAUAAGGAGUGUUAAAAUAUAUAAUAUGCAUAAAAAUGAAUAUUUGACGUAGAUAUGAAGGGUAACUUUUGGAAUUUGGAUGAAUCGACACAUCUUGACUACAUGUUGCUCCGUCAAUGUGCCGGAUAUGUUUGGACUUUAGCAGCGCAACAUUGAUCACUACCAUAUAAUAUAGUCUACCUUAUAGUCAUUUUAUAUAACUAAAAUGAUAAAUCUCACAUUGGUAAGUAACCUUCUGUCAUGUAUCCUUAUAUCACAACACCUCGGUAACACUUUUGAAUUUUAACCAUUCGAUUUUAGUUUUAAGUAACAUCUUUGUCUAUCGUUUCAUUCUCUUAAAAUAACGAGCCUGAAUAUCAAUUAUUUACAUUUUGGCACUGGAAUCUCAUUUAAUCUCACAUCAACUAGAGUGUAGGAACUAAGUGCUCUCUAAAGCUUCAUUCUUUGAACAACAUAUAAUAGAGUGGCAACUAAGUGAUUUCUAAAGCUUCAUUGUUUUAAACUUAGAUCUGACACAACAUCCAAAUAAAAGUACCAAAAGAUUCUCAAAACACAAAAGCAUAAGAAAGCAAGUACGUAAUGUCACAAAACAUUGAAAAACCUAACUUAUACAAAUUAAACCUAACUUAGAUAACCAAUUCAAACUUGUUCUUCGUGAGUUAUCGGGCUCCUGUUUCAGAACAUCUUUAAUUUAAUCCCAGAAGAUCCAUUCUAUCCACAAAAUUGCAUGAUAAUGUAACCACUAACAAAAGGAAACUAUAAGAACUCACCCUCCUUUUUUCCUAGUAGCAAGACAAUAGUAGAUUACAAGAUCAUUGUUAACUUUUAGGGAAGUUGGGACAGAAGAAGAAAAAGAUUCCCAUCAAGCAGUCAGCCAAAUGAUUCUAAUGUCCUUCCUGUUAUGCUUACUCCUCCAUUGCAUCUGUGGAAGAUUCUGUAGCUUGCUUAUCGGAUUAAUUUCCUGUCGUUCUUUCCUGUAACACGUGCAUUUGUAAUCAACACAACAACACGCAGUAUAUUCCCACAAAUUACAUUUGUAAUCAAUAAACAAAAUCAACAAAGAAUUCAUAAUCCAUCCAGGAUGAGAACGAAAAAUAGCAACUCUAUAAUCUAUAGUAAUGAGAAUUUCGUUCAUGGUCAUUCAGCUUUGUGUCCAGUACAUAAAAGUCACUCUUUCUUUCGUUACACAAAAGUUAUUCUACUUUCCUCCGAUCAUUGUUGGAGUUACUUUAACUAGAGUUUUUAGUAAUCUCACCUGAAAAUGCCGUGGCAUCUUAAUUAAUGCAUUUGCUUAAUUAAAUAAGGAAAAAUUACAUAAGUCAACACCUUAACUUUUCUAUAUUACUUUAAAUACCCUCCAACUAAAUAUAUUACAAAAAUCCCUUCUAAGACACAACACACGCGCUUUUGCUUAUACAUUCCAACCGACAGCUCAACAUAAUACCCAAAUACUAUUCUGUAGCCUAAAAUCAUGGAUUGCUGGCGAAGAUUAUGCCAAAAUUCAAUCUUGAAGCAACAACCGUUAUCUUCCAUUACAAUUACUCCAUUAACUUAAUUAUUCAAAAUUAAUUGGAGGUUAGUUUGUUUCUAGUUUAUAAUUUUGUUUAUUAGUUUUGAAAUUGAACAAAUCCCUUUUCAAUUUUAUGUUCUUUAAACAUUAUAACAUUAUUAAUGGAGUCAGGACCCUCUUUUAGUUUGGGGCUUACUCAAUUUCAGUCAACUUCUAAUGAAACUGAUAUAUCUGGGUUUGUUCCUGGUAACUUCAAUUUUAAAGACGUUGGUUUUCAUGAAAAUAGAUCUAAGUAUCGGAACGAUUUGACAAUCAUGAAGAAGUUAUGAGAUGCUGCUAGUGCUAAAGGGAAGAAGACUGUUGUUGCUAUUUCAAAGAAAAAAAGAAAGGAAGUUGUGAAAAGACCCUUUACCAAAGGUAUGGUAUUUAUGUGUUUGACUGGCGAAUCUCCCCAUAACAAAGUUAUUGUUAUUAACAAAUGUUAGUGUUAAUAAUUAGUAUGAUACAUAACAAGGAAGAUAAUGUUUGUGCAUGCGUUAUGAUACAUCACAAAUUUUCUUAUUAUGAUACACAAGUAAGAAUUUUAUCAAUAUGCCUGAUACAUAUAUUAUAGUUAUGUAUCAUAAUCUAAGAUGUAACAACUAUUAAAGCUAAUUGUUAAUAUGAUACAUUACUUAUGUAUAUAACUAUAAGUGAAUGCGUUAUGAUACAUCACUAUUUAACACUAAGUAAGAAAUUUACGAGGAUGUCUAAUACAACCUGAUACAUAAGUAAGAAUUUUAUCAGGAUGUUUGCUACAUAUGUUAUAGUUCUGUAUUAUAAUACAAUAUGUAACAAAUGUUAAAGGUAAUUGUUAAUCUGAUACAUUACUUAUGUACAUAAGGUCAUAAAAUGUGUUAUGAUACAUCAGUGUUUUUUAAUGCAGGGGAUGAAAUACGUGAUCAAAACUGUUCCACAUCAUCCUUUGAGGUUUGACAUUUCAUGCAACCGUAAUUUUGCGACUGAUGUUGAAUACUUUGUGGGUAAAAAGUACUAAAUAUGUUUAAGGAGACAUGCUUUGGUAUGUCUGUUGAUAUGCCUAAAUCAAAUUUUCAAGGUCAAAUAACCAAAAAUUUGUUGAUGUUUGAGUGUAAACAAGAUAACCCAAAUGAAUUUCAUGUUUAUGUCAAGAAAGCAGUUUUGAAAUUUACGAUAUUUGAAUUCGCUCUCAUUAGUGGUUUGAAUUGCACCUCAAACAUUGAGGACUUUCAGUAUCCGAUUUCAGAUGGCUCUGUUUUAAUGACAAAGUAUUUCUCAGUAGCAAAAAAUGGAAUAUUCAAAAAAAAAAUUGUUGAACGGUAUAAGAUGAGAAAUUUUGACAAUGAUCAGGAUGCAUUGCAGAUGACCAUAUUAUUUUUCAUUCAUACGUUUUUGUUAUCUGAAACUGAUGAUGCAACUGUUAGUUUUAUAGAAUUCAAUGUGGCAGAGGAUGGUCGAUAUGAACAAUAUCCAUGGGGAAAGAUUGCUUUCAACAAGUUGAUGAACUCGUUGAGACAGGACUUUUUCGUUGAAAAGUAGCUUUAUCAGUUAGGAGGAAUGCCACAUGUUCUCAACGUCUGGAUGUACGAAUGUUGUUCUGAAGUAGAUAAAGACAUUGCUUGUUGCAUUGGUAAUCGUAUCCCGAGGAUAUGUAACUGAUUUUUUGUUGGAACAAAACCUAAAUUCGAGAAGUUCAUGAAUGGAAUGUUUAGCAAGGUAAUUUAUAUUUAUUUUCAAUCUUUUUUUGUAUUUUAUAUUGCACACAUGAAUAUUUUUUUUUAUGUUUUCAAUAUAUAUUUUCUUGUCAAUAUAUGAUAAAGCAUGUAACUUGUUCAUACUGUAGUAUAUUUGACGAUCAGACAUCUUCCAUAUCAAUUCCUACAACAAAAUAAUUUUUUUUUACUAUUACAUUAUAUAUUACAGUACUCAUAUGAUACAUUCUGAUACAUAACUGUACAGUUUGUGGUAUAUCACUACAUGUUAUGUAGAAUAUUGAUACAUUAUUUUCCUUACAUUCAUUUAACUAAAUUUGUUAUUUUUUUCAAUCCCAAUUAUAGUAUGUGUAUACCAACAUAAGUCCUACAGUUGAUGAUCUGAAAUGUCUUCAACUGCCAAAUCAUGAUGGAAUGGAUUUGAAAGAUUCUGUCAAUUCAACUUUGCCAUCCACAUCUUGUAGACACCCGAUAAAAGUUGAUCAGAAAGCUAAAAUGAAAAUUGAUUCAUUACCUUUGGAUGAUUUUGAUAAUUUUACUACCCCACCACCGCUCGAAUUAUUAACUAAGUCAAAGGCCAGGUCAGAUAGAUCAUUGACACCGCCUUCAAAAACAAGAAAGACAGACGCUGAGUGAAAAGAAUCGGUGAUAGGUCAAGAAAAGAUUAAAGCUCACCCCUCUAUUAAAGAAGUCAAUAAAUCACCUUCUGGCAUAUCAAACUCAAUUGCUGACCCAAUCAAUGAAGAAGCUCCACAUGAACCAUCUCUAAUGGACUUCGGUGAAUAGACACCACCAGCAGAACAAACCCCACUAGUUGUCGAAAGUGUGCGUGAGUCCACACAGAAAAUUAAUGUGUCUAGAGGAACAUAUCGUGAGCAAGUUUUGAUGAAAGUUGAUAUGAAUGCAAUUGAAUCAUUAGUCAAGACAUAUGUAAGUGCAACAUGAAUUUUUAUUUUUAAAAUUGAAUAUCUUAAAAUAUCUAAUUUACUUUGUUAAACUUAUGCAGGUUGACAAAAGAUUUGAUGACAUUGAAGCAUUAAUGAAAAACAUCAUGAAGAAAUGAAAAAACAACAUGAAGAAAUAAUGUUAUCUGUGAAGGAGAAGCAUGAUGCUCCACAAAACUAACUUUUAAUAUGAUCACAUCAAAUUUUAUAAAAUUUUAUAUAUUUUUAUCUUUUUAAAAAUUAUAUGUUUUUUUGGUUGUUAUUGAAAUCGAUAGUUCAAAUAAAUAUUUGGAAAAGAAUGAGAUACAUGGUGAUGAUUUGAAAACUCCAAAAGAACAUCAAAAGGAUGCACCAGAAAAGGAAAAGUAGUAAGAAUAUUAAAAAAAAGUAUCGUAUAUUAUUUCUAUAAUGUAAUGAAUUUUUGUGGUUCAGAAUGAUGAUGGAAAUGCUGUAUCUACAGGAGAUCACAAGAGGGAUGAAAAAUCAUCAACUAAGUCUUCUAAGAAAUUCAAUUUUGAUGAUCCAGCUAUCCGAGAAAGACUAUUGAAGUUCAAAUUGUAUAGAAGGUACUGAUAAAAAACUAUUAUAUCGAGUGUAUGUUAUUAAUGUGAAAAAUUAUAUGUUACUUAGAUAUUGCAUUAUAUGUUGUACAACUGACACAUUCAAUGUAAAAAGAUUGAUAUAUUUGUCAAUUCUUUCUCAACAAUAUUGUUAUUUCAACCUAUAUAAGUCUUACAUGUUCUUUAAUAUCUAAUUAAUUUCAUGUUUCAGGAAGGUGAAACUGAGGUUAAGAAUGAUGCGUUUCAGCAUUCCAUCGAUAACUCCAUAAAUGACAUUUCCUCACCAGUUAGUGCAAUACAAUCUGAGGAGCUUUUACAGAAAAAAAAUCUCCCUGAUCUCAUUUUUCCAACAGACAAUAUUGAAGUUCGAAAUGAACUGCAAGUAAAUAUAAAAUACAAUUGUGGAUUAUUUCAUAUGGGAUCUCUUUCAUCCAAUCAAUAUUAGUAUAAUGCUAUAACAUUUGGUAGCUGUAUCUAACAAUUUACAUUUUCCAGGUGUCCAGCACUGAGAUAUCUUCUAAUGCAUUUCAAAAAUCGAUAGAUAAUGUAAUAGCUGGCAUGUACACACCAGUCGUUACAAUGACAAUAAAUUCAGACGAUCUUUCACAAAAAGUCAAUCUUCCUAAUCCGUCCUUAAAAACUGACAAUGUUGAAGUUCCAAAUGAACCGCAAGUAUGGAUAACACAUGAGGUUUGGAAUAUAUAUGUUAUUAAUUAGGAAUAUCUUUGUUUAAAAGAAGGUUAAGCAUGUUAUAUAAUUUACCUCAUACAUUAAAUACACUAAAUUAAUGUUUUAUGAAAUGUAUCAGACCAUUAUUACAUAUUAUGAUACAUAACUGUUUCACUAAAUUAUAUGGGUUAUUUCUUAUAAAUACGGCCACAUAGAUAUAAUGUUAACGAUGUAUUACACUAUAGAUGUCAUAUGGAUUCUUAUACACACUUAAUUUAUAUCUAAUAAUUUAUCUUUUUCAGGAGUCUACCAAUGAUACUUCAACUGAUGCGUUUCAGGAAUCAAUAGAUAAUAUUAUAGCUGAAAUUUCCACACCAGUCGUUGCCAUGAAAAUGAAGUUUAUUAGUCCCACUGAAAUCAACGACAAUGAAUGUCAAAUCCAUGAUAGUUGAUUUCCAUCAGUUAUUCCUGAAGCAAACUUGGAUAAACAGGAUGCCAUUAAAAUACGUGCACCAAGAAAUAGGAAGCGAAGUAAAAUAUUCAGCUCACCAUUUACAACUGAAUUUGGUUCAAGUUGUGAAGGCAAAGAAUAUGCAACAGUUGAUUUUCCUCGAAAGCAUCCGUUUGAUGAUUACUUUAUUUCUCAUGAUAUACCGAACGGACUAAUCGAAGAGUACUGUGAUUGAAUUGUCGAAGGAUUAUUAAAGUGUCAUGAAAAGAAGUAAGAUAUUUUUACUUUUUUCAUUAUUAUUUUAUAAUUUUAAAAUCACAAAGAGUAUUAUCAUUUCAUUAUACUCAUGUAGGAAAUUGAAGGACAACCACUACAGAGCUAAUAAAUCAGGAAUUGAUUUUAGUUUAUUGAAUUUUGUUGUUGCACAACCAGACUCAAAGAACUAGUUUUACACAAUGUCUUAGCCUAACACCUGCUGGAAUGAUGAGGUAUUACAAAAAAUAUUACUUACAUGUACAAUAAACAGCUUCUGAUACAUAUAUAUAUAUAUAUAUAUAUAUGGGGAUAUCAAUAAAUUAUUUAUUUUAUUAUUUUAAGCAGCAUGUAAAUGUUAUAUCUACUAUCUUCGAAAGAAAUCAAAGCAACAAAAGGAUCAAGAAUAUUGAUACACUACGGUUAAUUGCCUGUUCAAAACAUACAUCGAUGCGACAUACAAAUGUUACUUUGAGGAUGCAGUGGGUGAUUCUCUCUCAACUCAAGAUGAUUAUAAAAGAUCGUGUUUUGUUGCAAACAAUGAAGAAUCACUGAUAAACAUCAUCAAAGGGUUCAACAUACCUACUACUUUGCCUUGGCACUUGGUCAAUGAUGUAUACUUUUCUGUAAAUUGUGAUGAAAAAUUUCACUGGAUGCGGGCUGUGAUAUCUGUAAAGAAAAGAUGUAUCUGCAUGUAUGACUCAAUGUUGUCAUCGCAUUAUAGAGAGCCAUCACAUGAGAUCAAAAAGUUGUCUGUGAUGCUGCCAACAUACCUUAAUGAUAGUGGAUUACUAGAAAAUACUGAACAAACUGUAUGGUCAAGUCUCGAAACUUACACAGAUAAGAUAGUCAAGUGGCUGGUGCUUUGAAUAAAAAUUUAUUUGAUGUUGAAUACAUUGAAAAUAUUCCGCAAUAAGACAGUGAAAGUUUGUAAGUAUAUCCUCACAGUUUUAUAUAUCUAUAAAUAAUUCAUCUCAUUUUUUAUUGUUGAAAAUUUUCUAAAUUUACAUAAUUUAAGCUGACACAUUAUUAUACAUUUAUUGUCCAUGUACAUAUGUUUUGAUACAACAAAAAUUUUCACAUUAUUAAGCAUCUAACUAAAUGAUUUGUCAUGCUUAGGGACUGUGGAGUUUUUGUGGCAGCUUAUGCAGAAUUUCUUAGCUAUUAAAUGCAGAUUCCUUCACCAAAUCUUGAUGCAGAAUAUCUUUAAAAGAGAUAUGCAAUACUCUUAUGAAACUAUGGAGUUAAAAAGACUAAGAAGAUUUAUUCUAGUGACCAUGACGAUUCACCAAGAUCACGACCAUUUGAUGUCCCUCCGACUGAUGAGUCUAAUAUUGUAGCCAUAGAGUAGAUGCUAGGUUGUUCCAUAGCUCUGUUCUUAACAUUGUUUUUGUUGCUAUCUUAUUGGCCUCUAUUAAUGUAAUUUUAGACAUUAAUUUUAAUAGUGAUGUUUUUGUGGAGAAAUUUUCAUCAAUUUUUUGAACAAUUAAAAUUUGUUUAUGAUAUGUUAAAUUUUCAUCAACACAUGAAAAUCGAUGAAUUAUACAUGUGAAAAUUGUUGACAAGGUUUGCAAUAAGUUAGUUACUGAAAAGAUAUGUAUCAGACAUACUUUUUUCAAAAAUGCAUGCAAUUUAUCAUAUUACUUCAAAGUGUCUCAGAUCAAAUUUGAAACAUAUUUAAAGUAAAGUAAUAGGUAUAACAAAUAUAACUAAAAAAAUUUCACAUUCAGCUAUGAUACAUCACAUAUUCAUGCAUCAUAUAUUCUGAAGUUACAGUACAAAUAUCAAUAAGUCAGUUAUUAUAAAAUUUUCUAUUAUAAAUAGUCUUUACAAUUACUUCUUGAAAUGUAUCAUAUUACAAGCUACAUUGUAUCAUGAAUCCUAAACUUACAUUAAUUAUUUGUGUAAAUUUUUCAGUUUUUAGUGCAGUUACAUACAAGUGUUGUUUCCUAAAACUAAUUAUACUGAAAAUAACCCCAAUAAAAUGAAUAGCCUUUCAUGAUAGAGUUGCUUUCUAAUUUGAAGAACAAUCUAAAAAGUUGUUGUAAUGUAAUAGAUUACUUAAGAAACAAUAUUAAAUAAUAAAUGAAAUUAAAAUGAUAAGACAAAAAUAAUCCACUAAAACAAACAAUAAUUCAAAUUAAACAUUGUUCCAACAUUAUUCAAACAUAGCCAAAUGAAAACCAAACUAACAGUGAACAACUUAACAUAGAUCGUUCAAUGUAUCAGGUAACCAAAACAUCAAUUAUCCUUUGGAAAGAAGUUGCAAGUACGUCUAUUUUGACCUUCUUGACCACAUUUUUCACAACAGUUUGUACUGGAGGAUAGUUUUUCACUUGCUUUCUUACACCUACCCUUUUUCGGCCUCUCAGAUGAUCUUUUGUAUUUGGAUGAUAUGACUUCUUCUUCUUCGACACAUCUAGGCACAUGUCAAUCCUUUUUAUCGGGCAUAGGUACUACUGGAACAUCAUAUGUCUUCACUAAUAUCACAAGCUUAUAGUAAUCAGAGCACAACGAACGAAACUUCACAAUGCGUUUACUUCUCAACACUGCAAUCACGUGCAGACAUGAAAUUUCAUCAAUCUGAAAUCUACAGCAGUUGCAUUUGUUAGCAUCCAAGUCCACAACGUAUAUUUUUCGAGAUUCAUAAACUAAAUAAUGAUACUCUGAUGCAGGCUUGACCUAACAAACAAAAAAUCACACACAAAAAAUAUAACGUACAAUAAAUUUUUAUUCAAUAAAUAAAACUUAAAAUGAGUAAUUAUUUACAAAUACCGUCAUUCUAGAUGCUUUAACUCCAUUAAGUGUUAGGAUUUUGUCAAACUUUCUACCUAAAGUUGUUUUUGUAUAUGAAGUAAUUUCUCUAUUUUUACAAUUUCAUGCUCCAAAUAAUUUUCUGACUUCUUUCAAAAAAUCUAAAAUCGACAAUUUAUGCGGCUCCACUAAACAAUCAUUUAUACAUUCUGCAAUGUUAGAUGUCAUCAUCCGGCCUUUAUUUAUAGGAGCAUGAACCCUUGACCACUACUCAUCUCCUAUAUCAUAUAGAUAAUCAUUUAUCCGGUGAUCAAUUUUAUCAACCUUUGCCAUAAGGUAUUCAAAAUCUUCCUUUCUGUAUGCUUUGGACAUCGAAUAAAACAGGUCGUUAAGUCUAUCCUUUCUCCUUCUAAAAUUUAAACAAACGUUCUUCCAAAGAUGCCAAAUGCAUGCUAAGUGAGGAACAUUUAGAUAGACAAUGAUUGACACUUUUAAUUAUUGUUUCAUUACGAUCUGAUUCAACACACAUGUUCUCAUGCUCCCCCAAAAGCAUUCUUAAAUUUCUCAAAAAAUCAUGUUCAUGCGGAAUUAUUUUUUGAGUCAACAACACCAUAAGCAAUUGAUAAUAUGCAACCUAAAAAAAUUCAUGAAGCAUGAUUUUUAACAAAAUGGUGUUAUAAAAAUGUGUAUACAAUCUAUAAAGAAUACGUUCAAUUUUCAGAUGUACAGUUAUGUAUCAUAAACUAUACAAUGAUGUAUCAUAAACUAUACAUUUAUGUAUCAUACUAUAUUAUAUAUGUUCUACACAGUAUCAUAACAGCAAUUAAAGAUUAUGAUUAGUCAUACCUGUACCAUCAAGAAUGCUAGUAGAAAGAAAAGUCCCUUGAGAUGGUCCACUCAAAUGAAUACCGUCUACCACAACAACUGAUCUGCAAUGCUUGAAACCAUGGAUCAUUGACUGUAAAGCUAUAAAUAAAUAUUUGAAUUCAUUAUCUACAGCCUUAUGCAUCCUGAUGUGUGAUCCCGGAUACACAGAGUUUAGCAUGUAGAUGUAUCUCGGCAUUUGUCUAUAUCCGUCAGCAGUUCCACCCCUAAGCAUUUCUAUAGUACGCUCCUUGGCACGGCAAGAUUUCAUGUAAUUGAUGUCAACACACCAUUCACAACUUUCAUUUCUUCAAUAAUGUCUACUAGAGUGUGUUUUCUCUUAUAGUUUACUAACUUUGGCUUUUUAAAAUUACUAACAAAGUUAGCUGUAGCCUGCAACUGUUUUAACACCCUAUCACUCAUAGAGCACGUAUGUUCAUCAUUGAAUUUCAGAAUUUAAAAAGAUCUGAAUCCAACAAGCAAGAUGCUUUCAUGUAUUAACCGCAAUUUUUAUUACGACAUUUCUAAUAAUAACUGCAUAUAUAAAUAAAUAAUCACAAUUUUUUUUUAAAAUAACUAUUUCAAAAAAAAUUUCUGUAUUACAUACUCUAAAUAGUUGUGCUACUUUAAACAAUUCUUAUAACACCAUUUUGACAUAUCUACGACAAAAACUACUUCACGUUCAUAUAUGAUAUUGUUUAUGAAUAACACGAUCAAAACAUAUUUUAAAAUGUAUCAUACAAAGAAUAUAAACACCAAACUCACACACACAAAACCAACAACAACAUAAUUUAUAAUAUAUUUUUUUAUCAGAUCCUGAUGCUCAAAAAUUAAAACUGUGAUCUAACACAUACUUUUCCAUUACAGCUUUAAGAGUUUUCUUAUCCUUAUACAACUGUUUCACCUUAACUUCAGUGUUAUGGUAAUUGGUGAUGAAUUUUCUUAUUUUAAUUUCUGAUUACAAAGAGUACUGAUUAUUCGAUUCAACAACGGCAAGUGCAGUUGCAUCUGAUUCUGUUCCUUCGACGCACAUUAUCGCACCAGUUUCAGCAUCAAAUUCUCUAUCUUCUAUCGAUUUAUCGCUUACUGUAAUGCAUAACGGAUACAUUACAAAAUCUAUAAAAAAAAAUAAAUUAAAUCAACGUAAACCUUAACACCAUUGUCAUUUCUAAUAAUCAUUGGAGCUGUAUUUUCGUCCACAAUAUAAUGAAUAUCUAUAUUUUUCUUUGCUUUAUCUAUCUCAAGUUCCGUUGCAAUAACAGAAAACAAACUUUUGUAAUUUUCAUAACUAAUUUCGUUUUGUCGGAUACCAGAAUGUCUCAGCAAAAUUGAAAUAUUCAUGACGAAAAAUUGUAUGAAAGAUUUGACAAAAACUUAUUUUUUGGAAGAAAUGGGCUGAAACACAAAUGAAAACGGCAUUCAAAAUUCAAAAAUAAAAUAUUCUGUUACGUGAUUUAAGUAUUACAAAACGGCAACUCCUAUUUUUUAGGGAUUUGAUUAAUCAACCCUAUUCUUAAUUACCGCUUAUUAAAUAAUUAACCGCAUUUAAUAUGCUACUUAUGUAUCAUAACACAAUGUAUCAUACAAUCAAGUAAUGUAUCAUAUAUGGGAUUUUCAGUAAUUUUUAAAAAUGUUUGGAGUGAAGGUAAUUAUAUAUGAAAUACUUGAAUUUUACGUUGUUUAUACAUUAAAUAAAGCUAAUAUACUAAGGAUUAUAUGUCCGGCCCACAUUCACCGGUAAAACCUGACUCAAUAUUGAAUUUUAAAAAGAGAUAAUCUCAUUUAUAUACAAAAAAAUAAAAGGUUUACAAUAAAAAUCUAACCCACUCAUUCGCUUGAAUAAAAUCAUUACGAAAUAUUAUGGGUGUUCAUGGUUUUGAUAAAAAUUGUUCCAAAUAGAAAAAUCAAAUCAAACCGAUUAAAUAAACUAAUUUUAUUUGAUUUGGUUUGCUUUGGCUUAUAUUUUAAAAAAACGGAUAAUAUUUGAUUUGAUAUGAUUUUGAUUUUCAUUGAAAAUUAUUUAUAAUUUAAAUAUCUUGUAUUAGAUAUAUGUCAUGAUAUGCCACUGUUUUAUGUAAUAAUGUCAAGAUUUUUUUUCUUUUUAAUGAAUUGUUGUCUUUCUUUUUUCCUUCUGAACAAAUUGUUGUCUUUUUUCCUUUUGACUGAAUAGUUUCUUUUUUAAUAACAGAACAAUCGAACUAAAUUGAACCAAAAUCGAUAAAUCUAUAUUAUAUUUGGUUUGGUUUGAUUUUAAUAAUUUAAAAAUCAAUUAUAUUGGUUUGAUUUUGAUUUUAACCAAUUAACGGUUUAAACCGACCUGCAACAACAACAUACCCAGUGUAUCACCACAAAGUGGGAUCUUGGGAGGGAAAGUGUACGCAAUUCAUACCACUACCUCAAACAAAGUAGACAAGUUAUUUUCGAUAGACCCCCGACAGUUUAAACUGACCAGUGAACAUCCAUAAUUAGUAAAAAAAAAAUUUAUUUCAGUUACUGUUGCUAUCUAGUUGUAUUUUCUCCUUAUUUUUAUAGAUUUUAGUUUCAUAAAAUAUCAAUAAAAUUUUUGUAUAAAACAAUCUCAUGACCUAAUAUUAUUAAAAAAAGAGUGUAGGUAUUCUCUCAUUAUAUAAUCCAUUGAGGGAAGCGGAUUGGACACAUACAAAAUGGUCAAGAUAUGACUAAUAUUUUGUUCAUAUUUUCAUAAUCCCAAAUCAAGAACUAAUUAAGGUUGUCACAUUAUUUUUGAGAUGAGAUUAUCAUAAAAUUCGGUCAAAGUAAUUUAUGAUGAUAGGAGUAAAGUAAAGCAACUUUAGCGUAAUGAAAAAAACAAAAAAUAACAUUUGUGUAAUAAACUCAAAGCUAAUAGACCGUGGAUAUCUAUAGUAACUUGCCUUUUUUCUUUCGUUGCUUUAGUUUAAGUUUUGAGCUCUUCUUCAUAAAAUUUUUUACAGGAGUUUUAUUGGUGUCUUGAAUUUUCCCUGAAACCUCUAUAACAAUGUCAAUAAGUUUGACAUAGAACAUACCUCCUUUUCCGCUACUACACACAAGAAAAUAGAGAGGAGGAACAAACAGAGAGUAAAGCAGAUACAACACUACCAAGAACAUCAAAACUUUUUAGCAUAUCAUUCAACAUAUUCAUAAUAAAAGAGGGGACCUAGCCUUAUAUUUAUAGGCUUAAAAGUCUUAACCUAGUGAACUCCCCAUUACGGGCUCACAGGUCUGCUACAGGCCUAUACUAUUGUCUGACACUGUUGAACUAUAGUGGUACUUGCAUCAACCAAUGACACAAUACUAGUCCAAAAUUACUAACAUUGAAAUUUUGUAGACUUAAACCAAAUGGUGUGGUAGUGUAGCAAGAAAUAGUCAACAUGAACUCCAAAUCGAGGUUAUUUCAUUGUUAGUCCUUCAAAUAUUUUUUAUAUCAAUAUGUACGCUUAAAAUCAACAUGCAUAUCAUAGAAAAAUUGUCACCGCGAUUUUUUGUUACAACAUGUGUGAGCACUAAAACAACAUAUGCUCCACUAGAAAAUCUUGAUUUUCAAGGUUCAACAUGCGCAGUAUAUUACACAGUGCAACAACUAGAAAAAUCCGCAAGGUAGAAUGAUAUACCAUAUAUGUCUCCAAAAAGAUCCAACAAAACAACAAUAUGAUCUUAUCAAUAUGAGACAUAACGAACACAUAAGGCAAAAAGCCUUAAUAUAAUAAAAUAAUAUUAAAGUGUGCACAAUAACAAUCAACAAUAUAAGUGAUAGCAAAAUCUACCAUAGCAUAAAUAUCUUAAUAAAAUAGAUAAUAUCACCCUAAGCCCCAAACAAUAGGUUAAAUUGUCUAAUGACAAAUAAAAAAUAAUAUUAAAUACUCCCACUAACCUAGUAAAUCAAAUGACUUAACAACACCAUAUUUUGAACAAAUUGCAUAAAAACUAUGGGUCUUAGCCCCUUCGUUAGUGGAUCAGGAAACAUCAAAUCAGUAGGUAUAUGUUCUAUCACAAUAUCCUCCUCCUUAACCAUGUCUCUCAUAUACAGAUAUUUUGUUUCCAUAUGCUUAGAAUAUGAAGAAGAUUUAUUAUUUUUUGAGUAGAACACAGUGUCCUUGUUGUCACAAUAAAUCUUCAAGGUCCUAGAGAUGAAAUCAACUACCACAAGCCCAGAAAUAAAAUUCUUAAGCCAAAUAGCUUGCGUGGAUAUACCACAACAAGCUACAAAUUCUACUUGCAUAGUGAAAGAUGUUGUAAGAGUCUGUUUCACACUCUUUCAAGAUAUCGCACCCCCAGAAAAUAUGAAGAUGAAGCCAGAAGUAGACCUCAAAUCAUCAGGACACCCAGCAAAGUCUGAGUUUGUGCAACUAAUUACCUCAAGGUCGUCAACCCUUUUGUACGCUAACAUAAAAUCUCUUAUCUUCUUCAAGUACCUCAUUACUUUCUUAGAUUAGUUUGAUAACGUUCAAGAGCAUUGACAAUGAAAGAAAUGUCAAGACGAGUGCAAACUUGUGCAUACAUAAGGCUUCUAACAACACUUGAAUAAGGCAAAUCUUUCAUAAAAUCUUUCUGCAGAUCAUUUUUGUGAUAUAAGUCUACGAUUAACUUUCACUUUUCACCACAAAAACAUCUCUGGGCUUAUAAGUUUUUAUCUGAAAUAGUUUCAAAAUACAAUCAAUAUAGGCCUUUUGUGAAAGCCUCAAUAACGUACGAGAUCUAUUUCUUCAAAUCUCAAUGUCCAAAAUAAAUGAUGUCUCUCCUAGAUCUUUCAUAUCAAACACUUUGUUCAAUGAAUGCUUAGUUUCAUGAAAUAGUUCCAAAUUAUUAGUAGCAAGUAAAAUAUCAUCAACAUAAAAGUUAUCGACAAGUGAUAAUUAUUGUACUCCCACUGAUCUUAAGAUAGAUGUAAUGAUCAAUUUUUUUCUCUACAAAACCCAUAAAAGUGAUAAUUUCCUCAAACAUCAAGUACCGCUAUCGAGAAGCUUGCUUCAAGCGAUAGAUAGAUUUCUUCAACUUACACACAAGAUAUUCAUUGCCUUUGCCAACAAAAUCUUGAUUUUUUUUUGCAUGUGAACCUCUUCAUUAAGACCACCAUUCAAAAAAGAUUGUCUUUAGAUCCAUCAGAUAUAGCUCAAGAUCAAAAUGGGCUACCAAUGCGAUAAUGAUUCUAAAAGAAUCCUUAGAUGACAUUGGUGAAAAGGUUUCAUUGUUAUCAACUCCUUCUCACUGUGUGAAUCCUUUGGCAACCAACCUCCCCUUAAAUCGUUCAACAUUUCUAUUUGAAUCUUUAUUGGUAUUAAAAACCCAUUUGCAACCAACAACCUUCUGGCCUUUAUGAAGCUCUGAAAGCUCCCACACAUUAUUAUUACUCAUGGAUUUUAUCUCUUCAGAUAAGACAUCAAGCCACAUCUUUGAUUCAGCAUAUGAUGAAACUUCAGAAAAGGUCACAGGAUCCAUAAUGUCACCUUCGGCUAGGUAUAUUAAAUAGUCAUCUGAUAGCGGUGAUUGUUUUAGUCUACUUGAUUUCCUCAAAUUCUAAACCUCUUCAUCAACAACAGCAGGUGCCUGAACCAAACCGCUUCUUCAAUAAUAGGCACCUGAAUUUCUACAGAUACAGGGUCAUAAACUUGCACAUGUAUAUGAUCAUGAGGUUCAUCACGUAUAGGCACAAACACAAAUGAUUCUGAGGUAAUAGUAAGAGGAAUUCUGACAACUUCAACACUUUUAGUUGGCUCACGAGCAACAUUUUGAGAAAAAUCCUUAUCUACAACAUUAAAUUCAAGAAAUUUUGCUUUUUGAGAUUCAACUAUAAUUGUUCCCUUGUAGGACAGUAGAAACUAUAUCCUUUAGAAUGAGAUGGAUAACCAAUGAGAAAACAACGUAAGGUUUUAGGUUUAGCUUUCUUUUUUGAAGGGUUAUGUAUCUUUACCUCAGCAGGACAUCUCCAAACUCAAAAGUGAUUUAAACUGGGUUUCCUAUUGGUUCACAACUCAAAGGUGGUUUUAGGAAUUGACUUAGAAGGGGCACGAUUAAAAAUGUACAUGAAUGUUUUAACAACUUCACUACAGAAGAACUCAGGUAAGUUGGAUCUACUCAUAAUACUUCUCAUCAUGUCUUUUAAAGUAUGAUUUUUCCUUUUGGCUUCGCCAUUUUAGUUAGGACUAUCGGACACAGUGUACUGGGAAACUAUGCCACAAUCCUAUAGAUAUUUGGCAAAUGGUCCCAUCUGUUACCCAGUCUCAAUGUAUCUAUCAUAAUACUCACUCCUCCGAUCAGACCUCACUAUCUUAAUGACCUUUUCCAGCCGUUUUUCUACUUCAGUUUUAAACACUUUGAAUAUUUCAAGAGAUCUGAUUUUUCUUUAGUAAGAAAAAUAUAAUCAUACCGAGAAAAGUCAUCAAUGAAAAUGAUAAAAUAACUUGAACUACAUAUUGUAGUAGAAUAUGGAUCACUUAUGUCUGUGUAAAUGAUUUCCAAUAAAUUAGAACUAUGAGUAGCACCCUUUUUUGUUUUAAUCAACUUUGCUCUAAUGAAAUCAAUACAUGUUCCUAUGUCUCCAAAAUCAAGAGAAGUAAGAUACUAGACUUAAUCAGUCUUUCGACUCUAUCUUUAGAGGUAUGACCCAAAGUCUUAUGCCAUAACAUGCCCGUAUUUUCAUUUAAAAUUGAUCGUUUAGACCCAAUAAUUUCAGAAUUAAAAGAGUUGUAUUCAAAAUCAGAAGUUAAGGAAAUUUUAGACAAACCAUCAGAAGGAUUCCAUGACCAACAACUCGAGAGUUCAAAAGCAAAUUAAUUUUUUCAUUAAGAGAAUUAAAAUCAUAAUCAAACUUGUAUAAAAUUGGAAUAGAAAUCAAAUUUUAUCUAAAAGACGGUACGUAAAGAGUGUUUUCACGAACAAGCUUAUAACUAGUUUCUAAGUCUAGAACUACAGUUCCUAUGAAUUAUACUUCAACUUGGACAUCUAUGGCGUCUCUAAUUCUUGACUCUAUUUUUUUUUUACUUCCUUUUGUUUUUGAACCCCUGCAAAGAAGUGAGGACACGAGUAGUAGCUCCACUAUCUAACCACCAAGAAUUAAUGGAAAAAUCUACAAAGUGUGACUCAAAACAAAUAAGAGCUGGAUGAUUAUCUUAUUGACUCCUUUUUAUCUAAGAAUAAACUUUGGUGCAAUAUCUCUACUUGUGAUCAGGUUUCUUAUAAAAAAAGCAAUUAUUAUUUUUCUUAAAAACCAUGUUAUUGGUUACAGGAUAAUCAGUCUGAUCUUUAUCUUGCUUGUUGUUGUCCCCAUCCUUUUUAAAAGUAUGAUUACUAGAUCUUUCAAACUUCUUAGGUCCCUUGCUAGAGCUUGCUUUGAAAUCAUGAGAAGCUAGCAUGGCAACCUCACCCUUAUCCUUUCUAAAUUUUUUCCUCUUAAACAAUACAUUUGAAAAAGAGAUCAUUGAUUGAUCAACAUUCAUCCUGAGUAUUAUAGGCAUUUUUUAUUCGGCUAAAUGCAACAGGUGGGGAUUUAAAAACAAAGUGAACAAUGUAAGUAUCAAAAAAAGUUAUUUCAAGAGUUUCUAGUUUAGACUAUAUGUGAACAUUCUUAAGUAUGUAAUCUCUAACCUCCCUAGUAAAGUCAUAUCGCAUCCCUGCGAGUUUAUUCAUUAGAUCUUCAGUCUCGACCUUAUUGGAUACAGAUAUCUUUCUUCCACUAGAGCAAGAAAUUUUUUGGCAUUGAUAGUUUCAGGCAGAUCACUUUUGAGGUGCUCAGCAAUCAGCCUCCUAAAGGCAAGGAUGCAUAACCUAUUAAAUCUCUCCCAUUUAGCAUUAAAUUUUUUUCAAUAGCUGUACUGAAAUUAGUGAGAGCCAGAGACUCAUUCUCAUGCAUGGCUUGAUCUACUUCAGUCAUGCCCAAAGGAAAUUUAAGAUUUUCUUUCCACCGCUUAAAGUUAGAACCUGAUUGUUUUAUCCCUUUUCGGAUUUCUUUUUGCGAGAAAAAUAGUUUUGAUCUUAAGACUAUUUCAAGAGAUUUAAAGAAAUGUCAAAAUAAUUUUAAGAAAAUUUACAGAGUCACCACUUGAUUUUUAUAGGAGAAAUCAAGAAAACUUUAAAGAGUUCUAAAGGUUCAAAAACAAAAAUAAACCUUUGAAACUAGAGAUAAUGGGUAAGGGUUCAAUUAAAGCCCUAAGAAGGUUUUUAAGGCACUUAGCAGCAUCCGUUUAAAAUGGUGUACCAAAAAGAACUAACUUGACUAAUUAAAGUGGCUAAUUUUGAAAAAAAGGUUAAUUUUUUGUAAACAAUUUAAUAGAAAAUAAUAAGAUUAGUUAUUUAACAUUUAAACAUGACAUCUAUUUAUUGAAAGGAGAAAAUUAAUAUUUGAUUAAACUAAGUUGUAGUUUUUCGAACUUAGAACGGGAAAUGAAUUUUAAUUUCGUAAAAGAAGAAAAUUAUGGAAAUCAUUUUCUUAUUAUUAAUCAUUAUAAAAAAGGGUUGAUUAUAUUAGAGACAAUACCUAUGAUAAAUGUUAAAGAGUGUUGAAUUAAAAACCUUUAUUGAUUACGAUAAGUUGAAAUUUAUAAGAAAAUUUAGUUUCUUGAGUUUUAAAGGAGUUAUUUUUUUUAUUCAAAUAGACUAUUUAGUUAUAUCAAGUGAAAAAUCACGAAUCGACUAAAAUACGUGACAAAAUAAAAUGGUAACGACUUAGGGGAUUUAGCUAGAUUAAUUAAUUUAAUAUGUUAGUUAGCACAAGUAAACAAUACAAGUUACAAAAAAUGAUGGAAGAAUUAAAAUUGGGCCCUCAAUUGACCCAUUAAUGAAGCUUCCCAGUUUUGGGCUUGAAUUAUGGACUUCAGUCCAUUUUCGGAAGUGUAUAUCAACCAAUGGCAUCCAAGAACUCUCUCUUCAUCACAUAUUAUCAUCCCAAAAUACUCUCCUCAUAAAAUAAAAAGUUUCAACAACUCUUCAAUGACUAUCAUGGCCAAAAUCUCUCCACCACCAUUUCACCAAUGCUUCCAACGUCAUCAACAUUUCCACCAUUCCCACUAUUUGACACUACUUCACAUUCCUUCAUUUUCUCCCCAUAUAAAAUCUUCAAUUUUUUUCUUUUUUUUCAUUGUCUACUUUUUUCAAAAUUUUGUUGAAAUUUUAAGAAUUAAGAAUCUAACAUCAAAAAAGUUAAGAAUCUUUAAGACAAUAUUGUAUUAUUCAUAUCAUGUUAUUUUUCACCACACUUCAAUCCAAUCCAAUCUUUUAGUUCAAAUUAUGAAUUUUAUCUCAAUUCUCUCUAAAAAUUUCUCUACUGUUUUCCACCGGAAUGGCUUCGCAGUAGCCGGUGAAACUUUUUUGGCGACCGGAUGGUACUCAAGAGGAGCGCAUUGAUGUUGCGCACCUAACCCAAAAAGAAUCUGUAGCUAAAUAGACCUACAACACUGAGAAAUUAAGUAAUAAAAUAGCGAUCUCUAAGUCAAUUUCGGAUGAACAAUAGUGUAGUGUUCAAGAGUUCAUUUCCCUUGUGAAUUCGGGUGUUAUUCAAAUAUUUCCAAGUGGUGGAAAUGUUAACAAAGAUGAAUUUCCAUCUAGCAAUGUAGAAUUAAACAUUUCCAUUGACCAAAAGCAGAACCCCAAAAUUGGCGAUUUAGCCACAAUUGCGACAAAACCAGAAAAAACAACCCCCAUUAGCCGCCAUCACCACCGCCACCCCCAUUAGCUGCCACCGCAAUUAUCACCUCCAUUACCUACAUCGCCACUGUCACCCCUCCCUCACCUCCUUUUAUCAAAUUUAGGGUGGAAUUAUGAAAUAAAAUUCAAUUAUAUGUGAGAGAUUGUUGGGAAUUUAAUUAUCUUUGUCUAAUUUCAUUUAAUGAUAUAGAUUAGAUGAUGAUUCAAGAAUAUUGAUAUUUUGUUUGAUGAGAAUGAUGAAAUUUUAAUUUGGGUUUGUAAAAUUGAAAAUGGUGGAAGAUGAGGGGAAAUAAUAAUUAAAAAUUAUAAUAAUAAAAAAAAUUGACUGGUCAAACGCGUGAGUUUCACCCUUAAGACUAUGUGGUUGUGGCUCUUUAGGGGUAUAAUAAUUUUAUUUUAAAAUAGUUCAGAGAUCAUAAGAUCCUACAAAGUAUAAAUAUGUAAUUGGAAUUUGAGAUAAAGAUUGAGGGAUUUUUGACCAUUUUCUGUUACGAAAUUAAAGGCUUCUUUUCCGGAUUUCAAGAUUCACAAUUUGUUCGUGUGGAUAUAUAAAGAGAGGAGAACAAUGUUUAUAACAUUUGAAAACCCAAAAGAAUAAAAAGGACAUAUGUAUUUUAUUUUAAAUUGAGUAGAUUUGAAGGUUGUUGGAAUUCAAGUGCUAAAUUCAUUUUAGAUCAUUACUAGCCACUGAAAUUAGAAAAUUGAGAAAGACUUUGAAAUUCAUUAUUGUUGAGCCUUGAAAAAGGCUGAAGGAGGAAAAAUUGGAUUUAUCGAAAUUCGUGGUUGUUGGCCAAAAUGAUUAUAGGGGUUCGAUGAUGAUACUGGUGUGAAGAAAGUUCUUCAAUUUUUCUUGUGAAGAGCAACAGUGUCGCUUACUUCUUUUUAUAUUGUUUGUUCAAGUUUUCUGCAACAGCAAAAGUACUUCUAGGUUGAAAAUGCUAACUUACAUAAUCAAUAAUACAAUUACUUUUAAAGUCGCAAUUUGAUGACUUCUUUAUAUUUGGUUGAAUCAUUUUCUUUAUUUUGUUCAGUUAUGGUCUUUCUCACUUUCUAUGUAGAUAAAUAAAAUACAAUUUGGACCAAUUCAUUUUUACCUAUAGGUCCAAUAUUAUAAGGUAUAUAUAUAAAUCUUUUUAGGUCUUAUUUCAUAUCACAAAGAGACUUUUAGCAGUCAAAAAAGAAAGAAAGUGUGCAGAUUUUUGCACUAAAAUUUCAGCCACACCUGUCAACUUCAAAUUGUGAUUCUCACUUCGUUUCUUAUUCUAUUGAGAUGAUUUUUGGACAGCUCGUUUCUCUCAUCUCUGAUUUUUGGACAGCUGGUUUCUCUCAUCUCAAUUUUUUAUCAGAAACUGAUGAAAGUUGAUUUGGUGACCUGUAAUUCAUGUUUUUCAUCCCUGAACAACAGCUACAUUUUUUGAUAAUUUUGCUCCUUUUAUUCUCUAGUUUUGGUGCUACCUUGUUGUGUUGUUCCUCAUUGUUUGACACUUGUUUUUUUGCCAAUUUAGGAGAACAAUAUUGUAACUCUUGGUGAUGGAGGUUUUGGUCCCAUGAUUUUUUUCUCUUCACAUCGAAGAAUUUUUCAUGUAAAUUUUGUGUCUUAUGUGGUUGAUUUUAUUCUUGUCUUGUUGUGUUCGUUUGAUUGAUUUAUUUGCUUCCAUAUUAUUACUGUUCUUGGAUUUGCUUGUCUCCUCUUGGUUCAAAUUGAAAGGAAAAGUUUAGAUUAAACUUGGGUAUUCUUCCGCUGCUACCUUAUCGUGCACUUUGAUAGAAGUUUGAUGAUGAUACUGGAAUAUUUGAAAUGAUAGCCACUUUAAAAUUUUAAUUUGAAAUAUACCCAUUAAAUAUUUUUAAUUUAUUUUUUAGGGUUAGAGUUGGAAAAAACAAAAAGUGGGGUAAAAUUGUGGGGUCAUGGGCCUAGCUCUUUAACAAUUUUAAAAGUUGAGAAUAAAAUACAACUUUAUAAAAAUACAAUAUGGUCCCUUUUUAUAUUUAUUAAAUAUUCAAACUUUUUUUAAAUCCAUUUAAUAAAUUCAAUAACUUCUCUCUCCUCAAAUAUUCUUCUUCCGAUUUUCUUUAUAUCUUUAGUAAAUUGAAACAAUUUGCUCGAUUGUUCCUCCCCAAGUCAAAAUUUUCCAUCUUUUCUUGCUCAGAUAAGUUUAAUCUUCUUCCCCGAUCAGUUUUUGAUCCAUUUUAGUAUAUUUUUUUUAUUUCAUUUUGUGUAGUCAUUCUUCGAUUUUGACGAAAAUUGUACUGUUCUUCAUUGAAUUAGUCAAAAUCUGAGAGUUUUUAGUUAAUAUUCUUGAUUCCGCAUGUUUAAUUGUGUUUUGCUUUGGAUAAUGGCUAGAAUUUUUUUUAAUUUUUGUAUUUAUAUUGCGUAUUGAUUUUGAAUUUUUUUUACUGAAUUAAACCCAUUUUAAUGGUGUUCUUGUUGCUGCGAAUUGCACUACUAAUAUCUGGAGAACUUGGAACUUGAUUUGCAUGUUUGAUCUGAGGCGUUUUCCCAUUUUUAUUAAUAGACUAUCGACCACUACAUAUUUAUUUUUGCUGCAUUUUUUCAUUUAUUUUAAUAGAUCAGUGAUCGAUAAAUCGUCCACUACAGAUUUAUUUUUGCUUGUAGAUCAUAAAUGGUCAAAGUUCAUAAAGCAGUUAAAAGGGCUGCUUGUAGCAGUAGAAAGCAAAAAGUCGAUGAAGUUUUUAAAAUUUUGAAGAGGAAAAAAUUUGUAAUCGAAGAACCUGAAUCAGAAAGUGAAUAAAAAAUACUUGUCGAGAUUGAGGAAAGUACUGCACAUGAGAGUGAUAAUGUUGAGGAAAACGAAGGAGAAAGCAAAGAAAAAAGUGAAAGUGAUGGUGGUGAAGAUGAGAAUAGGAGAGAUUGUGGAGACGGGGAGGAAGAUGGUCUCCUAUCCUUGCCAAUUUGUGCAAGAGAUAUCUCCAUUGAAUACAACGACCUAACAACUUAGAUGGAUGAUUUAGGUUAUUUUCCAGCAUUGAUUUUCGUAAGAGCAAGAAUGGUGGUUUAUCGAGAGUUUAGAAGGAUUCUAGUUGAACAAAAGCUCUAUACUGAUUUUAAGAAGACGUGUUUUGGACACUUGAGACACAUGACGAAAUAUUUUAAAUUUAAUGGAUAGAUGGUCCAAUAUGUAUUACUGUGACGUAUCAAAAUAAUAAAAAACUGCAUAAAAUUUAAUUUUGUGUGAACGAUAAGCCAGCUUGUUUCAUCUUAAAGGAAUUUACUCUAAUUACGGGAAUGAAUUGUUCAGCAUGUCCUCGUGAAUCAAAAACAAACAAAGUCCUCCAAAAUAGUGAAAUUAUUCAUUUUAAAGUGAUGAAGAAUAAGAGCAUUACUGCAGCAAGGAUGAUCAACCUGAUCAACGGUAAUAAGUUGACUAAUCAACAAAAGUUGAAGCACUUUAGUUUGGUUCAUGCACUCAAUACUGCUGGCAAAGGACCCGUCAAGGAAGGUGAAUUUAGCCCACAUAAAGAUGGCGGCUGAUUUAGAUUUCUCUGAGAGUUAUCCACGAGGGCAAGAGUCGUUAGGGCUAACAUUGAGCUAUUUAAAAAAGAAGGUUGAUUUGAGCAAGCAGAAAGAACCGUGGUUGUGAAGAGGAAUAAUGCAUCGUACAUUUUAUUCGAUUUUUUGGACAUUUCUGGUACUUAUAAUCUACUAUCUUAUCGAUUUAUUAUAGACUCUUACCUAUUUGUGUAGUAAUACAUAGACCCUGUAGAUUUAUUUAUGCUUCUAUUUAUUGCAGGUCUGGAUAUAUGAGGUCUUUCCUCAUCGUAGAAGGUAUGUUGAAAAGUCAUUGGAGUUUCCUAUGCCUAUUUCACGUCUACUUAGAUGGCACACGCCAAAUAACGGCAACAUAAUGAAAGAUGACCCAUUUAAGUAUAAAGAAAACAACAGAAGGGUAAAAUUGUACUUAUUAUAAUAUGAUAAUAAUAUUAUUAAAUUAGUGAAUGUCGUGUAAUUUAUAUUUUUUAUAGACUGUGCACCCAUACCUUAUCCUUACUAUCCAUGAGAUGGAGCAGACCUACAUGAAAACAUUUAAGUCAUACGCAAACGAAGGUAAAGACACAUCCAUCGAUGCCUUGAAAUUGCAGUUAAAAGGUGUGACUGUCCUCGCUUCAUAAAUGGAGGUCGAGGAUGAAGACGAAGAUUUGGAUGGUCACAAAUAUGUCCCAAGUACAGCAUGUGCUUGUGAUCAUGCUGGUUUAAGUGGACUCAAAACUGCACCAGACAUUUCUAAUGAUGAAGACCUGUGUGAGCAUAUUGCUUUGCUCGAGAAAACUGUUCUGGAUAUUACUUUUUUUGUUAGAGAUGAGAGGUCGAGGAGAAUCGAAAAAAAAAAGCAGCAAGAUCAAGGUAAACUAAUUUAUUUUUUAUUUUUCUAAUUUAAUUUUCUUACAUAAUUUUGGUACUCCUUUCAAAACAAUGCAGCGUCGAUAGUUGCCCUUGUAGCCGACAUCAAGUAAACCUUGAAAAACUCGCAGUCAUAGUGAAUGGCCUUGCAGUAGCAGAUGAAAAAAUGAAAGAAAAGAAAAAAUAGGAGAAGACAGUAGAUGAACAAGAUAAGAAAGAAGAAGAAGAAGAAAACAAAGAUAAGGAAAUGAAAACUGAAGAAGAAGCAGAAAAUGAGGAGAAAACAGAAGAAGAUGGUGAAAAGAAAUCAGAAGAAGAGGAGAAGAAAAAGAGAAGACAGUUGAUGAAGAAGAAAUGACUGAAUAAGAGAAUUAAAAUAUAGAAGAAGAGAAGAAAUCUAAAUAAGAAGGAGAAGAAGAUAAAGAAAAUGAGAAGAAAGAAAUAGAAGAAGAGGAAGAAAAAGAUGAAGAAAAAUGAAAUGGAUGUGAUGGGCAUUGUUAAGGAACUCAAUGAUGAUAAUAUGUAGUUUGGUGUCUUGAAACACAUAAUUUUCUUAAUGAUUUAUUAUUUUUAAUGAUUUGAUUUUUUUGAAUAAUUGAAUUACAUAUAUUUGGCAAAUCAAUGAUGACAUUUACUGAUAAAAUUAUGUUCAGUUAUUCCAUUGCCUUAUUAGAUUAUACAGUUGAUUUCAUUGUGUUAUCAAUUUAGCUAUUGUCCUAAUUUAUAGAGGCCAAUGACAAAUAUUAUAGAAGUCAUUCUUUAUAAUUUAUAGACUGCACCCAUGAUUGAUUUAAAAAAUCAUACAUUUACAAUGAUGAGAAACAAGUUUACUGUUAUAUGUUGCAUUGGUUACCACUUCAGUUACUGUCAUAGUUUAUAGAGGUUAAUGAUAAACGUUUUAAAAGUCAUUCUCUAUUUAUUAUAGACUGCACCCACGAUUGGUUUAAGAAAUCAUACAUCUUUUUAUUCAGUUUUCGACAACCCUAUUACACCUUUGCUGGAACCGAACACCAACAACAAAUCAUACAAUAAUUUUUUAGGUCAUUCUUUUGCUCUUCGAACAAAAUCAACCUUUGCUUUAGUUGAUUCCUCUUUAUUUCAAUUUCUUUUAGUGAUCCUUUCAAAUAAUCUCUUUGCUCUUCGACUUCUUUUAACAAUGUCAUGAGUGGAUCUCUAUUUUCUUCAGAUUUUUGAAACUUUUGUAGUAUAUAAAAAUUUGAAAGCGCCUUGAAAAUUUAAUGUCGAUGGGCUGCUAGUCGGUGAGUUUUCCACAAGCCACUUAAAAAAAGAGCAUCCACUAUUAUCCUUGACCAAAAAAAUAAGUUAUUGCAUAAAUUUGCUUGCUUAAAAAAAAUAAAUCACAUAUUCAUAUACACACUCACCUUUUCAACCGCAGAGUUAACAAAUUUUCGACCGGGAUUCGAAUCGGUGCGUGACGUCCUCAAGACAACUGGAUUGCCACAUGGACAUAUGUAGGACACUUUUGCAUUUUAUAUUUGGUAUGCUUGAGAUACUGUAGUUGUUUAAAAAUGAACAAAAAAUAAAGCCGAAAAAAUGAGAGUGUUAAAACAAAAAUAGUCUUUCUUUUAUACAAAAAAAGAAGUGAGAUAUUACUGUUGGAUGUGAUUUGACAUAUACUAUAUUACCGUUGUAAAAAAUUCAUAUUUAAAUUUUAUUACUCCUCUUUUAUAGACCUUAAAUAUAAUUGAUGCCUUCUCAUACAUUGGGUAGAUGAUGGACCAUAUAGAUCGAUACUCGGUCAUUACUAAGGUAUAUACAGAUUAGUGCAAUGAUAAAAAAUAUUAGUACAUAUAUCAAUAAUUAAAUAAACGAUAUUGAAUUGAGGACCAUCGAUUGUGUCCAUUGUAAAUCACACAAUGCAAGCCUUGUCAAUAAUAGACUGUAUUGGUUUAUUAUGCUUAGUAACAUAUUGUGGAUAAAAGAAAAUAAUUAAUUAAUAAGAAAAUAAAUAAUUGAAUUUUAUGCAAUUAAAUGAGUUUAAACAAGUCAUGUGAUCGUAUAAGAGUUCAUGUAAAUUGGAGAAGGUGAUCAAAGAUGUGUGAGGAUGGGUAGUGGUUCUACAACCAACAUCCUCACGGUAAUGUUUACCCAAAGCACAAGUAUGUUGUAAGAAAUUCAUUUGUUCAACCACAACUCAUCACCUCACAUCUUUGAUCAUCGUUUUUAAUUUAUGUGGACUCUUAUACGAUCAUAUGAUUUGUUUAAGCUCAUUUAAUAGCAUAAAAUUCAAUAAUUUAUUCUUUAUUAAUUAAUUAUUCUCUUUUUAAAAUAUGUGCUAGUUAUGAUCUAUAAAUAUGUAUCCUAGUCUAGUUAGUUCAUUGUCGAAGUAGUUCAUAGCUUAUGCUAGACCAUAUCAGGUAGAGUAAAUAACUAAGCAUAGUCUAGCAUAAACGGUGAACUACUUCAGUAAUAAGCAAACUAGACUAUGAUACAUUUUUAUAGACCAUAACUAGCACAUAUUUUGAAAAGGAAAUAAUUAAUUAAUAAAAAAAUUAUUAAUAUUUAUGCUAUUAAAUGAGCUUAAACAAGUCAUGUGAUAGUAUAAGAGUUCACGUAAAUUGAAAAUGGUGAUCAAAUAUAAGAGGUGAUGAGUUGUGGUUGAACAAAUCAAUUCCUCACAGCAUACUUAUGCUUUGGGUAAACAUUAUCCAGAGGAUGUUGGUUGUACAACCACUACCCAUUUUCACACAUCUUUGAUCACCUUCUCCAAUUUAUGCGGACUCUUAUACUAUGACAUGACUUGUUUAAGCUCAUUUAAUUGCAUAAAAUUUAAUUAUUUAUUUUCUUAUUAAUUAAUUAUUUUUUUCAUAAUAUGCUACUAAGGGCAGUAAACCAAUAUGUUAUAUUAUUGACAAGGAUUGCAGUCUAUGAUUUACGAUAGACAAAAUCGAUGGCCCUCAAUUCAAUUUUAUUUAAUUAAUUAUUUCCUUUUUUUCACAAUAUGCUACUAAGGACAAUAAACUAAUAUAGUAUAUUAUUGAUAAGGCUUGCAGUCUAUGAUUUACAAUGGACACAAUCGAUGGUCCUCAAUUCAAUUUUAUUUAUUUAAUUAUAUAUAUUUUUGAAGAUGUACUAAUGUUUGUUUAUCAUUUCACCACCACACAUAAUGGAAUUUAUUGACUAUGUACACAUUCAUGAUAGAUAUUGAGCUCGGUAAAUCAUAAACUCCAUCGACUUUAUAAUUAAUUUUGUAUAAAAUAACAUAAUUGCUGAUAGAACAUAUUCAUUAUCCAUUAGCAUAUAUGAAUUUGUAUACAUAUACAUAUACAUAUAUAUGUAUAUAUAUAUAUGAUAGACCAUAAAUUUUGACGUCUGACAACUGUUUCAUUCAUUUUAUAACAGGGGAAAUUGAAAAAUUUCAAACAACAACAAAAUUGUAAAACUCAAGUAGAGACAAUAUGUAGGAAACAGAAAAUACUUCAGUUCAUUAGUUCAUUGCAACAUCGUUUAACAUAAUAUGAACACCAAAAUACAAGCAAAAAGAGCAAAAGAAAGAAGCUUUCAUCUAAAGAAACUCCUAACCAUGAGAGUUUCUUUGCAAUAAACUAGCACUACAACUACGUCGGAGUUCCCGUGGAUGUGCUCCAUGUUCACCCUCUCGAUGAUCACCCGUAAAAAUGGGUGAUACGCCGGAGUUCCCGUGGAUGGGCUCCAUGUUCACCCUCUCGAUGAUCACCCGUAAAAAUGGGUGAUACGCCGGAGUUCCCGUGGAUGUGCUCCCAGUCCUGAACCAGACCAUAGAAUAGACAGUCCAAGUCAUUGCAAAGGAGAAAGAAGUCAUGGUAACGUUGGGAAUGCAUUCUCCUUAGUGGUCUAAGUGUGAUUCCCGGCAUCUGUUGGUAUUUAUCAAAUUUUUGGGUUUAAGAAAAGGAAUAUUCAGUGGAGUAGAUGAAUAUUUAUAUAGACCAAAAUAAAAGACCUUUGGUCUUCCCAUCCAAUAGUUGGUCGAUGCAUGGAUGAAUGAAAGUCGAGUAGGUAGCGUAUACCCAAUCGACGUAGCGUGUGAGUGAACGUACAACAACUUUUUUGAUGUGUCAUAAAUGUCCGAUUGUCUAUAUGUUCGAUUGAAUAAUUAGGGUUUUUCAAUAGACUUAAAAUAGGAUUGAUAAUAAACUUUGUUAUAUAUAAAGAAUACAUGCAAUAGAUUGGACACACAAUAUAUGCUAUAACUUAAGCGAUUGAUAAUAAACAAAGAAAAAAAUCGAUAAAAAUUGAAAUUAAUGACACCACUUGAUGUUCCGGAUUUUGACGGAAUAUUUUUAUCCUUUUAAAGGGAUAAUUGUACGUUUUUAAGCAACUGAUGUUGUAUUUAAUACAUGAUUUUAGUAUUUUCAGGUCAAGAAAUCAGCUGAAGAAGAAACUUGGAAAAGUAGCAGAAAAAGGACACCCGACGAUCAAACUGAGGGACCAUCAGCCAAGGGACGGACGAUUGGGAUGACUUUCAGAGUUACACAGAGAGGACCAAGUAAUUAACCCAUGUGAUGGUCCAAGUGAAGGACCGUAGGACCUCUGACGGACCGUCAACUUGGCCGUCAGGCUGGAAUAGUGAAUGCCAUUUUAGAGGGUUAAGCGACGGACCGUACAAUGGCCUGUCAGGCCAACAACGGCCUAUCAAAUGAACCGCCACCUCUCAACGAGAAAGUGGCACAGUGGGACCUUUAACGAUGGUCUAUGUGACGGACCGACAGGCCACCGAUGGGCCAUCAAUGCGACCGUCAACCUUGAUGCAACUAUACUGGAUUCAAAUUUCAAAUCCUCAGUACCUAGGAACAUAUAAAUACCCAGUUUAGGUUUUACUUAGGGAUAUUUUAUCAUAUUUCUACUAAGAAAACCUAUUAUACAUAGUAUUCUCUAAGAAUUGAGCUACAGUUACAGAUCUAAUAAUUUUUAUUCAUAUUCUCACUAAAGAUUCAAGAACAAUUUUUGUAAUUUUUGUAAGUAAUUCUCUGAAUUUAUUUAUGAGGUACACAAUAAUUUCUUUUUCUUCUUAUGAGAUGUGUGGCUAAGAUCCCAUAACUAGGGUUAUGGGAGCCUUAAUGUGAAUAGCUGAUUGGGGUUGUAAAAUACUUAAUUCCCACAUGUAAUUGAGAUUGGAUAAACCCUUCUUCAAAUUAAUGACCUUUACUGGUUGCAAACUUGAAGGGUGAGCCCAAGAACAUCCCUUGUCUGAGAAGAAAGGUGUAUGUUGGGAAAAGAAGGAGUUUAUAUGAAAUCUAAGGGCCUUAACCUUUGGUUAAAGGUUAAUGCCUUAACAAGGAUUAACCCACAUGAGAGACUAAUUGAAUAAAUCAGUAUAUUCUUUAAGUUUGAGAGAAUUGAAGGGUGAACCAUCCAUUUAGGUUGAGAAACUAAUGGGUAAACUUUAGAAUUUAAUAACUCUUACAAUUGAAUUUAUAAAUUGGAAAUUUAAAGUAACUCACAACCCCGACUGCUUAAACAUCUUGGUGAACAUAUAUCUAAUCUGUUUGUUCUCAUUGAAUUAAUACUUGCAAGAAAACUCUCUAGUUGAAAUAUAUUUUGACACAAUCAUUUGGAUACUACUGGUAAGUUAUAAAUGCCCCUUUAAUAAGGAACCUUCGAUCAACAAUCCAUUAACAACCAUAACACUUAGGCUGUACGAGUAUUCGCCGAGGGAUUUGACCCCAACCUAGUUGGGUUCUAUAUUUGACAACGAUCGCUUACACUUUCUGAUGAGAGUUGUAAUUUAGGUGCAUCAAUUUUUGGCAUCGUUGUCGGGGAAUACGGUUGUCAAUUAAGUUUGUGAUUGUUAACUGACCUUUAGUCAAGUUUCUAAAAUUUUACCUUUAUUUGUUGUUUUUGUUCAUUACAUAUUUAUUGUUGUUUAUGCCACACACUAGAAGUUCAGAAGAAUCUCUACUACCCUUCAAUCCUGAACCACAUCUAAUUGGAAAAAUGGAAGAACAACAAGAAGCUGACAGACUAGCCGUCUUGGCUAGAGCGCAAGUUAAUCGACAGGAUGAUGGUCAACCAGCCCAUGCCCUUAAUCUUGACAAGAAAGAUUUGGGGCAUAAUGAUCUGAUCAACCCAGAAAAUAGGAGGUGUGCGGAGAACGUAGAUUUGCCUGUGAAUAGGAAUCGUAAAGGCAGAGCAAAUCGCCAACCUACUAUGCAGUUUGCACCUAAUGAGGAAGACGAUACAGACUUUGAUGAGGCUGGGACUACCGGAGCAAUCAUCCCACUACCAUUGGCUCCUGGGGUGAAACUCAACAUAACCAGCACCAUGAUACAACUGCUUAACCUCAUGGGUUUGUUUGGCGGACUUCCUAGAGAUGACCCAAAUAUGCACUUGGUGAACUUCAUCAACAUUUGCAAAGUAUUUGAAAAUCCUAGAAUGCAUUUCGUAUUUGGUUAUUUCUGUUGUAUCUGUCUGGGGAGGCAAGGAUGUGGUUGAAUGAGUUAGCUCCUGAUUCUAUAACAAACUGGAGGCAGUUAAUUGAAUUUAUAAAUUGGAAAUUUAAAGUAACUCACAACCCCGACUGCUUAAACAUCUUGGUGAACAUAUAUCUAAUCUGUUUGUUCUCAUUGAAUUAAUACUUGCAAGAAAACUCUCUAGUUGAAAUAUAUUUUGACACAAUCAUUUGGAUACUACUGGUAAGUUAUAAAUGCCCCUUUAAUAAGGAACCUUCGAUCAACAAUCCAUUAACAACCAUAACACUUAGGCUGUACGAGUAUUCGCCGAGGGAUUUGACCCCAACCUAGUUGGGUUCUAUAUUUGACAACGAUCGCUUACACUUUCUGAUGAGAGUUGUAAUUUAGGUGCAUCAAUUUUUGGCAUCGUUGUCGGGGAAUACGGUUGUCAAUUAAGUUUGUGAUUGUUAACUGACCUUUAGUCAAGUUUCUAAAAUUUUACCUUUAUUUGUUGUUUUUGUUCAUUACAUAUUUAUUGUUGUUUAUGCCACACACUAGAAGUUCAGAAGAAUCUCUACUACCCUUCAAUCCUGAACCACAUCUAAUUGGAAAAAUGGAAGAACAACAAGAAGCUGACAGACUAGCCGUCUUGGCUAGAGCGCAAGUUAAUCGACAGGAUGAUGGUCAACCAGCCCAUGCCCUUAAUCUUGACAAGAAAGAUUUGGGGCAUAAUGAUCUGAUCAACCCAGAAAAUAGGAGGUGUGCGGAGAACGUAGAUUUGCCUGUGAAUAGGAAUCGUAAAGGCAGAGCAAAUCGCCAACCUACUAUGCAGUUUGCACCUAAUGAGGAAGACGAUACAGACUUUGAUGAGGCUGGGACUACCGGAGCAAUCAUCCCACUACCAUUGGCUCCUGGGGUGAAACUCAACAUAACCAGCACCAUGAUACAACUGCUUAACCUCAUGGGUUUGUUUGGCGGACUUCCUAGAGAUGACCCAAAUAUGCACUUGGUGAACUUCAUCAACAUUUGCAAAGUAUUUGAAAAUCCUAGAAUGCAUUUCGUAUUUGGUUAUUUCUGUUGUAUCUGUCUGGGGAGGCAAGGAUGUGGUUGAAUGAGUUAGCUCCUGAUUCUAUAACAAACUGGAGGCAGUUGAAAGGAGCUUUCGUAGAAAGGUUCUUUCCUCUCUCCAGAAUAUUACAGUUGAGGGACGAGAUUUGUAAUUUCAGACAACUACCAAAUGAGGCACUACAUGAGACUUGGAUGCGAUUUAAGAAGAAGCUAACGUAGUGCCCCAACCACAAAAUAACCGAUGAAUACUUGAUGGAGAUAUUUUAUGGAGCUCUAAACUCCAUCACUAAACCAACCAUAGACAACACUACAGGAGAGGCAUUCAUAGAACUCACAUUCACUUAGGGAGCAGAUAUGUUAGAGUGGUUGACUGAGACAAGUAGAGCUUGGCAUACUAGGGAUUUUGUGGUAUCAAGCCCUACUAUGCCUAGUGGGAUGUCUGCGGAGCAAUGCUGGAAAGAGGGGGAAUGUGACCAAGAUAUAGCACAUAUGAAAACCCAAAUGGAUUUUCUUACUAAACAUCUAUUAUUUGGGAAGACUGAGAAGGGAAAAAUUGUUGGGUCACAAAGAAGAGCUGAUUUUGAUUAUGAAGAGGAGGCUAACUAUCUAAAUAAUCAGGGGGAUUCCGAAGCAAUAGCCAACUGAACCAAGGUUGGAACUAUUAUGAAAAAUUUGGUUACAAAGAUAGGGAUCAUGGGAGCUGGAAGAAUAAGAAUGACAUGAGUGGACUGUAUGUACCUCAUGAAAGUCAUCAUAAUAUUGCUACCAGUUCAGGAAAAAUGUCCAUGGAGGAUAUGAUUGAGAAGCUAUUGAAAGGGGUUGAGGCGACCAAUGCUGGGGUAACAACGAUGAAGAGUGACUUAUCUUCCAUGAGUCGCUAGUAAAUUUGCAUUCAACUUCUAUCAAACAGUUGGAGCAGCAGAUAAGCCAACUCUCGACAGCAUUUAAUCAAAGAAAGAGUGAUACAUUAUUGAGCGAUACAAUGCAAAAUCCUCAAAAUAAUGGCUCUUGUAUGGCAGUUACCACUCAGAGUGGUAAAGUAUUACCUAACCCUUCUGUGGGCAAAACUGUGAUUAAGGAUGUCAUUGAAGAAGAUGCAAUAGAUGAUAAAACCCAUCCAAUGAAUUCUAAGAAGCUGGAUGGUAAUGCAAGUACAUCUAACCAUCGACGGGUUGAUGAGUUAGAAAAAUAAAAAGAAAAAAAGAAGGAGGCAGUGGUCACUACUCUCCCAAAACCACCGUCACCCUUCCCCCAUCGAUUGAAGAAGAAAGUUGAUGACACAAAGUUCAAUAAAUUUAUGGUAAUACUGAAGCAACUGAUGGUGAAUGUGUCUUUAAUGAAGGCAUUAGAGUAGAUGCACGAAUACGCCAAGUUAAUGAAGGAUCUUGUGACGAAGAAGAGGACAGUUAGCUAUGAACCAGAGGAUAAUCUUCACCAUUUUGGUGCUAUUUCGAUAAGAUCUUUGGUGCAAAAGAAAGCAGACCCAAGAACGUUUCCCAUCCCUUGUACUAUUGGGUCACUUGAUUUUGGUAAGGCUUUAUGUGAUCUUGGAGCAAGCAUUAACUUGAUGACACUUGAUGUUUAUAAGAAGUUGGGUUUAUGGGAUCCUACACCCACAAAUAUGUGGUUGGUGAUGGCUGACAGAUCGAUAAAGCAGCCAGUGGGGAUCUUAUAUGAUGUACUAGUGGAAGUGGCCAGCUUUAUAUUUCUUGUGUAUUUUGUUAUUCUAGACCGUGAGGUGGAUUUUGAGGUACCCAUAAUCUUGGGUAGACUUUUCCUCGUAACUGAAAGUGUGCUUAUUGAUUUGCAAUCGAAUGAGCUAUUAUUCAGGCUUAAUGAUGAGGUAGUUUUCUUUGAUGUGUGCCAAUCUAUGAAACAAUCCAAAUAGAUGAGUGUAUUCUCCAUUGUUGAUGUUUAUUAUGAAGACAAGCAAUAGGUUCCAAUCAAGGAGAGAUAAGAUAUGGAAACUCUAGUUGUAGUUUUGUUGAAUUUUAAUGGUGAAGGUAUUGAGGAAUACGAGGAGACAGUGUAUGCUUUGAUGGGAAUAAUAUCCUAUUCCUAUAUUCCCAAGAAUUUGGACCUAGAUCUGAAAAAUCGCGCAACAUCACCGACUAAGCCAUCGAUCGAAGAGCCACCGGUGUUGGAGUUGAAGGAGUUGCCAGGGUAUUUACGGUGUGUGUUUCUAGACAGUGGGAAUAUUUUAUCUAUGAUUAUUGCAGUGAAUUUGGGUGAGCACCAGGUUGAGGCACUAAUCUCCGUGCUUAGGAGAUAUAAAAGAGCUAUAGGUUGGACUAUUGCAGAUAUUAUUGGUAUUUCUCCAGGUAUAUGUACUCAUAAGAUUUGUCUUGAGGAAGAUUGCAUACCAACCAUUGAUCACCAACGUCGCCUUACCCCACCAAUGUAAGAACUGGUUAAGAAGAAGAUUAUCAAAUGGCUUGACGCAGGAGUUGUAUACCCCAUCUCUGAUAGUAAAUGGGUAAGUCCCGUCCAAUAUGUGCCCAAGAAAGGGGGCAUGACUGUGGUAGCAAAUGAGAAAAAUGAGUUGAUUUCACUCAGGACUGUCACAGGGUGGAGAGUUUGUAUGGACUAUCGUAAGCUCAACUAAUAGACUCUGAAGGACCACUUCCUGAUGCUUUUUAUGGAUCAAAUGCUUGAUUGGUUGGAGGGAAGAGGUUAGUAUUAUUUCUUGGAUGGGUACUCAGGCUACAAUCAAAUUUCUAUUACUCUAGAGGAUCAAGAGAAGACGAUGUUCACUUGCCCAUAUGGUACUUUCUCUUUCAAGCGAAUGCCAUUUGGAUUAUGUAAUGCGCCUGCAUUUUUCUAACGGUGCAUGAUAUCUAUAUUCUCCGACAUGAUGGAGAACGCCUUGGAGGUAUUUAUGGAUGACUUUUCUAUGGUAGGUGAUUCUUUUGAGCUAUGGCUGGAAAAUCUGUGUAGAGCAUUGCAAAAAUGUGAGGAAUAUAACGUAGUGUUGAAUUGGGAGAAAUUCCACUUCAUGGUGAAAGAAGGCAUUAUUCUUGGUCACAAAAUUUGAACAAGGGAAUUGAAGUCAAUCGUGCAAAGGUUGAGGUUAUAGAGAGACUACCUCCUCCCAUCUUAGUAAAUAGAGUUUGUAGUUUUCUUGGUCAUGCAAGCUUCUAUCGUCGAUUCAUAAAGGACUUUUCCAAAAUAGCAAAACCACUCUGCAAGAUUUUGGAGAAGGAGGCCAAGUUCAGAUUUGAUGAUGAUUGCAAGAAGGCAUUUGAAUGCCUUAAGGAGAAAUUAGUUGUUUCACUAAUUAUUGUUGCACCAGAUUUGUCAAAACCGUUCGAAAUUAUAUGUAAUGAAAGCGCAGUAGCGCUUGGGGAUGUGCUUGGCCAAAAGAAAUAAAAGCUAUUUCAUCCCAUUUAGUAUGCAAGCAAGCCAUUGAAUGGGGCCCAGAAGAAUUACAUUGUGACUGAGCAGGAACUUCUUGUGGUAGUCUAUGCAUUUGAGAAGUUUCAUGCUUACUUAUAGGGACUAAGGUGGUGGUGCACACGAAACACGCUGCUUUGAGGUAUUUGAUGGAAAAAAAUGCUAAACCAAGGCUAAUUAGAUGGGUGUUGCUUUUUCAAGAGUUUGACUUUGAAGUCAAAGAUCGAAAAAGAUGCAAAAUUCAAGUUGCGGAUCACUUGUCCAGACUUGAGGGUGAUCAAGCGGUCAAGGAUGAGUUUGAAAUUGAUGAUGCAUUCCCGAAUGAGAAGGUCCUGGCUACUGCACUUGAAAGAGUGCCUUGGUAUGCUGAAUUCGCAAAUUAUGUGGUAAGUGAAGUCAUACCGGAGAAUCUUUUUUUUCACCAAAGGAACAAGUUCCUUCAUGAUGUUCCACACUACUUCUGGAAUGAGACUUAUUUAUUUCGAUGGUGUUUAUAUAAUAUUAUCAUACGAUAUAUUCCAUAGGUGGACAUGUUGAAUAUCCUUGAAGUUUGUCAUGCUUCUUCGGUCGGGGGUCACCAUGCAGAUGACCGUGCUGCGAGAAAAGUGCUACAAAGAAGUUAUUAUUGGCCGACCUUAUUCAAAGAUGCCUAUGAAUUUGUGAGGAGAUAUGACCAACUCUAGAGACAAGGGUCAAUCUCAAAGCACCAUGAGAUGCCUAUGACAAAAAUAAUGGAAGUCGAGUUGUUCGAUGUAUGGGCCAUUGAUUUCAUAGAGCCCUUUGUGAGCUCUUAUGGGCUGAAAUACAUAUUGGUCACCAUUGAUUAUGUGUCAAAAUGGGUUGAAGUUGUUUCUUUGGAUGAUAAUGAAGUAAAGAGAGUGGUUCCAUUCCUUAAAAAGAAUAUCUUCUCUCGCUUUGGGGUACCACGUACCAUCAAAAGUGACGGUGAAUCACAUUUUUACAACUGAGUGUUCCGGGAUACCUUGGAAAAAUAUAGUGUUAAACAACACAAGGUGGCAACUCCAUAUCACCCACAGACUAGUGGGAAAGUAGAGAUUUCAAAUCGUGAGAUAAAGGCCAUCUUUGCCAAAACGGUGAAUGCAAGUAGACAAGAUUGGUCUAGGAAUUUGGAUGAUGCCUUGUGGGCGUAUAGAAUAGCUUUCAAGACACCCAUUAGUAUGUCAUCAUACCAAUUGGUAUAUGGAAAGUCUUGUCACUUACCGAUUGAAUUAGAACACAAGGCACUGUGGCCACUCAUGUGACUAAACUUGAAUUGGAAUGAGGCAGCAAAAUUGCAACUGGGGCAACUGAAUGAGAUGGAAAAAUUCCGUCUAGGGGCUUAUGAAAGAUCAAAUUUAUACAAGGAAAAGAUGAAGAAGUAUCAUGAUUAGAGUAUCAAAAAGUGAGACUUCUAGAAGGGUGAUUGGGUACUCCUAUUUAAUUCUAGACUAAAGCUCUUUCCAGGUACACUUAAAUCAAAGUGGUCUGGCCCAUUCAAAGUUAACCAAGUCUACUCAUUUGGAGUAGUUGAACAUGAAAAUGAGGACGAAAGUGUCUUCAAGGUUAAUGGGAAGCGGGUGAAGCUGUAUCUCGGCCCAACGGACUCGGUAAAGUGCAUAUCUAUCACCUAUCUUGAUGAAGUCUGAAUACUCGAGAUAACUAUGUCAUGCCGCGACAAUAAAUCAGGAGCUAGUGGGAGGCAACCCACAAAGUGUUAUUGUAAGCAUAGUUAGAGUUUAUUUGUUAUUUUGUGCAAUUUGAUGUGUUGUGUAAGUAUGCAGGAAGAGAAGUGCAGCAAACCAGAAGCUGGAAAGGUUGAGACAUACCUGGCGGACAGAUUGGCGAACCGUCAAACCUUUGAUGGAUCGCCACUGGAACCGUCAGAAGGAAAGCAAAUAUCUGAAGUACUAGAGUGAGGCUGACGGAGCAUUCGGCGAAUCAUCGCAUCCUUGAUGGACCAUCGGGUCUACCGUCUCACCAAAGCAGAAGGACCAUAGUACUGCUAAGCUGCGGUGGAUAACCUAAUGGGUUGUCGGGUCGACCGUCGUAUUAACCCUUAAUAUGAAGGGUCGGGUCGGGAAAAAUCCGAUUCUUAAUAAAUUGCCCUUAUCCGACCCAAAAGGUUUUAAUUUGAUAAAAGAAAAAGCAGUUAUAAACAUUGCCACCCCUUCAAAUUGUAAAACUGAUUAAAUUCCUUCCUAUUCACUGAAUCAAGGAUCAGUUAUUUCCUAAGACUCUUCUUCUCUCCCAUUCUACCCUAUUUAAACAACCCUCUUUUUCUCUUGUUCUCACCACAAAGUAAGUUGAGCCUUAGUAAGUUGGUAGCCAUAGUUAAGUAUGAAGUUUGCAAGUCAGAGUAGUGAAGUUACUGCAGAAUCAAGGUAUGAUCUCAACCUUACUUUUGCCUUCCAAGUUAUUAAACAUGAAGCAUGUAUGAUACUAAUUUAAGGAAAGAAAUUUCAUCUUGUUUGCUUUGUUGUGAGGUUAAUUUUGAGUAGAACUUUAGUUUAUACUGCCCUGGGUGAAGUCUAAGUAACCUAUAAAUCAAAUUUGGCAAAAAUGGUGCGUAAAUAUUGGAGAAAAUCCUUAAGUAUACGCUUAAUAAAAUCAUGAACGCCAGGCGUUCGAUAAAAUGCCUAUGUGAAAAUUGAUGCUGAAAAAUAAAGCGAACGGUCAACUUGACGGACCGUCCGGUCGACUGUCGCAAAGUUAUAUACUCUGAUAGUCACUCGUUCAACCAUGAUGGUACACCUGACAGACGGUUGGACUUCUGACGGACUGUCUAUUUAACCAUUGCAAGGCUAAUUGAUAGAGGACCCAUUGGUUUAAAGCUUGACGAUGAGGGAAACGGACCAUCAAAGAUUAAACAGACCCUCCGUGAAGCAAUUUCUUCACUGUUUUGACUGAUUUUGAAUCGCAAACUGAUUAUUUAUCCCUUUUUCAGGUAAUAUGGCUUAAAAACUUCCCCUAACAAGAGACGAUGGUAGAGCUCAAUGGGGCAGAGGCAAGCCAGCAAGGAGUGAGGAGGCGCCUACCUUCAACACUUGGUAGUGAGAUAGGGUACUCCCAAUACUCUCCCAGUCUGAGAAGGAGGGUAAAAGUAACAGCAGCAUACUAGUUCCACUCCCAAUAAGGAAAGGGUAGAUACCUUUAACCCUGACCAAGUCGAGGCUUUGGAACAAGAGGAUAUAAAUGUCAUAAGGCAUAAGGACCCGUAAGUUUGGGAAUUAAUUCAAUAACAAGUGGAAGGAGCAUGUAAGAAUUUCCUGUAUGGGUUGAAACCUACAUCUAGCAGACCAAUAAGAAGGCCCAUCCACGAAGAGUUUCAGAUUAUUAUUACUGAGCUGCACGAGUACCUUAAGUUGGAGCAGAGAUUCAACAAAUAUCAGUUGUCUUGGAUGAGUGUCCCACCUGGUACAUACCAACCAAACCUUUUUUGUGAAUUAUUUGCAAACUAUUUGGUGUUAUUGUAAAAAAAAUGCCCCAAGGGUACGAAGAUUUCUGAAUUAGAAAAUCGGGAUGUGGUUCCGGUGCAUGGAGUUAACAUAGACAUUUCAAAACGCACCUUGAAUCAGUUCCUGUUUGGUCCUGAGUAUGAGAUACCUAGUGCGAUCCCAGAUCUGGAGCACCGCAUGUUCAUUACAACUCAAUAAACACCCUGGCUGGCCCGAGUAUUGACAGAUAAUAAAAAUCCAGCGUGGCUGCAUAACCCUCAUGAGCGGAUAGCAAAGUCGUCCCUAAGCUUUAGAGCAAAAUUUUGGUGGGCCAUUGUCAGGUUAAGACUGAUGCCAACAGGUGGUGAGGCCAAUUUAGAGAUUCAGAGAGUUGUGAUGGUUGUUGCUUUGAUUGAGGGGCUAAAGAUAGAUUUUGGCCAUACUAUUGCAGACGAGAUGUUUGCCCGGGCAUAUAAGACAUCCAAUGCUCUACCAUUUCCAUGCCUUAUUACAAAGUUGUGCAGGCGGGCAAAUGUCCCCUUGAUUAGUGAAGUUCAUAAUGAGGUCCGUGCGAGUUACCGAUAGGAUAUUGAGAAGAUGAAAGAUGAUUCAAAGUACGAAAUGUGAUUCAACAAGCCUCCCGCUUAUCAGACUUAGUCAGCUCUAGCUCCCGGGGCUUCGGAUGUCCCCUCAGGUAUACCAUUGUCUAUCCCUACCUAUGAACUACUGGAUUUUAUACCACAUACAACUUCUACAUGGUCAGCCUCCAUGCCACCAAUGGGAGAGACUGCCAAUUCUGCAUCUGUCCCUCCAUAAUAUUUGAAGUACAAGUUGACACAAAAAUUUUGCUAAGUUUGUAAAAUAAUAGAAAAAGUUCCAGAAGCAGCUUGACACAUGGGCUAUGCAAUUCAAUCCUUUUGUUAACCGCAUUGUAGUUGAAACAAUCCAUUCUUUUCAAAACAUUCAAACAAGGAGGGACCAUAUGGAGGAAUGUGUCAACAAAAGGCUGAAUGUGCUGUCUAUUCCAUAUUUUGCUAAGUUGAUGGCAGAAUUCAGGCAAGCGCAGACAGACAUAGCAGAUCUAAAAAAGGCAACAACCACAGCAGCCCAUUUUUGACCUUUCUUUGAUUAUCAGUGAUGAGGAUGAGGGCAUCAUAGACUUGAUGGGGAUGUCGCUCACAGACAAGGGUAAGUAGGUUGAUGAUAGUGAUGACCAUAAACCUGCUAAAAGAAGGAGGCGAGAAGCAAUGAAAUAGGAAGAAAGAGAAGCCAGGGAUAUGAAGAAAGCUGUAAAGAGGUCAAGAAGAGAUGAAGCAAAGAGACAGAAGAAGGUUGCAGAUAAAGCUGCAAGUAUUUCUACUAGUUCUGCCCCAUCUAGGGGCCCCACUCCAGACCCGAAUCAUGUUGACAUACCUCCGAUUCUGGAGGGUGAAAUUGUGAUCCCCCUUACCACCAUAGGGGUCAACGUUGUUGUAGGUGAGGCCAAAGAAGCCUCACCAUAUUUGACUGAUGCCUCGUCUAAAUAAGAGGCUUUACAAGUAUUUUCCUCCCUUGUAUUUUACUUUUAUGCAUUGACGACAAUGCAUUUAUUUUUAAUGGGGGUGGGUAUACUUGUACCACGAGGUUUUUUGUUCCUGCGUUCUUUUUCUCCCAUGUGCUAUCUAGUAGAACCAACAUAUCUAGGUUGCAUUUUAUUUUUGUAAGUAGUUGUGAUGUAAAUAUCUAUUGUUAAUGUUAUUUAUGAAGUGUCUUUCAUUUAGUACCUUUUUAUAUAUAUGUAUGAUGAAUGAAUGUGGCAUAAGACUAUGAGCAUGUUUGUAUAACUAUUUCUUCUUGUCAUUUAGUAUGUGUUGCACAACUGUUGGUGAUUUUGUAAUUGGCAUUGAGAUGUAAAGUGUUCAUGACCAUGUGAUGUAAAUCCCAAGAGUUGGUAGAAUAAGUUUAACUCAUAUGCCUAUGUGUGCGAGCAUUUGUUUUAGUUCUUGCAUAGUGAUACACCUAGAACUUGCCCAGUUUAUUAAUGUUAUUUUGUGCUUGAUUCAAUAAGAUAGGAUAGUGGUCCUCCUUGUACUUUUAGUCUACUUAGCCGAAAUAAAUGACCCACCAAAAAGAUUUUUCCAUUUUUAAACCCUUUUUGAGCUUAUGUUGGUUUUUCUUCAUUCUCAAUAACUCUAAUUAACUCUCUUUAGGUUGUUAGCACCUAGCCUUGGCCCUGGUUCAAUAUUGCACAUUGUGUACCUUAACUUAGGCAAAACACCUAAGUUGAGGGUGGUUACUGUCAGGAUGUUAGCAACUUAACGAAAAAGUGAUGUAGAGAUAAAAUAAAGUAUUUGGCCCUGAUCUAUUUAAGAUAUUGUGCACCUUAACUGACUGCAUCAGCAUAAGUUGAGGGUGGUUGAUGCUUAUAAAAAUGUGGGUUUAAGGUGAAGUGUGAAUGAAUAAUAGAGAUUGUAAAAGAGCUGGAAAAACAUUAGUCUUUGUGAGUAUAAUUCAAGGGCAAAGAGAGUAAAGUCUGAACUUUUAGUCAGUUUUCCCAAAAAUUUGUCCUCACCUAGCCCUGUAACCUCAUUAUAAUCCUAAAAAAGACCUGUUUGAUCUUUGCGAAUCAACCAUAUGGGGGCAUUAGAUGAUAAGGGCAAACCUAUGGGUAUGUAUGCUAUGAUUGUAACUUCUUUGAUGAAUGCAAGAGUCAUGAUUUUCGUUCAAAAUAUACACGAACAAUGAGUGGUGGACUUUGUUGAUUGUGAGGGCAACUUGAGUUACGCUUAGUUUUGCUGAUAUCUAUAGGAUAUUGUAUCCAUGUUUGUGUUUUUGCUGAAUUAUAAAUAAUGUCGAUUGUAGAUCCUGAUGUGUUGAGCCUAUAUGAGUGAGAUGACAGUUGAGUAGUUGUGUGAAAUUUAGUUCAAAAUUUGAUUGCCCAUCAUUGUAUUUUUCAUUUAUCCGAUUUGGAGCUGAGUUACUUGGGGACAAGCAAUUGUCUUAAGUUGAGGGUGUUGAUGUUCGACCUUUGACGAAAUAUUUUAUAUCCUUUUAAAGGGAUAAUUGUACGUUUUCAAGCAACUGAUGUUGUAUUUAAUACUGACUUUUAGUGUUUUCAGGUCAAGGAUUUUCUGAAGAAGAAACUUGGCAAAGUAGCAGAAAAAGGCCACCGAUGGUCAAACUGACGGACCGCCAGGAUGACCAUCAGAGUUACACAGAGAGGACCAAGUCUACGAUGGUCCAAGUGAUGGACCGUUGGACCUCUAAUGGACCGUCAACUUGGCCGUCAGGCUGGAAUAGUGAAUUCCAUUUUAGAGGCCAAGCGACGGACCGUCAGGACAACAAUGGCCCAUUAACUGAACCGUCACUUCUCAACCAGAAAGUGGCAAAGUGGGACCUUCAGCAACGAUCCACGUGAUGUACCAUCAGGCCAUCGACGGGCCGUCAAUGAGAUCGUCAACCUUGACACGGCUAUAUUGGAUUCAAAGUUCAAAUCCUUAGUACCUGGGAACAUAUAAAUACCCAGUUUAGGUUUUAUUUAGGGAUCUUUUAUCAUAUUUCCAUUAAGAAAACCUAUUGUGCAUAGUAUUCUCUGAGAAUUGAGCUAUAGUUACAAAUCUAAUCAUUUUUAUUCAUAUUCUCAUUGAAGAUUCAAGAACAAUUCUUGUAUUUUCAUAAGUAAUUCUCUGAAUUCAUUUAUGACAUACACAAUGAUAUCCUCUUCUUCUUAUUCUUCUCUUGAGAUGUGUGGCUAAUCUCCCAUAACUAAAGUUAUAGGAGCCUUGAUGUGAAUAGUUGAUUAGGGUUGUGAAACACUUAAUUUCCACCUGUAAUUAAGAUUGUAUAAACCCUUCUUCGGAUUAAUGACCUUUCCUGGCUGCAAACUUGAUGGGUGAGCCCAAGAACAUCACUUGUCUGAGAGGAAAGGUGUAUGUUGGGAAAAAGAGUUUACAUGAAAUCUAAGAGUCUUAACCUUUGGGUUAAGGGUUAAUUCCUUAACAAGGACUAACCCACAUGAGAGACUAAUUAAAUAAAUCAGUAUAUUCUUGUAGUUCGAGAGAAUUAAAGGGUGAACCAUCCAUUUAGGUUGAGAAACUAAUGGGUAUAGAAUUCAAUAUCUCUUACAAUUAAAUUUAUCAAUUGGAUUAAAGUAACUCACAACUCCAACUGGUUAAACAUCUUGGUGAACAUAAUUAUAGUCUGUCUGUUCUCAUUAAAUUAAUACUUACAAGAAAACUCUCUAGUUGAAAUAUAUUUUGAUGCAAUCAUUUAGAUACUACUGAUAAGUUAUAAACCCCCCUUUAAUUAGGAACCUUUGAUCAACAGUCCAUUAACAACCAUAACACUUAGUUUGCACGAGUAUUCCCUGUGGGAUUUGACCCCAACCUAGUUGGGUCCUAUAUUUGACAGCGACCGCUUACACUUUUUGACAAGAGUUGUAAUUUGGGCGUAUCACCACUACAGGUACAUACACUGCCAUGACUUAUAAAAAAAGUGGUACAAGCCUAUUUAUGAUUUGUUGUUAUUACAAGUGGUUCUCUUGUACCUGGGUAUCUUGCAUAGUGAACACUUAUUCCUCCUCUUGGUCUUGAAAGCCUCGCCCAUGCCCUUUACGUGUUUCCUUUUCUUUAUUCCGGGCUUGGUGUCAACAAGGGGUGGAAUAAUGUACACGUCUAGUAAUUCCUAUGGCAUACACCAUUCGUACUCUAAAGGGACAACAUUAAUUGAUUUUGAAUACAUAAGGAGGUACUUUUUGACUUUAUACACGGGCGAAGAGUACUCGUUGAUGCUCAAACCAUAAUUAUCUCUAUACUUCGAUCACAAAGAAGCCAUCACGUGGGCACAUAAAAUUUGAUCAAGUCAUACUUCCUCCAAGAACAUGACUUUUUCAGUAGGUUGACUUUAGCUGUCGAACCCCUAUCGAAUACGGUGAAUCGGUUGUCUUCCCCAUUUACGUUCUCCAUAUACAAGGAGUCUCCCUCGCUCAUAUUAUUCCUUGCGAUCUUAUCGGUGGCAGGCACAAAUAGGUUAUCCUUAUAGUUGAGGACAUAUGCAUGCCUCUCCCUGAAUUUCUCAAUAAACCUCUUAGCAAUUGAAUUGAAUAUAGAUGCCACGGGGUACUCCCUUUUGGCUAAAAACAUAGUUGUCAUGACCCGAGCUGAGACCCUGACCGCGAUAGGUAUAUCGAAUCACGAAGGCUGGAGAGACUCCUUAGCAUACUAUCAUAUGUGUAAUUCAUACAUAAAUCAAAGUGCAAAAGAUAUAAUAAUAUUUAAUGAAAACUUAUUGUAAUACCCCAUACUUUUUUCUAGCUCAGUUUAGCUCCUAGAAUGUCAAAGGUUGGAUUUAAAAAUGAAUAACUCUUGAUACAUGUAUAAUUUUCCAGUUCUAGACCCACCAGUGUGUAGGUAAUUGGCUCAGCUUUCCAGUGAUACCAAUUUCGCCUUAAUCCGAUACUCGAUUGAGAAGUUAUGGUGUUUUUAGUAAAAUAGUAUGGCAUUUUGACAAGCACCGCAUCGCGGUGAAAGCCAGAUUCGCAUUUGUCAAUUUCCAGUAGAGCACCAUGAUUAGCCCACAUCGCGAUGAAUUUUCAGUUCCUAUUUGUCCCAUUCUAGUAACUCACCGUGAUCUACUUGUAUCGCGUCAAAUUUCCCAAAAGGACAGUCACCGCAUCGCGGUGAAGUGCAAAAUGACACUCGUCCUUUUUCCAGUAGCCCGACCCAAUUUUACCGUAUUGCGCCAUCAUCCAAAAUGGCAAUGAUCCUUUAUCCAGUGAGCCACCGCGAUAGCCCCGCAUCGCAGUGGGAGCCAAAGUUGGAAUUUCCAGUUUUCGAGUAAAAUUUUAAAAGGGCAAUCUAGUCUUUUCUCAAGCCCCCAAUUCGUGAAUAACACUGAAUUAAACCUAUUCUAAGCAUUAUAUGCUUAUUUUUCAUCAACUUUCUCUCAAAUAAACCCUAGAACAUUAAACCUUCAUCUCCAAGAAAUUCAAAUUCCACCAUUGAUUUCCCAAGAUAACUCAAGAUUAAGAAUUUUCAAUACAAGAUAAUCAAGAAUUCAUUUUCAAGAGCACAAAUAGAAAUCCAAAAUGAAGUGUUCUCAUUAAUUGCAUCAAUUAAAGUAUGUGGGGUUUAUGAACAAGGAUACUCCUUUCAUCCUUGUGCCUAAAAUUUAUUUUUAAUUACAAAAUCACAUGAAUUUACAUGAGUUUUAAGUUAGGGUUCAUACCCAAUAUUUUUAUUUGCAAGAUUAUGAGAUUUCAAGUGACUUUGGCAUUGAAUUCAUGUCCACUAGUGUAUUUUCAUGAGUAUUGCGGUAAAUUCUUGAUUUUUGAUUGAAUUAUCAAUAUUUACAUUAUCAAGCAUGAAAUUAUGUUUUGACAUGAAUUUGAUGCAUGGGUUGAUGAGCCCUAGUAUAUAUGUUGAUUUUUCAAGAAGAUUAUGCUUUAAGCAUUCUAUGACUAACUAUUUUUCAAAAUUUUAAUAAAGAUUUGAUCUUUUGAUCUCAGCUUAGACAUGGAAUUCACUUUACAGAUUCAGUUAUAGUUUAAAUUAACAUAGAUGCAGUUGGUUUUUGUUAAAAACCAUUAACUAGUUUUUUAAAGUGGAUUUCCAACAGAAUGAGCAUACAAAUUAAAAAGAGUAGUAUUUAGCACCGAGUUGGGUAUGUUCACAUGCCCCAGAACUACGAGCCAACAUAGGUUCAGAUUAUAAGAUUAUUUCCAUUUCUAUAUGGAUGACAGAUACAGAUGUGAUCACUUAGAUUAGGUUAUACUCCUUGGCAAGAGUAUGACACCUCCCCGCAACGUGAGGUUUUCUCCUUAGGGAAACUAGACAUUGGAUACUAUGAUAGCUCACAUAGUGUAUGUCGAUUAGAAGAACCUCCCUAAUAGUAAAGACUUUCAGAAUAGUUUUAGAGUAUUUCCCUACUAGUAAAACCUUACAGAACAGAAUAAUUUUAAUGGGACAGUUUUUAGAAACUAAGUGUAAAGGCUCACAAUUUUACUCAGAUAUUUCUUUACAUAUGGCUUUAGCUAUGAGAUUUCAAAUUUCAAUUUUACAGAUACAGAAGUGAGUCCUUUUUACACUUAAGAAGCAUGAUUUACAAACAGAAUACUACCACAGUUUUAGAACUAAAUGUUAUGACUCACUAGAUUUAUACAACAUGUGUUGCUAUUCAUGAUUUGAUUUAUAGUUUUCAGCUAUUCCAGCUUAUGUGAGUCAUCUAAAUUUAGCAUGCAUUGUUUUACCAAUUAUGAUGACGUUGAGACUCUAUUUUACUUAUGCAUUCACCCUCAUAUACUCAGUACAAUCCAAAGUAUUCAUCCACAUAUAUGUUUAUGUUCUACAUUAUCUCAUAAUGUAGGUUCAGGUGCUCAGUUCCAGCAGCGUGAGUGACUCCAAGCAUCUCCAUCUACAUCCCAACAGUUGGUGACUCCUCAUAGUUUGGGGAUUUAGUUAUUUAGAUUUCCAGCUUAGUAGUAUAGAUGUUUUUUUCAAAAAAUUUUAGACAGUUCGAGUCAGCUAGGGGAUUGUCCCAGUGACUCUCUAGUAUUAGUAGUAGAGGCUUGUCAGACUGCUAGCUUUGAUUCAGAUUUUCCUUAUUGAUUUAUCAGACUCUUGAGUCUAGUGAUUUCAUAUAUUAUAUUCAGAUAAAUUCAGUUUAUCUCAGAUAGAUUUCUGUAUUUUAUCUUUGAUCAUAUAUCUAUAUUUUCUCUAUUAUGAGCUUCAGAUUUAGUAGAAGGCAGACAAGGUUAGUGUAACGAUCCGAGACUACCCCAUAGUCGUUACACGAUGCUUACAGUCCCGAGGGACCAUAAUCUAACCCAUGAGCUGGUACCUGCGGUGAGCACUAGAUAAUAUAAUCAUGAAUGCAGAAGGAUAGUUGAUAUGCCAUAAGUUUUUAAUAAUGAAAUAACUACUGAAUUAUGAAUCUGAUAGAAAUACUGAAAUCUGAAUCGUAUAAAUAGCUAACUAUAGUGUCUAAAAAUCCUAUAAGACUGACUGACUGAGAGUUGAUGGGACAUGCCCAAAUUAACUCCAACUAACUAAUUAAACUGAAAUCAAGAAGUAAAUACUCUGUCCUUGGAUGAUGAGGACUCACCGCUGCUAUAGUACUGUUGAUAAUCUGAGAAUCUGGGUACGAUUCAGGAACUGAGCGUCAGCACCUAUGAUAUGACACACCAUAGCGUAAAAGAAAAGUAUGUGAUCAGUACUUUGAAUGCACUGGUAUUAUAAAUAAGGUAGGCUAAUAUGCAAAGUUUCAUGAAUAGGAGUAAUGAUCUAUCUGAGUAUACAUGUAAAGCAUGGAAUAUUGAAUAGAGAACAUGAAAUUUGUAGGUAAUGAAUAUGCAUAAAAGUCUGUAAAAUACUGAAAAUACAUGAGAAUCUGUAGACACUAAAGAUACAUGACCAGGCAUAUAACAUGGACUGAGUAAAAUCUAUAUUCUGAAAUACUGAAAAAUAUACUGAUAUCUGUAUGCCUUGAUCAAACAACACUAAGACUGAAUAACUGAACUGGGACUGUAACUGAAAUUAUAUCUGAGACUGUGGGAGGUAUUAUCUAACCGACAUUCUCCAAUUUGAGCUAAUCAGGGUCCAACCUAUAACCCUAGUUAUAAGGGUGUUAAUACCAUGCCAUGGGUACUAACGCUGGCUAUGUGGAUCCACUAAACUGAUAUCAUGUCCAAAGGAUUAAGGUUGCUAAGCCUGAACUGAUGGGUGAACCUUGCGAGAUAGUCAAGUCUAAUCUGACGGGUGACUACUCAUAUCCUACGCUGGCUACGUAGUUCUAGAGUAUAGGGACUGCUACAACGACUCUGCCUAUAUGACGGGGAAACUGCCAUCCUUACACUCUCUUGGUGCUAAAUCCUACUCCCAACUGAAAGACACUGAGAUAGUAGACUAUUCUGAGUUGAAUAACUGAUAUUUGACAAUUCUGAUAAGGCUCAUAAUAUAAUCUGAAGACUAUUUAGUAAUGUACUGAGACUAGACUGAUAAAACAGCUAUAGUUUUUGGGUAUUCAAUACCCCCAGGACUCAAAACAACAAUACUGAAAAGACCCUAAAGCUUGAAGGCAAAAACACGAAGGCUAAUAAUAAAUAAAUCACUUUUGUAGGCAUUUUAUCAAACACUUGUAGUUCAUGGUUCAAAACAAUCAUAGGAAUGUUCAAAAACAUAUAGAAAUAGCAUGAAUCCGACAUAAUAGAGCUAAAUCAUGGUUUUGUUCAAUAAAUAAUAAUAUUAAAAUAUGAGGAAUUAAAUAAUAACAAUAAUUUCAUGGUAACAUGGUAUAAAAUCAAUAGUACAUGGAGAUUCAUGGAUGAAAUCAUAAUUUAAAAUCAAAUAAACUUGAAAAAGAGAUAGAUUUAUAAUUAAAACGGAUACUUGGACUACAUGGAUGAAAAGGGAUCCAUGGAUAAACAUCUAACAUACCUGGGUUACUAAAAUUAGAAGUAUUGAUGGAGAGUUCUUGAGAAAUUGCCUUGAUUUUUGAGGGCUAGGGUUUGUUGUUCUUUAAAAGCGGAAUAUUAAUUUGAGAGAAAGUGAAUAAUGAUGAGUAUUUAGGUCAAUUAGGGGCUAAAUUUCAUGUUUAGGAUGAGUUUAGGGCUUAGUAAAAAGACACAAAUACCCUUAAACACAUUUAAAAAUGGAAGCUGAAAACUGAAAAAGCUAAAUUAUGGCCUUGGAGUGACGCACCACUAUCGCGCCAAGCCACUGGAAUUUGGACAAUUGGGACCUGGACAAACACCGUGAUGCAGUGCCAUCGUGGUAAAGCUUUGGAUGCCAUUUUGGCCAGCUCUACGACGCUCCAUGAUCAUGUACCUUCACUGGAAAUUGACAAACGGGAAAUUGGCCUGCUCCGCGAUGCGCCAUGAUCGUGGAGUAACACUGGAAAUUGACAAUUGUCAUUUGGGCUGCCUACGCGAUGCACUAAGGGUUAAAAUGAUGGUGCUUUACGACUGAAACUUUAAAUCGCCAUAACUUCUUACCAGGUUAUUGAAUUUUGGCAAAUUUUAUAUCGUUGGAAAGCUAAUUUAAUUUUUCACGCAAUGGUAGGCUCUAAACUAAAAAAUAAUGAUUGUUUCAAAAAUUUUAUAUGUGAAUACUUAAGUAUAGGGACUUAAAGUACACUAGAAAAAUGCGGGGUGUUACAGUUAGCUUAAGGCUACUCGUAGUCUUGAGCAUUGUGUGACAUCUCAGGGCCUGCUUUUGGGGCGUUACACUUAUAAACCAAAGUGUGUCAAUGAAGUUGUGACCAUACAAUACUUAAAAUACCGUCUACGUAGCCUCUACUGAGAACUAACUAUCUCAAUCGGGACAAUGCCCCUGGCUGGACCAUAAACUGAAUUAGAUAAACAUAUGAAUAACAUCCCUUCUGAAAGAUAAUGGCUCACCAACUCUGUCAAAUCCAUAGAUUCUACUAAUGUGAUGGACCAUAGGACUAUACCUCGGAUCCUGUAAUAUGGGGGAGGGGUGUCAAUAUUUGGAGAGCAUUGGUAUGUAGAACUAACCCAAAAAUAACAUAUAUUUCGUAUAACAUAAUGAGAGCAUUGUGAAAACAAUUUAGCAUCAUAUAUAUAUAUAUAUAUAUAUAUAUAUAUAUAUAUAACACAUGGGCAUAAUUAAUGAGCUUCAAAAUAAUUUUGUAAAUCAUGGACUCAACUCUUUGCUUUAGUUUUGAGCUAAAUUGCACACCCUACAUUUCUAAAAUUCCACAGACUAUGUGAAAUUCACCCUUGACUCGACGAUCAAGCCCCUAAUCCAAGUUUUCCACAAGGAUUGGAGUAUCAGUAAGGGGGACACGCAAGAUCAUAAAGCAGGGUGUCAUAAUCCCCAAUCAAGUCAACAUGUCAUGGUAGUGCAUAAGAUCACAAACCAGGGCUCCUAACUAUAGUCUCAAAUUGGGACGACAUGAAUUAAAAGUACAUAAGAUCACAAAGCAGUGUACUAUAUCCCGCAUCGGUAAAACAUGAUUUUCAGUGGUGAGUCUUUUAACUCAUACUUUCUUCGGUUAACCAUCUAACUCUCUUUAAGCCCAAUUUUAGUCUCUGAAAGUCAUGAUUCAUGCUCAACAUACUCAUUUCUUUCAUAUUAAGGGCAUUUCAUAAUAGGUAUCGUCAUACCUAGACUUGCAAGCUUUAUCUUAUCAAAUCAUGUCUGUAGCCCUUUUUAUUCAAAGCAUGUUAUUGACCAUCCAAAAGAUUUAAACAUCAUGAGAGAGUUUUUAUAUCAAAUAUCAUACUAACUUGUACAAAACAUUUUUUUGUCAGUACUUUAACAUGUGGUGGUCAAUUCUUACAUAAAUAACAUGCAACUUCUUCAUUAGGUCACAAAAGGCUCUAGCAUGAGAAGUACCUCUUUGAAAACGUGCAAAACAACCAUGCAUAAUAGUUAAGGGGGAAUUUAAAACUUGAGAAGUAUAAUCAUUCAUAAAGAGCCCCAAACAUUAGUUAUACGUAAAUCUCAUGAUCAAAUACAGGACUUAUAAUUCAUGAUCUACCCAUUUCACAAUGUAUAACCUGUUAAGACAAUAAGUUUCAUGGGAGGGGGUUUCAUGAAUCAUGGUAUUAAAUCACUUUUCGAAACUCAUAACAUAUGUACGGAUUACCACAAUUCAAAUUAAUGGAAAAAAACCCUAUUAAUUUCAUAAUUUCAUCAAACAUGGGUUCAUGAUGCAUCCUCUUCAAAUGGUUUCCAAAACCCAUUACAUAUACAUACAUACAUACAUAUAUAUAUAUAUAUCCUUAAAGGUUGUUAAAAACAUAAAAUUUGUGCCCGUGAGAGUUAGGAUAGUCCCACAUACCUUGAAAUCAAAGAGAACGUUGAAAAAAUUGACCCUUGAAGCUUAAAAUCCUCAACCCUAGGUAGUUUCUCUUCUCUUGCUUAAGGAUAGAUGAUCUGGGGAUUUUGAGAAGUGAUAUAACGUGUUUAAUAGCCUUAAUUUCAUCCAUAAAGGAUUAGAAAUGGUUUGGGAGGGUGAAAAAAAACCCUUUGCCAUUAAAAUAACUCAAAACGGAACACUAUUUGAUGUUCAAGAAAGACUUGGCAGCGCAAUGCCAAAGAAAACCACAAGGUUUGCAGCGCAAGGCCAAAGCGAAGGUGGAACUUUGCCUCGCGACCCAAACGCAUACCCUGUACAGUGUCUUACUAAAACACCCAUAACUUUUAACUCCUAACUUGAAUUGACAAAAAGUCAGUUGCAUUGGAAAAAAGACUAGAAGAGUUUUAAUUUGAUAUAUUAUGGGCCACAUAAGCCCUUAUAUUCUAGGAGUAAUGGUCACUGGAAGUUGACCCAAGAAAAAUUAUAUACCAAAAUUCAAUGGAUAGGAAAGUGCUCAACUUAACUCUUAGCUAGGCGAUAUUUAAGACUUCAAUUCAUCUCCGAAGAUGUUACCACACUAAAGAAUUAUUAUUCAUACUUAUUUCUAGGUAGAAACCAUUGGGUUCGGGUCUUUAUACAUAGGAACGAUGAUUCAAACCACUACAAAAAGAUAAAGAUACGACAACAUUUAUUUGGCGACAUUUGAAAUAAAUAUCAGAAAAUGAAGAAUUUCUUGACAUUUAUGAACAAUUGUCGUAAAAUAAUGACAUUUGAUAUCAAAUGUCAUAAAAACGACGACAUUUGAUAAAAAAUGUCAAUAAAAUAAGGACAUUUAUUGCAAAAUGUCAUUGAUUUUAGCGACAUUUAGCAAAAGAGUCAAGAAAAUAGUGACAUUUGAUGCAAACGUUGAAUAUAUUAUGAUGUUUAAUGUAAGUGUCAUUGAUUUCAGUGAUAUUUAGUGAAAAUGAUGCUAAAAUAGUGGCAUUCAAUAUAAACGUCGGAUAUAUUAGAUGUUUAUUAAAAAUGUCAUUUUUAACAACCAUUGACAAAAUUAUCGUUAAAACAUAUAAUUAAUUGCUAAUUACUGAUAUCUACACCUAAUUGUGAAAAUAUUUUUAAGUUAUUCAUCACUAUUUAUCGAAAAAGAUUUUAAUUUCUCUUAGGACUAAACGAUUUAAACCAAAUUUACCGUAUGAUGACAAGUGCCUUAUUUUUUUUUCGUUCAAUAUGCCUCAAACUCUUUAUAGGAUAAGAAAAGCCUACAAUCAUUACAAUACCCGUUAUGCAAAAGAAAAUUUUCUCUUGCUCCUUCAAAGAAGUUGAAAGAUACCAAAAGAUUUAGCUGUGAAUAGUCUAUAUAAUUCAGUCAUUCUACAAUCGCCUCUUCUCAUAUUUUAAUUAUAUAUGAAUGGUAUGUUUUCUUCUCCGUUAUAAGACGUUAUUUUUUUUUGUUUCUUAGAUCCACUAUUUCACUAUAGAUUCAAAGGUUUUUGGGUAUUCCAGUUGAAGCGAGAAGGGUCAAAGCAAGAAGAUCCAAUUGUAGGUUAUGAUUUCAGCUCAAAAUUCAAUUAUUAUAAGUAUCUUAACUAGGCUUUUGAUGGUGCUAUUUAACAGUGAUGAAAGAGAACAACAAUGUUGGAGAAAAUUGCAAAUUGAUAAUUCCAUCCCAGAAUCAAUUCGAACAACAACAACCUCAUCCCCUACAACACAAACCUAUAAUGUUAUGUGUAUUUUCAGAAUUAGCAUUAUUGAAUGAUAAAUAUGAUGUAUUCUCAUAUAUGAAAGUGUCUAAGAAUUGUAAUUACCUUAUUUAUAGUGUGUCCUUGGAUCUAUCUAAAUUUUUGUUUAUCUCAAAUUCUCCAUUUUGAAUGUAUAUAUUGUGCAUUUUAUCUAUAUUAUUGUAUUUAAAAAAAUAUUUUAUAAAAUCAACCACAAGUGAUUGCUUUACAUUAAAAAAUAAAAUUAAAAUAUUAUACAAAAAUCGACCACUUGUGGUAACUUUUCAUUUAAAAAACUAAACAAAUAUUUACAAAAAAUGACCACAAGUGGUCGGUUUUUGAUUAAUAAAUAAGUAAAUAAAAUAUUUUUAAAAAGCGACCACUUUUUAAAAAAAUUAAAUCAAAAAUAUUUUUAAAAAAGCAACCGCUUGUGCUCACUUUUUGAUUAAAAAAAAAGUACAAAGAAAAUUAUUUAUAAAAACCGACCACUUGUGUCGCUUUAUGAUUAAAAAAAUAAAAAAUAAAAUAUUUUGAAAAAGCAACCACUAGUGGUAACAAUAUGCAUACGUUGUGUAUGGGGUAAUUAUAUACUAAUGUAGAUGUUAUGUAUAUACUACAUAUUUAGAACUUGAUAGUCGAUAGUAAGUGUUAUAUAUAUAUAUAUAUAUAUAUAUAUAUAUGUGUGUGUGUGUGUGUGUGUGUUUGCCCGCGUGUGUGCAUCUUGUGUAUUCUGUUGAAUUUUCGUGCGAAAUAUGAGCAAUUAGGGAAUUCACUACUAAAAAAAAUAGUUUUUCCGACCAUAAAAAAUUGACCACAACUUGUGGUGCAAUAAAAGACACCACAUCUUGUGGUCGUAAUAAAAGCGACCACAUGUGGUUGUUUUUUAAAUUUAUUUUACAAAAUAAAUAUAAAAAAGUAAAAGUGUUUAUAUUUUAAAAUUACAAAAUAAUCAUUUCAAGAAUCUUUAUAUUAAUUAUUAUUUCUUUUAAAAAAUAACUUUUUUUAAAAAAGCAACCACUUGUAGUCGCUUUUUGACAUUAAAAAAUGCACCAAAAAAUAAUUUUAAAAAAGUGAACACUAGUGGUCGCUUUUUAUUUUUAAAAUAUAAUUAAAAACUAUUUUUAAAAAGAGAUCACUUGUGGUCUCUUUUAUUUUAAAAAUUAAAUUAAAAAUCUUUUAAAAAGCAACCACAAGUGGUCGCUUUUGGAAUAAAAAAAAAUUAUUUAAGAAACCGACCACUAGUGGUCGCUUUUUUAUUAAAAAAAUGAAAAAAUAAAUUGAGACCACUUGUGGUUGAUUUUCUUUAAAAAUUAAACAAAAAUAUUUAUAUAAAAGAGACCAUUCGUGGCCACUUUUCUAUUUAAAAGAUAGAGAAAGAAAACAUUUUAAAAAAGAGACCACUUAUGGUCGCUUUUUAUUAAAAAAUAAUCGCAAAACAACCACUUGAGAUCACUUUUGAUUAAAAAAUAUAUUUUAAUUAUUAUAUGUAAAAUCAAAUAUAUUAUUUUUUAAAAUUACACUGAUCACACGUAGUUGAUAAGAAAUAUAAUAAUAAUAAAAAUAAAUUAAAAUUCAUACUAAGAAAUAUAUCAGAUAAAAUAAAUAAAUUACGUUAAACAUAAUGUUUAUCAAUUACUGAUGUUUCGAUAUAUAAAAUAAAUAUUUUCCAUUGUAUAUACGUUAAAUUACGUUAAACAUAAUCUUUGUAUAAUGAAUAUGCCUAUAUCAUAUAAUUGUGGUAAUAAUAUUAUGCUAUUGGAGCAAUAAUAGUGUAAUGUACAUAUAUAACCGAUAAUUCAUCAGAAUAUAAUGAAUGUGUUGUAUUAUGAGGUAAUAUACUUUUGGAUGUGAUGUAUAUAGUACGUAUUCAAGAGUUGAUAUAUAUAUAUGAUGUUAUGAUCAAUGAAUGAUGUAGUCAAAAACUGGCAGAAUCUAUCCAAACAUAUUGAAUACGUACCUUGAUUUGAAACGAUCGGAGUAAUAAUAUACUGUAUGUUGAAGUUAUAUUAAUAUAAGUUAAUCAAAUUAAUGAUAAAUCGUCAAAGGAUGUAUAUGAAAUACGUCGCACUAUAUUACGGGGUAAUAUACUAGUGUACGUAUGUGAUGUACAUAGUACGUAUUUAAAACCUGAUAGUCGAUAGUGUGUAUGAGUGUGUAUAUACAUAUAUAUAUAUAUAUAUAUAUGUUAUCCUUGUUCGUCUCCAUUUUUGUGAAAUUAUUCCUCAAGCAAGGCAGUCGAUAAGUCAUCGAAGGGUUUGUGUGAAUAAUGAAAUGGUUAACAUUACUCAUUUUAAACUCUCCCAAGGUGAUAUAAGAUCCUUCUAUAUCGAAAUCUCAAUUGAGAAAAUAAUAGGAAAAUUCCUGGAUCACCCGUGGAGAAGAACCAAAACAGAAUGGUUCCGCCUACUCAAAACUAAGAUGGGAUGCCGUCUACUACUAAAAUUCUGAUUUUUGCAACAGUGGCAUUAUUUUAUGCAAGAAGAAGACUUAGAAAGAACAAAGAAGUUUGGAUCCGAAAAAGUAUGCUUAGGCAGUUCUUUCGUUGAGCACAACAGAAUGAAGAGGAAUUUGUAUCAUUUCAAAUCCCUAUUCUUAUCGAAGAGAAGGAACGAGAAAAACAGAAAUAGUCCUACUCGAACAAGAAGUUCUAUAGUUUACAACUCUUCUUUAUAUAGUAAUUCGACCUAGUGCUCCGCAUCCCCCCAUCAGUUUACUAAAAAGAUCAAAAUAAAAGGAUCGAACUACCUACUCAUUAGUCGGAGGUGAAUCAUAGAACACCAAAAGUUGUGGUAUCUUAUGGACCUAACAUAGGCCACAUACCUUACGACAUAAGAUUGAAAGAUCCAAACCUUCUUCUUCGGAGCGAAAAGGGACGUGGCCAAAAUAUAUAAAGAUCGGCGUAGUCGCUCAUAGGGACAUAUCUAUACGGAUAGAAGAUAGUCUAGGCCGAUUCAUAUAUAUAUAUAUAUAUAUAUAUAUGUGUGUGUGUGUAUGUGUGUGUGUGUGUACACAAACCCACAUAUAUAUAUUAUGUAGUGAAGGUAUAAUAACAUAAGAUAAACUAACCGAUAAUUUAUCUGAGUAUAUGUGAAAUACUUUGUAUUAUUAUGGGAUAGUAAAAUCAUUUAUGUGAUGUAUAUAGUACGUAUUUGGAAGUUGAUAGCCAAUCAAAUAUAUGUAUAUAUAUGUAUAUCUCAUGUAGUGACGUAUGCAGUGAUCAAAAGUUAGAUAGUUUAAUCUAUAUAUCAAAAUAUUUUGAAUAAUACAUUGAUAUUAUACUAUUGAGAAACUAGACUACUUGUGUCAAUGUAGACAAGGUUAUAUUGUUGAAGUGUAAUAACGUAAUCUAAUUAACCGAUAAUUAUUUAUCUAACUAACACGUUGUAUUAUGAGGUAUAUAAUAUCGUAUUUAAAAGCUAAUUAACCAAAAAUUUAUCCUAAUAUAUGAAAUGCAUUUAUAUUAUUUUACGAUUGAGGAAAUAUACUACUCAUGUUAAUGUAAUGAUACAAUAACUAAUUAUCGGAUUUAUAUAUGCAUUGCAUUAAAUUAUUUGGAUGUUACUAUACAUAUUAUACAAUUUAUUAAAAUUUUAAUUUUUAAAUAAAAAUCGAUCACAAGUGGUGGUUUCGAAUGAUAAUUUUUUAAAAAAAUAAAUCGACUGCUUAUUAUGAUUGAUUUUCUAAAAAAUUUGUAAUACCCGAUAAUGACCCGACCCAACCUAAUCUUAAUUGCCCCUUUUUCCUUUGUAAUUAUCCUAGUCUCUCAAUUGAGAAUUCACUUCACUCGCGACUCACCUCACUGAUAACUCACCUCACCGACCACCACACUCACCUCGCCGAUCUGAUAGCAUCGGCGAGGACACAGACAUUAGCUCACUGAUCCGGCAACACCGACGAUGAAAUCGACAUCAGCUCAUCGAUUUGACAACACUGUCAGCGACUUAAGCUGCAGAAUUCUGACUACAAUUCUAUCGUUCCAUCGAUGGAACUUUUCUUCACCAACCUCAGCUCACUGAAAGCUGUUAGGUCAGCGAAUUCACCGAAAAACUACACUGACCUUCAAAUAUUGUACAUAAAUUGACCCUUUCUUUGUUUUUCCUGAUGCAUAAUAAAUUCACCGUAAUUUCGAAUUGAAAUUUACCCCUUAAUUUUUAUGCUAUAAUUGCAUUCAUUUCUAACCCCUUUUUACCCUAAUUUACAUAACUGUAGGUGUCCAUGUGAUACUAAUUGGGCAUAAUUAAGAAAAUUAUAGUCCUAAAGAAGGAAAUAUACUUAACUCAAAUAUACUUAGUUGUGAUUGAUGAAAUGUGACAUUAUUUACAGAGUUUUUUUGAAAUGUUUCCUUUUAAGAGUCUAUUGCCAUCCAUGGCUUGCAUUACUUUAACACCCCGAGUCUGCACCCCGGAUGUCACACGGUGCUUAAGACCCCGAAGAACCAUAAUCUAAUCCAUGACUGGUACCUACUAUUAGCACUGAAUAAUAAUACUGAAAUAAUGUGGAAGUUGGCUGAAAAUGCCAUAAGGUUCAUAAUAUGAAUAAUGACAAAUAUAGAAACUGAUAAUAACAUCUUCCAAACUGAAUACUGUCUGAUUUAGUCUAGUCUAAAAAGCCUCUAACUGAACUAUCUGAAUAAGGAGAUAAUGGGACAAGCCCCCAACUAACUCCAACUGCUAAAAAUACUGAAUCUAUUAUAGUACUUAGAUAAAAGAAUAUCCUCAAUAGAUGAGGACUCACUACUGAAUCUGCUGCUACUGACUGAAUCUGGCUAAGUCCAGUCAGGACCUGAGCGUCCGAACCUUUAAUAUGAGACAUCAUAGCGAGAGAAAUAGGUAUGCGAUCAAUACGUGGGAAUGUAAUGGUAUGCUAGAUGAGGUAAAGCUUAAUACAUGGGUUCAUAUGCAUGAACAGUAACUGACUGAGUGAUAUGAAUAUAACUGAAUGAGAGUACAUAGGUAACUGAAGCUGUUGUAAAAACUGAGUAUGCAAUAUUGUGCAUAUACAUAUAUACUAUAUCUGAGAUUUAUACUAAAACUGAGUACUGAGUUCUGAUAACUGAGUAACUAAUAUCUGAGAUUACUGAUAACUGGUGACUGUUACUAAUGGUCCUAAUUCUGUAGAACUGAACUGAGUUCUAUACUGAAGACUAAAACUGAAACUAUGGGAGGUAAUUAUCUAACCGACAUGCCCCUCUCAAAACUAAUUGGGGUCCAACCUGUAACCCAGUUGGAAGAGUGUCAGUACUGUGCCACGGGUAUAGACACUGGCUAUGUGGAUCCACUGAAAUGUCGUCCCAAAGGACUAAGGGUCACCCUCUACUGGAAGGUUCCCUAAUAAGAAUGGUAUUACCCUCAACUGGCAGGUAAACACCUUAUCAACCUUCAACUGGCAGGUUGAUAUCUCAACCUACGUUGGCUAAGUAGUUCUAGAAUGCAAGGACUGCUAUCUACUAACAAGUAAGCCCCCAUCCUUGGGUUCGCUCGGUGUUGAAUCCUACUCCCAACUGAAUGUCACUGAUUAUUAGAAUGGACUGAACUGGACUGAGUUUCACUGAGUUCUGUAACUAACAGAGUGAUACUGUUUAUGACAUUACUAAAACUAUUCUGUAAAUACUGUAAUUCUAGGUAAAUAGCUAUAUUUUAUAUAUUAAAUACCCCCAGAACUCGAUAGCAUCUACAAUAAAACAUCGCACAAUCUAAAAAGGCACAAUGGAUAAUGACUUAGUCAUAAUUUAUUCAUUGAGACAUUUUGUCAAACACUUGUAAGGCAUGAACUUGUACAUGAAUGGGAACACAUGCUAACAUGUCAUGAUUGCACUAUUCAAUUCACAUAUGCAUUUUAACAAACACUUGGGGAGCAUGAUUAUUUCAUAUAAUAAUAAACAUAUAAAUAUCAUGGCUACAACAAUCAACUUGUAGAUUCAAGGAUUGAACAUGAGAAUCACAUAAUUCAUCACACAUGCUACCUAUAUUUCAUGAAACUUGUAAUUAAUCAUGGAUUAAAACCCAAACAACAUCAUGAACAUGAGUACAAUCAAAUUCAAUCAUGGAAUUCAUAAAAAUCUAAAUAUUGUAUUUUGAAAAAGGAUUCUUGGGAUCCAUGGGUGGUAAGGACCCAUGAAUGAACACCUAACAUACCUGAGAAAUUAACUUCUUGAAGAUUCUUGGUAAUUUUCUUGAGAAUUGAUCUUGAAUUUUAGAUGCUAGGGCUUUAUAUUUGAGAGAGAAUGCUUUUGAUUUGGGGAAAUUGAAUAAUAAUGACUUAAUCAACUUUUGAGGGAUUAAUUCACGUGCUUUAGAUUAAAUAAGGUGAAGAAAAAAGACUUAAAAGUCCCUGGGAAAAUUUAAAACUCAAAAUUGGAAACUGAAAUCCCAAUUUUUCAUGCCGGUGCAACGCAGUGCAAUCAUGUUAGGUCACUGGAUAAGGGACAAUUCCAAUUUUGUCCAACGGCAUGACGCGGUGCUAUCGCAUUGUGCCACUGGAAAAAGACCAUCCCGAACUGUAACUUCACCGCGACGCGGCACCCUCGCGGUGACUCACUGAACGUGAAUUUAGCCAUUGGCAGGACACGGUGCUCUCACGGUGACACACUGAAAAAUGCCAAUUAGGAACUAAGGCUUCACCGCGAUGUGCUGGAAUCACGGAGUUUCACUGAAAACUGACAAUUUUCAUUUGGCCUGUCAGUGCGAUGCGUUGAUGCUUAGUUUGGCACACUAUUUUACUAAAAGUGCCAUAACUUCUCACCCAGCUAUCAGAUUUGGGAGAAUUUUAUAUCGUUGAAAAGCUGACUAAAUUUUCUACAAGUCGGUGAGUCUUAAAAUGGGAAAUUCCACCUAUAUUAAAGGUUAUAAAUCAGAAUUUUUGUGUACUGAAAGCUAAACUGAGCUAAAAAAAAUACGAGGUAUUACAAUUACUGACAUAGUGUUGCUUUUUGCAAGAAUCCGAAUUCAAAAAUGAAUUGCUUUGUUAUUUUUCGGUGACCACUUGUCUCUUUCUUUUUAAUUUAGGCCAAGCAAAGGUAAGUUGAUUUCUCUCUAUUUUUUUAUAAUGAAGUCUUUAAAUGUAGUGUUAAGGUGGGAUUGUUCUCUGUAGAAGGCUUUGAAAGCCAUAGAAAUUUUGUGAUAAUUAUAUGGUGUGGGAGGGACAUGAUUAUAGAUCUUUAAAUGUUACUUAAAAUGUGAACUUUUGUUUUGAAUUUAGUAAAGUGUGGUCACUUGAGAAGUGACUUGAAAAUGUUUAGGUGUAGGUACUUGAAAGGUGAACUUGGGUUUUGAAUUUAGUUAAGUUUGGUAACUUGUGAAGUGAAUUAGUGAGUUAAAAUGUUUAGUUUUAGUUACUUGAAAUGUGAACUUUUAUUUUGACUUUAGUAAAGUGUGGUCACUUUACUAAAUAUAUAUUGAAUUUUAUACAUAUAUAUAUAUAUAUAUAUAUAUAUACAUGUAGUCGGUUUAAAAAAGCUACCACUGUUUUUUUAUCACACCUUGUGAUUGCUUUUGUGGUCGCAAAAACAUAAAAAGUGACCACAUGUGGUCGGUUUUUGUGGUCGGUUUUCCUGUUUUUACUAGUAAUGGAAAUGCUACUUGUGUAGGUAAAGCGUUUGGUAAAAUGUCAAUUAAAAAAAUUAUGCCUACUGCUUUGGGAGGUUUCUCAUUACUAUGUGUAUCAACCGUAAUUUCAACAACAUAAUCUACUACAAAUAAUUUGUGUGUAUAUAGUAAUGAUAGACUAGGAAACAGUAAAUUUUGAGGUGAUUUUGUGCAUUUUCAGCACAUGUUUACAAUAGCAGCUAAAAGUGUUCGGUUGUCAUGAUUAUAUGGUGCGAGAGUGACAUGUGACACAUCUACUUAUUUGCUUUAUUAAAUCCGUUGAAUUGUUUAACUUAUAGUAUAAAUGAAAGUUUAAUAAUUUUAUUUUGAAUUGUGAUGUAUCUAAUGUGAAAUAUGAAUUAGUUACUUGAAAGUGGUUAGGUAUAGUGUUUUGAAAUGUGAAUUAAUUACUUUAAACUGUGAACUUGUAUUUUGAUGUCGUUUAGUAACUUGAAAUAUCAAAAUAUAGACUUAAAAAUGGUUUAGUGUAGUCACUUGAAAUGUGUAUUAGUUACUUGAAAAUGGUUAAGUGUAUUGACUUGAAAUAUGAAUUAGUUACUUGAAAAUGGUUAAGUGAAGUUACUUGAAAUGUGAAUUAAUUACUUGAAAAUGGUCAAGUAUAGUCACUUGAAAUGUGUACUAGUGACCUGAAAAUGAUCAAGUGUAGUCACUUGAAAUAUGGAAAUAGUGACUUGAAAAUGAUCAAGUGUAGUCACUUGAAAUGUGUAUUAAUGACUUGAAAAUGGUUAAGUGUAUUGACUUGAAAUAUGAAUUAGUUAUUUGAAAAUGGUUAAUUGUAGUUACUUGAAAUGCGAAUUAGUUACUCGAGAAAGGUUAAGUGUAGUCACUUGAAAUGUGUACUAGUGACUUGAAAAUGAUUUAGUGUAGUCACUUGAAAUUUUUUAUUAGUAACUCGAAAAUGGUUAAGUGUAUUGACUUAAAAUAUGAAUUAGUUACAUGAAAAUGGUUAAGUGUAGUUACUUGAAAUGUGAAUUAGUUACUUGAAAAUGGUCAAGUGUAGUCACUUGAAAUGUGUACUGGUGACUUGAAAAUGAUCAAACGUAGUCACUUGAAAUAUGAAAAUAGUGACUUGAAAAUGAUCAAGUGUAGUCACUUGAAAUAUGUAUUAGUGACUUAAAAAUGGUUAAAUGUAUUGACUUGAAAUAUGAAUUAGUUACUUGAAAAUGGUUAAGUGUAGUUACUUGAAAUGUGAAUCAGCAAGCUUAUCUUGCACAAUGUUUUAAAAACUAUAUUAUCCUCAAAUUUUUUAUGUAAUGUCCAAUAACUAACAUCUCAAAAUCACUCCUUCUGAUAUAUAAAAACUAAAAGAUAAAAAUAUUUUUUAAUAUUUAAUAAUAGGUUGAUUUGAAUAUAAUGCUUGAAAAAGCUACAUUAUGGGAAUUCAAAUCUAUCGAAUCACUCAUACUAUACUAUGAUCUUCUAAUUUCUUUUGUCUUUUCAUAAUUCUAUAUAUCAUCAAUUUAAAUUAUUUAUUUAUAAUAUUAUUUUCUUAGAAAGGAUGAAUGAUAAAAUAAAAUAGGAAAGACAAAAUAAAAUAUGUCACAAUCACAUCAAGUUAAUUGUUACAUAAUAUGAAACUCUUCAUCAUUACAUUACAUGUCAUCGAGGAAUUCAAUUAUAGGAUACACUCUUCUUGUAUAUGAUGGUAUAUUAUAGGGAAAAAGGUGACAAAAAUAUUUAUAUUUUGGCAAAAUUUACAGUCAUAUAUCUUGAACUUUGUGAGGGUUCUAUGACUUUUCUAGACUAUUUUUUACCGUAUUUAACUGACAUAUAUUUGGCACUUGGGUCACUACGUGUAUUUCAUGCACAUUGAGCGCGUAGGAAAAAAAUGUUUAAUGAGGGGCGAAUAUAUACCAGUUAAAUACGAUAAAAAAUAGUUUAGAUGGGUCAUAAGACCCUCGCAAAGUUCAAGGUGCGUAACUAAAAAUUUUGCCUAAAUACAGGUGUUUUUCACACAUUUAUAAUGAUGAAUUAUAGGCAAUGAUGAUAUGUUAUAUGUUUUUUCAAAGAACUUUUUUUAUUUCUCUCCCUAUCUUUUUUCAAUUAAUUCAAUCUUCAUUUUCCUGUCCCCUAUUUUCCAAUGUAAUUAAAUGGCAGAUUAAAUGACUCAAUUAUUAGUGGACUAAUCUUUCACUCUGCUAUUAGUGUACUCCAAUCUUUCAAUCUUUCACUCUAGUGUUACCAUCUUUCACACAAUCACUAGUGUACGAUCUUUCAUGUAAGGAUAGUCUACUGUGCUAAACAUGGACGCAACCACACAAGUCAAUUGUGCUAACCACUAUUCAAUAUUUUCUCUGGAUGGUUUAUGUUUGGUAACGUAACUAUUUUGUGUUGUAUAUUAUUGACUUUACUACUAUAUAUGAAAGAGAAUGUGAGAUUUUAAUAGUUCUCACAUAAAGUUUUUUUUUGUCAAUUUUAAUAUUUUAUCUCUAAUUUAUGUUUUAGUUACUCCACAAAUUUUUAUCCAUUUUAAUAAAUUUAAGCAAUUAUAUGGACUUAUUAAAUUCUAUAAAAAUGUGAUCAUGGAAAAAUAAUAGUAACAUCAUAAAAAACUAUUUAUACAAUCAAAUUCAAAAUUAAUCUAAAAGUUUGUUGUCUUUCUAUUUUGUGAAAAUAUUUAAUAAUCUUAUUUCAAAUUAUCAUUUUUUCUAAUAAAUUUAUCACGAUCAAGUAAAUAAGUAUUUUGACAUUUCCUUUCUAACUUAGUACAUGCUUAAUUAUUAAAGCAAAAAUUAUAUUUUAUAUAGCUGAAAAUAUUUGGAAAGUUAAUUUUUUUAAAAUACAAUUUAACUCUCCAAAUAUUAAUGACAUAAAAUAAUGAAAAAUGUGAGUAAUUCUUUUUCACAUUUUUCGAUAAUGAUUUUAUAAAAUAACGGGAUGAUCAAUAUUUUAUAUAAUUUGGGAGAAAAUAAUUAAUUUAACAUAAAAUAUUAAAGCUUCAUACACGUUUAAUAAAUAUCAAUCUAAAUUUCUUAACAUGUAUUUUAGAAGAAAGAAACUAUUAAAGUUAAAUGUUUUUUGUAUAGUUCAAUAUGAAGGAACAUCUGCAAAAGUAUUUUGUUAAAUCAAGUCUUUUAAUUAUUUAAAUUAAAUUUUCUCUUCAAUUAUAAGUUAGCUUUAUCAUACAACAAUUUGCAGUAUUAAAUAUUUCUUACAUUUCUUUGAAUGUCAGAAUUUAUUUAGUUUUUGUAAUAAAUGAGUUAAUUAAUUAAUAUUAGCUUAAUUGAGAAAAAAAUAGGUUAAUCAAUAUAAAUUGAAUUGAUAGAAAAAAUCCGAUUUGAAUCAUUAAAAACUUUAAUCUCUAAAACUAUCAUAAAAAGAAAAAUAGUGUUGGUGCAUGCAUGUGUUUGAAACUAAAAAGAAAAUCUAAAAUAAACUCUAAGAAAAAAUUAUUCUUUUAAUUUACAAAAAAAAAAAAUUAUUUGAUUUAUAAAAGAAAAAACUAGUAAAGUUGUUGCCAUGUGACCAGGAGGUCACGGGUUCAAGUCUUGGAAACAGCCUCUGGUAGAAAUGCAAGGUAAGGUUGCGUACGAUACACUCUUGUGGUGGGGCCCUUCCCCGAACACCGCGCAUAGCGGUAGCUUUAGUGCACCGGGCUGCCCUUUUUUAUUUGAUUUAUACUAGAACUAUUAAGAUAUUGUCGAACUACCUUUACAACUAAUAUAAUGUAACAAAAAUAAAAUAAAAAUAAAAAACAAGAUAAAGAAUUACAAAUAUAAAAUUUAACAUUAAUUUUUAAUCAUAUAUAUAUAUAUAUAUAUAUAAAUUUAUCAUAUUGUUAAAAAAGAAAAGUGUACAAGCUAGAAUUAUUUAAAAAAUAAUAAGAUAAAGGAUUAAAAUAAAAUUGAUCUUUCAAAUAAUUCUAAAAAAGGCAAAACAAAUAAAAAAUAAUGUGCCUGAAAUUGACGGUUAAGAAAUUGAGCUUUUCAUUGUUAUUAUAUCGACUAUCAAAACAUAUUUUCUUUGAUCAUAUUAUUUUAUAUACUUUUAAAAUAUUUUAAAUUAUUAAUUUUUGUGAUUUAUAGUAUUUUUAAUUUAGAUUUUAAAGAUUUUAAUUUUAUUUUUUAAAAAUAAAUUUUUCAUAUUUCAAUUCACAUCAAAUACUAAUUGGUUUGAUAGUUAUACUCCAAAUUAUGAUUAAAAAAAUUGAAACGAGAUAGUUAUACUGUAUUUAGAUAUGGAGUUGGAUUGCGUUGUUUCGUGAAAUGUUGCGGCAAUUGCGUAAAGCAUUUUGUUCAUUUGAGUCUUUGAGAGCAAUGCUUCACCUAAGAGUGGACGAAAUGACUAAUCUAUUGUUUGUUAUAGUAUGUUUCGUAACGUAACCACAUUUUGCUUUGCAUUGUCCUGAUGCAUCAAUACAUCUAAGCAAAAUAUGUCAAAACCAUUUAGAGCAGACUUCUCAUUUCUAAUCUUAUCUAAUUUUGUAUGACUGUAUAUUCAAUGGUGGAGCAAAAAGUUUUUCACUCAGGAGAAUCAAAACAUAAAGAUGUAGAUCCUGAAAGAAGCCAAGAAUAUACAUUAAAAGUAUAUAUAUUUUUAUCUUGUUAUGAAAUAUAAAGUAAACAAGAAGAAGAAUAGAGAGAAGAGAGGAGAUUUCUUUAUUUAUCAUAGAGAAUUUUUGAGGGGUGAAUUACAAUGAAAAAAACUCCUUUAUUUACAUGGAAAAAAUAACCUUAGGGUUUCUAACUUUUUUAUAGAUACUAUAUAUGAUAAAGUAGACAUUCAUUAUAUAUGGUAAAGUAGACAUUCACUAUAUAUGGUAAUAUAUUUAUAACACUUCCCCUUGAAUGUCUAAUUGAUAGAUAAUGUGCCUCGUUAAAACCUUACUAAAAAAAAACUCUGUGGAAAAAAAUCUAGUGAAGGAAUAAGAGUAUACAUCUCUAACAAUACGCAUAUAGGCUGCCUCAUUAAAAACUUUACAAGGAAAAUCAGUGGGACAAAACCUCAUAAGGAAAAAAGUGUACAGCGCGUAUUAACUCCCCCUAAUAAGAACAUUCUUGAGUCUUUGCAUUCCGAUCUUGUGCACUAUCUUAUUGAAAGUUGCAAUUGAAGGAGAGUUGGUGAAUAAAUCAGUCACAUUGUACGUAUGUAGAAAAGCUUUGAUGAAGUGUGCUUCGUUCUAUCUCCUUUUAUUAAUCCUCCAUUAAGAUGUGCUAUAAAUGUUGCAUUAUCUUUGUAUAAAACUAUGAGUACAUUGUCACAUUUCAAACCACAUUUUUCUCGAAUGAGAUGUAUCAUGGGCCUCAUUAAAACACAUUCUCGGCUAGCUUCAUGAAUAGCUAUUAUCUUAUCAUGGUUCAAUGAAGUGGUUAGAUAUAUUGCUUUGUAUAUCUCUAAGCUAUGGCAGUGUCCCCACAUGUGAACACAUUGCAUGUUUGAGACUAAGAUUUAUGCGGAUUAAAUAAGUACCCAGCAUCAGCAUAAUCAACAAGAUCGGGACCGCAAGCUUUAGAAUAAAAUAAGUGCAUGUCUUUUAUUUCAUUUCGAUGUCUCCUAAUAGGAGCAAAAAUAUAUCUUGCUAACAAAUUGACUGAAAAAACUAUAUUAGGCCUUGUAGUAUUUACAAGAUACAUUAAUGUUGUGCACCAAAUACACUAAGAUAUCAUACUUCAUAUUUCUCAUUUCAGCAAAUAAUCUAUUACUUUUGAAAACUCUCCAAAAGUUCCUAUAAUUUUCAAGCUAUAAUCUUAUACAAUAUGAGGAUUCUAAAUAAGUUUCCCAGAAACUUUUAUAUGCUUCAAACAUUUUGAAUCUUUUGAAAGUUUCAUAUAAAUUUUGUCAAGUGACAAUAUUCAACAUUUCAUAUGUGAUAUCUUCAAGUGUCUGAACUGCAAAUCAAAUAAGUUUUACACUUACCAAGAUGUAUCCUUUCAUGUUACUUGAUAAAUUUUCUACGCGGCAUGCUUAAAUAAACGUAGAAUUCAGAUCCUCAUAAUCUUUCACAAUAUUGCGCCAAUAUUGUAUUAAAGAUAUCAUCGAUGGUUUCUUAUUUUGUAUCGUUUCGCAAUGUGAUAUAAUAUUUUGAGAUAUCAUCACUUCAAUAUUUUCAAGUACUUGAACCUCUCAUAAGGUUUCAUGAAGUGUUAUGUCAUAAGCUCUUCAAAAGCACAUUGCCUUCUUAUUAUGAUUAUUUGCUCCUUAUCCUUUUCAAGGAUUAUUUCAUUUGGAACCGAUUGGACUGCCAUGCUUCAUACAUGCGUAGACUUUGUCCUUUAGAGACAUAAAAUAAGAGCACUUGCAACUUAAAUAUGAGAUACUUUCGGCAUUUGACUUGAAUUAUCUUUCGAAUGAUGAUCUGAUUAUAAUUCCUAACAUACUUCAUAGCUGCUUAUAAUCUCCUCCUUAUGUUAGAAAAACUAACAUGUAUCCUCCAUCUUCUUUGAGGAAUUCAUCUUUGUGCAUCAUAGUGUAUUCAUUAAUCGUAUACCGCACAUCAAAACUGUUAGAUGGACAACAUGUGUUUUGUGACCUAGAACCAACUUUGAGGAGAAUUAAUCAUAAUUUAUUGAUCUAAUGCAUACAAGUGCUAUUGUAUGCAACAUGUCAUAUUUCAGACCAACACAUGAGGCUUUGUUUUCCUUAGCAAUGGUUUAGCUAUUUAUCGAAGGCAUUCAAUGUCAAACCAUCAUCAUCAAGAUUUUUAUGAUUACACAAUCUGAAAAUUAUGUUCUGAACUCAAUUUUAUUGAGCAAGCAACUUUAUGAAUGUCAAACUGCAGGUUGACAAUAAAUGUACAUGUGAUAAUCUUAUUGAUGCGUCUUUUCAACAUAUCACAUGAUAGGUGAACUGACCCAUAUUCACCUUUUAUAAUUUUCAGAGUUUAAGGGAUCCAAUUCCAACAUUAGUUAAUCCAACCAACUUAUCAUGAGAACAAGCAACAUUAAAAGCAAAGAAAUAAUUUUUUGAAUUCUUCAAUAUGUAUUUAAUACUUAAUAUGCACAUCUCUUGGAUGUCGCAAUAGUUCAUGUCAACUUAUGAACUUUUGUAUUAGUAAACUCCAAGGUUACCAUGACAUGUACUUUUUUUUCUUUAGUAAAUUGCAGAUUUACUAUGAUAUGAAUAGAUUUCAGAUUCACUACUUGGAAAGUAAAUUUCAGAAUAACUCCUCACAAUUAUUCUACCUCUUUCGGAGGUGAAUUGUGAUACCAUCACAAUCAAGUGCAUGCUUAUAUUGAUGAGCUUUACUAAAUAUCAUCACAUUCACUCGGGAAUGGAUCUAUGCUUAUAACUAUUAAAAUUCUCAUCUCAUGAAUGAAAUAUAAUCGUGCCUUAAGCCUUUUAAAGUGAUAUCUUAUAACCUCUUUCAAGAUAUUGCUAUUGCAAGAGCAAAUCGAGGCAUACGUAUGUAGAGAAUUUUUCUCUAACAUAUCUUAUGCGUGUGAAAAUAUCAUCACUUUUGAUGAUCAUUAUCAUAUUGUUCUUUUACUCUUAUAUUCAUAUGUUCAAUCAGUUUGUCUUCUUUCAGACAUAUUAUGUACUGCUACUAGGGGUGGGCGUUCGGUCGGUUCGGUCUGAUUGUUUAAUAUCGGUUCGGUUUAUUGGUUUUCGGAUUGACAAAAAUGGCAUCCAUAACCAAACCGAAAUAAAUUCGGUUUGGUUCAAUUUUUACAAAUUCGGUUCGGUUAUUUCAGAUUUUUAUUUUGGUUUGAAAUAUAAAGUAGUUAGCCUCUCUUUUACAUAGCUGAGCAUUUAAAAUUGAUGGAUUUUUUUAGAAAAAUUAUUUUUUUCAAACCUGUUUUUCAUUCCUAAAUAUAAAUAAUUAUAAAUAACUCAACAUGAAUGAAACGAAAUGAAAUAAUCAUAAGCUUAACAUAAUACAUAACGUCAUUAAUUAUUACAUAUAAUAUAACCUUGCAUAAAUAGUCUACAAAAUAAUACAAAAUUCGUAAAAAUAGUCCAUGAAACAACAUACUUUCUGCAUAAAUAGUCCAUAAAACAGUUCAAAGUCACCAAAAUAGUCCAUAAAAUAUUUGAGUCACUAAAACAAUCCAUAAACAGCUUGCGGCGUAUGCAAUUUGCUGUUAAAUGCUAAUUGUGAAUGUGAAUUAGUAAAUAUUAUAUAUAUAGAUAGAUAGAUAGAUAGAAAGAUAGAUAACAUAAUAUUAUUUAUAUAUAUAUAUAACAUAAUACUAUGUUAUAUAUAUAAUAUAAUAUUAUAUAUAUAUAUAAUAAAAUAUAUAUAUUAUUUAUUUAUUUAUAAAAUUUUAAAUUUUUUGAUUUAAACCGAAUUUUUUUUUUAAAAUCGAAAAUCGAAUCGAAAAAUUGAAAUUCUAAAAUUACAAAUCGAAUUUGAUCCGAAAAAUCGAAACCAAAAUUAAAUUUUGAUUUGGUUUUUCAUUUUUUUUGGUUUAAACCAAACUAUGUCCACCCCUAACUGCUACCAUAUUCACUUCAAUAUGGGACAAAUUUCAUAUCUUUUCACCAAAGAUAUUAUUUUACCUUAGCCAUCAUUAUAUCAUAAAUAUGAUGCAUUGAGAUUCAAACUCAAUAUCUUAUUUAUAUAGAGGCAUCUUAGAUAAUAAAUCGAUGGAACUUAAACCCAACAUAUUGUCAUCCCUGUUGAUAAUAUUGUUCUUGAGGAAUAAAUCUAAAACAUAAAUGGUUCCAAACCAAUUAGGUUUUCUCAAAUUCAACAAUAAUUAUAUCAUUAGUAGCAAAAGACAAAUAACCAUGAAAUUACCUUUAAAUUUAGAAUCUCACCUUGUUUGGUAGAAUCUCAUGUUGAUAACGUGUUAUGAAAUAUAAAGCAAAGAAGAAGAAGAAUGGAAAGAAGAGAGGAGACUUCUUUAUUUCUCAUGGAGAAUUUUUGAGGAGUGAAUUACAAUGAAGAAAACCCCUUUAUUUAUAUGAAAAAACUAACCUUAGGGUUUCUAACUUUUCCAUAAAUAGACAUUCACUAUAUAUGAUAAAGUAGACAUUCAUUAUAUUUGAUAAAGUAGACAUUCACUAUAUAUGGUAAUAUAUUUAUAAUAGAUCUAGAUAUAUAGUGUUAUUUUUCGAUGAAGGGAUGUCGAGAGACACUCCCUUAAGUACAUGUUAUUCCUCCAAUGCGAGUAUCCAUCUUAGUAUCGGCAUCUCUACAACACUAAUCAUAUAUAUAUAUAUAUGUGUGUGUGUAUCUAUGUAUAUAUAUUUAGACCUAGAUAUAUUGUGUAAUUUUUCGAUGAAGGGUUGACACCCUUUAAGUAUGUGUGGCUACACCACUGCGCACAUGUACAUCCAUUUAGCAUCCAUAUCUCUACAACACUCAUCAUAUGGAUAUGUUGCACUUUAGCCGCCCAACCUUCACUACCAUGUAACAUAGUCGAUCUCAUAGUUUAAUAAAACUUACUCCAAUCACAACACCUUUGUAGCACUUCUGCAUUUCAACCAUCCGACUUUAAUUCUAACAUCUUCAUCUAUGAUUUCAUUCUCUUAAAAUAACGAGCCUGGAUAUCAAAUUAUUUACAGUUUGGCACUGCAAUUUCAUUUAGCCUCAUCACCAUAAUGUCUCUCCUCUCAUGCUGAAUUGCUGACUAAUAAACAUGCAUGUAGUGCAUAUUAGGUCUUACUUUUUACUGAUACGAAAAUGCAUACUUUGUACGUACUUCUCAAAUGCUUAAAAUGCUCCUCUUAAAAAAAUGUUUACCACUGUUAUGGAUAACUCCUCUUAUCAUCUACAAUUAUUUUGAUGCUAGUGACUCUUCAUACACCUCGUGUGGUACUCUAGAGGUGUUUAUUGAUCUAAAUAAAUCAUAUAAUAGAGUGUAGGAAUUAAGUGUUUUCUAAAUCUUCUUUGUUUAAAACUAACAUUUUAAUGCAAAUGUUGUUUCGGGUACACAAUGUGUAUUGUUUUCACAAAUACUUCAACAUAAGUUCAAGACUGUAUCAAGAACGCCUAUGAAGUUUUAACACUUUCAACACAAGUUCUACAAGAACUAUCAAAGAAGUAUGUUACUUAAAGAAAUAAGACGAAGUAGAAGUAGAGCCAAGUCCUCCAAUUUCAUGGAGUGUCCUUAAGGAAUUAAUUCCCCUCAAGUACCCGAGGUUGUGGAACUCUUCCUCCAAGGAUAAAAUGACUCACAAUCAGAAUGUAACGGUACCUCAAACCUUCUUAUUCUUUUAACACGCUCAAUAACAGAUGAUCACAAAGAGUUUUUAGAAGUAGAAGAGUGUUUUUCAAUCCUUAAAUUUGAAUGUAUACCUGUGGAAAAAAUGCAAGUAUUUAUAACCAUCAAGUACCCCUUUGGAAAGGAAGUAAUGGUUCAUUGGAAAGGCGUAUCACUUUAGAACAAUCAUCUCUAUCCAUUCCGAAAUAGUGUGUCUUUUCUAAACAGUCACAUCUGACCAAAUAGUUAGCCCUUUUUCGAAACAGUGUGUCAUUUUCUCAAAGUGUUGCGUCCCUUUCGAGUAACGUUUCUGCAGGCAUCUGCAUGGCAUUUAUGGAGAAAAAAUAUUUUUUGUUUUUCUUUGGAUUUUUUGGAUUAAUAAAUUUCAUUUGUUUUUUGAAGUUUUAAAUAAACUUUGUCUAAAAAAUUAAUCUCAUCGAUCGAUAAAUUCGAAGCCAAAAUUGACCGAGCGAUGACAACGACGGCGUGGGGCACCUCUUGGUUCUUGCCUUGCUAUCCACCUGAAGGUGUGUCUCUUAAUAAGAACACGUGAAAGUUGCUUUCUCCCACCAAUGUGGGAGAAGUAUACUUUCCUUAAGUGAGUACACUUUCCCUUUAAGACUUUUCCUCCAUUUUCCAUUCACACCAAUUAUUGCCAACAAUCUUCUCCAUGAAUGGGGAAUAACUACUGUUUAUAAAACUUUAUGAACAAGUAUUUAAUCGAGAAGCAAAGACUGAUUGCAUCUGGAUAAGUGGGUUUUCCCUUGAACUUUCUGUAGCGAACAUGCAUCGAAUACACUCAAUCAAUCGGUAGAUUUGAUAUCCUUGAACCAUUGAGUUUUAAUGUACACCUAGACAAUAUAUGUCACACAACCAGCCUUUUACUGUUUAUGGUUCUCAUGAUUUUAUUCGUUUCAACCAUGAACACGUCCUGGUUAAUGAGAGCUUAGAAAAUAGGUCUUUAUUAACAUUCUCCUUGAAGCGACUACUAUUUCACCCUCACAUAGGUGAUUUCAAAAUGUUCAAUCCUAUAGAUUAAACUAUUUGGUCAAAUAUUCCAAAUUUAGAUAAUCAUUAAAAGACUUCACACCAUAAGUCUUAUCCUUGUUUACUAAAUAUUGUUUACAUCAUGAGAAUGGGUUAGGUAUAUUAACAAUACUGAACCCGUCAGUCACAACUUUAUUUGAUCUUCUUGAACCUAGCUCUUGGGAUCUCCAGUCUGCUAAGUAGAGUUACUGCUAUGCUGACUUGUCCUAGGCUGUAAACUCAUUCCCUUCUAUGUUCCCUCAACUCCCUCUCGAGAUAGGCCUUUUGUAAGUGAAUCCAACAUAGUAUCCUUUGACUUCACAUUGUCACAGCGAUAAUUCCAUUAGAGAGUAGUUCUCUACUGGUAUUAUGUCUCCAUCAUAUAUGACGAGAUCUACCGUUAUACAUCAUGCUCCCUGCCCUGCCUAUCUCACUUGUCUAUAACAGUGUAUGCAUACUGGUGUUAAUGGUUUGGGCCAAUAAGAAAUAUCUUCCAAGAAAUUUCGGAGCCAUUCAGCUUUUUUACAAGAUUUAUCUAAUGCGAUAAAUUAAGGUUACAUUGUGGAGUGAGCAAUAUAUGUUUGUUUUGACAAUUUCCAAAAGACUGCUCCUCCAUCUAUAGUAAAUACAUAUCCACUCGGUAAUUUUUCUUCAUUCGAUUCGGUGAUCUAAUUUACAUCACUAUAUCCUCCAAUUACCUUUGGAUAUUUAUUAUCAUGAAAAACAUAGUCUUGAGUGUAUUUAAGACACCUCAUAACUUUUUUCAUUGUCAUCCAAUGAGUUUUAUUAGGAUUACUCGUGUACCAACUCAACUUACUAAUAAUACAUGCUAUGUUUGGCCGUGUACAAUUCAUGAUAUACAUUAAACAUCCCAACACUCCUGUGUAGUCCAACUGUGUCACUUUGAACUUCAUUCUUUUAAAGUGCAAAGCUCACGUCCAAUAGAGUCUUGGCAAUACCGAAUUCCAAAUACUUGAAUUUGUCAAGUACCUUUUUAAUAUAAUGAGACUAUGAUAAUGCCAACCCUUAUGGGGUUUAACGAAUUCUUAUUCCUAAGAUCAUAUACGCCACUCCAAGGUCUUUCAUAUCAAAUUUGCUCUCAAGCAUUUGUUUCGUAGUAUUUAUGUCAGAAAUAUCUCUACUUAUGAUCAACAUAUCAUCCACAUACAAACAAUCAAUGACCUUGUGAUUUGGAGUGUCUUUAGUGUAAACACAUUUAUCAUAUUCGUUUAUCUUAAACCCAUUUUCCAACAUAAUUUGGUUAAAAUUUGCAUGCCACUAUUCGGGUGUUUGUUUUAGUCCAUAAAGUGACUUAACAAGUUUGCACAUGUUCUUUUCUUUACCAGGAACCACAAAGGUUGUUCCAUGUAAAUUUCUUCCUCCAAUUCUCCAUUUAACAAUAUUGUUUUCACAUCCAUUUGAUGGAUUUUAAGACCAUAUACCGCCGCCAAGGUAAUUAGCAUUUGAAUUGACGUUAUCCUUGUUACAAGCGAGUACGUAUCAAAAUAAUUAAGGCCUUUCUUCUGUUUGAAGUCUUUUACUACAAGUCUUGCCUUGUAUUUGUCAAUAGUACCAUCUUCUUUCAUUUUCCUUUUAAAGAUCCAUUUAGAACCUAAAGGUUUAUUACCUGGAGAAAGAUUAACCAACUUCCAAGUAUGGUUGCUCAAGAUUGAUUCAAUCUCACUAUUGACUGUCUCUUUACAAAAGGAUGAGUCUGAAGACGACUUCGCUUCUUUAAAUUUUUAAGGUUCAUUUUCUUAGAGAAAUAUUACAAAAUACAAUCCAAACGAAGUUGAUGUUAUUUAACAUGUACUACUGUAACGCCCCGAGUCUACACCCCGAACGCUACACAGUGCUAGUGAACCCAAAGGACCACCAGCUAACCCUUGACUAGUACCUGCUGUGAGCACUGAAUAAUAAUAGCACUAUAAUGAUAAUAUAUCUAAAAUAAAUGUGGAAGAUAAGCUAAAAAUCAUCAUAAGGUUCAUAACUGAAAUAAUUACUGAAUACUGAGAUAUCUGUCAGAAAUACUCUAGUCUAAAAUCCUCUAACUGUCUGAAUAUGUAGUUGAUGGGACAAGCUCCCAACUAACUCCAUCUACUGAAUAUGCUAAGCUACUAAAAUACCGAAAGAUAAAAUCAUCCUCAAACUAUGAGGACUCACCACUAAAUCUGUUGCUGAUACUCCAGGCUGCUAAGUACGGUCAGGAGCCCUUGCGUCAGAACCUAUGAUAUAAAACAUCAUAGCACAAAAUAAAAGUAUGUGUCAGCACUUUGAAUGUACUGGUACUCUAAGUGAGGUAGACUGAUAUGCAUGAACAAUAACUUACUGAGUAACAUAAACAUAACUGAAAGAGAGUGCAUACAUGAAUACAUACUGUAAAUGAGGUCAUGUUAACACUGGAUACUGAGUUUUGGAUACUGAUUCACUGAUAUCUAAGUUUAAUAAUACUAUAUUACUAAUAACUAAAUGACUAUUUCUGAUAGUCCUAAUUCUGAAGAACUGAUCUGAGCUCUACACUGACCUGAACGACUGUAUCUGAUAGUCUUGAAUCUGUAGAACUGAACUGAGUUUUGUACUGAUACUGAAACUGAAACCAAAACUAUGGGAGGUAGUCAUCUAAUCGACAUGCCACAAUCUGAGCUAAUCGGGAUCCAACCUAUAACCGCAGUUGUAAGGGUGUUAGUACCGUGCUACGGGUACUAACACUGGUUGUGUGGAUCUACUAUACUGAUGUAUUGUAUUGUCCGACAGGAUUAAGGGUGUCAAGCCUGAACUGAAGGGAGACUUCUUAUAUCCUACAUUGUCUACGUAGUUCUAGAGUACCGGGACUACUACUAACGACUUUGCGUACUAACGACUUCCCUGCACUCGCUCGAUGCUGAAUCCUACUCCCAAUUGAAUAGACGCUGAACUGAUUUCUAGACUGUAGUAGGCUUGACUUAACUAUUAAUGAUCAUGUUGUCUAACUGAACUGAGUUCACUGGGUUCCGUUAACUGACGGAAUACUACUGAGUUCUAUUAACUGACUGGGUUUACUUGAGAUCUGAACUGAUUACUGAACUGAAACUGGACUGAUUACUGAGUACUAAUGAGAUUGUUCUGUAACUACUAUAGCUCUAGGUAAACAGCUAGAUUUAUCGGGUAUAAAAUACCUCCUAGACUCGAUAGCAUGAAAAGUAAAACACUGCAUGACUUUAAUAGCAUAAUAGCACUUGCUUACCGAUAAUGUUGUCAUUUGGACUUUUUUUGUCAACCACUUAAUAUACAUAGCUUGUACAUGAAUGAAAUCACAUAAUGCUUGAACUAGUCAAUUCACAUAAGCAUUUUGACAAACGCUUUAGGGAGCAUGGGCAUUCCACAUAUCAACAAACAUGUAAUACUAUCAUGGAUACUACCUUUAACUUGCAAUUCAAGAGCUCAACAAGAAGUUCACAUAAUUCAAUCCACAACUAAUACAUUUUCAUGAAACUCAAGAUAAAUCAUGGAAUUGAAAACCCAUUUGACAUCAUAAUCAAGAUUACAUCCAAAUCCAUCAUGAAAUCUAUGAAAUCAAUUGUAGUUUAAAAGAGUUUCUUGGACUCCAAGGGUGGACCCUUGGACGAACACUUCACAUACCUUGGUGCUUGAAUUAAUGAAGGUUGAUGGUAAGUUCUUGAAUCUUGAAUUUGAAAUUAGAUCUCCUAGGGUUUUUGCUCGAGUAAUUUGAGAGAGAAUGAGUUUAAUUUUCUUAUUGAGGGCUGAAUUUUGUGUUUUGGGGGCUAAGUAGACAUGGGAAAAUAAACCAAAUACCCUUAAGGAUGCGGAUUUUUAAUGACUGAAAAUUGGUCCAGUGGCGUGCAGCCCGACGUGCCGUAUCGAUGGGGUCGAUGCUAUGGCUGAUGCGCCGCAUCAAGUCCAUGUCGGUUAACUGGGAAUUGGCAUUGGGAGCUAGAAAAAAUAUUUAUUAACGCGAUAGGUGACGCGGCGCGUCAAAAUUGCGUUGGUCCACUGGUUUGGACUUCCAAAUGUGUUGCAAACGAUAAUCAAAAAAUUUAAAACUUGCCUGACAACACCUACUGACAUGCCUGAUCAUGAUUGAACCUAAAAAUCGACACCUUAAGGUCAUAAGGGUCGUGAAAUAAGAUUGGCAACUUAUGAGGCUAAAAUAAUUCUAAGUGUAAAUACUUAGCUGAAAUUUUCUAAGUAUGGGAUCCCUUAUCAAGCUCUAAGGGCUGAGUUAAGCUUAGGAUUUUGCGGGGUCUUAAAACUACGUCUUGGAUUCUCAUCAUUAUGUACAUCCUCGCUUGGUUCAUCUCGAGGUCGUUUAGACCCUCCGCUAGACUGUUCAUGCCUAAUUUUAUAAAGAUAAAUGUAUUCAAAGAACUCAGCAUUAUCUUAUUCAAUUACCGUAUUUUCAUUGAUAUCCGUAUAUUCAGAUUUAUGAACCAAAAAUUGACAUGCUUUACUACUUUUAGCAUAUCCUAUGAACACGCAGUCCACUGUCUUAGGUCCUGUCUUUACCCUUUUGGUCAUAGUAACUUGGACUUUUAUUAGACACACUUACACUUUGAAAUAUUUUAAGUUGGAUUUUUUUCCUUUCCAUUUUUCAUAUGGAAUUCAUUGUGUCGUACUAUGGGGCACUCUAUUGAGCAUUCGAUUAGCUGUAAAGAUAACUUCCGCCCACAAGUUUUGCAGUAAACCUGAACUUAUAAGUAAGACAUCAUCAUUUCUUUUAAAGUUUGAUUUUUUCUUUCUACAAUUAUAUUAGAUUGAAGUGAAUACGGGGCUGUAGUUUGAUGGAAAAUUCCAUUCUCUACAUAUAUUUUUGCAAAUGGAUAUUAUUCUCCACUCCUAUCACUUCUUAUCAUUUUGAUCUUCUUCUCUAAUUAAUUCUCAACUUUUGUUUUAUAUUUCCUAAACGCAUUUAUUGCUUCAUCCUUACUGUUUAGCAAAUAGACAUAACAGUACCUCAUGCAAUCGUCAAUAAAAGUUAUAAAAUACUUUUUUCCGCCACGAGAUAGUGUUGACUUCAUAUCACAAAGUUCAGUGUGGAUUAAGUCUAAGGGAUUGGAAUUCCUUUCAACGGACUUAUACAGAUGUUUAGCAUACUUUGAUUCCACGGAUGUUUGAUAUUUUGAUUUAUUGCACUCAAAGUUUUGCAAAACUUCUGAGUUAAUCAGUUUUCACAAAGUUUUGUAAUUGACAUAUCCCAAUCAUUCAUGCUAUAAUUCAUUAGACUCAAACAAGUAAGAAGAAAUAGCACUUUUAUUGAUUUCAACUAUCAUUACAUUCAUCUUAAAUAGGCCCUCAGUGAGGUAGCCUUUUCCUAUGUACACUUCCCCUUUACUAAGUACAAUCUUGCCUAAAACAAAUACACAUUUGAAUUUAUUUUUGUCAAGAAAUAAUAUGAAAAUCAAGUUCUUUCUUAACUACAGUAUAUAAGGUACAUUGUUAAGAGUCAACACUUUGCUUGACAUCAUUUUCAAACAGACUUUUCUCGUCCCUUCAACUUUUGCAGUUGCGGAGUUUGCCAUAUAGAUCCUUUCUUCGCCUUGAGCCGGAGCAAAUACAGCAAAAAACUCUUUAUUGGAACAAACAUGGUGGGUGGCACCGGAAUCCAUCCACCAUUCUCUUAGAUUUCCCACCAAGUUACAUUUAGAAAGCAUGGCACAUAGAUCGUCCAUUUUAUUCUUACAUUUAGCCAUAUUCGUUUGGUCCUUCUUUUUGCCUUUUUUGGAGGUACGACAAUUUUUUGACUUAUGGUCAAUCUUACCACAAUUAAAGCACUACCCCCUGAAAUUCUUCUGAGGUGGUUGCUUUGUUGUCCAGCCUUCUUCCGCUUCUUUGAGUUGUUGAGGUCGUCUUCUACAAUGUUAGCUCCACUCAUUGCAAAAUUUUCUUUCAACCUCCUCUCUGCGACUUUAUUGUCUUCCUCAAUGCGCAACCUCACAAUGAGGUCUUCGACUGUCAUCUCCUUUCAUUUGUGUUUCAAGUAAUUUUUGAAGUCCUUCCACAAAGGUGACAACUUCUCUAUUAUUGCAGCAACUUGAAAGGUCACGUUCACAACUAAACCUACAAUAAAGUUCAUGUGAACAUUAAGAACAUUUUUAAUAUGUUCAAAUAAGGUAUUCAUUAUAUUCAUACCUUCAUAAAUAAUAUCGUGGAUGAUAACUUUCAAUUUCUAUACUUGAGAUACGACAGUCUUAUUGUUAAUUAUUUUGUACUCAAGAAAUCUUGCAACAAAGAACUUCUUACUUCCAGCAUCCUCAGUCAUAUAUUUUCUUUACAGCGCAUUCCACAACUCUUUUGAUGUUUUCAUUUCACUAUAAACAUUGUAUAAAUCAUCUUGGAGGCCACUUAGAAUAUAAUUCCUACAUAGGAAAUCAGAAUGUUUCCAUGCCUCUAUUACAAUGAACCACUCCUUGUCUGAAAUUUUUUCGGGUGAUUCUAGAGCAUCUUCAGAUAUAAAUCUUUGAAAACACAAGGUUGUAAGAUAGAAGAACAUCUUCUGUUGCCACCAUUUAAAAUCUAUUUCAGAAAAAAAUUUGGGCUUUUCAACUAGUGCCAUAGUAGGUUGUGCAGUUGUACGACUAGUUAUAGCAAUAUUCGUUCGUGCUACACUUGUCCCACCAUCAGUAGUCAUCUUUUCUGUCACAAAAAGACAGUCAACUUUAGUAUAUCAAAAUAAUAAUUACAAGUCCGUAGAAACUUUAAACACUACUUGUUUCUAGUUUAACGAUGAAGUUUUUAUGUCUUCCAAUUGUUAACCGAAUGAUCAUUAACUUGUGAUAAAAAAAUUAUUUCUUUAAAUCACUUGUUAAGUUCAAAUAGAAUAGAAAGCAUAAAGCUUUAAUUUCCCAAAAUCAAACAAUACAAAUUACGGGUUUAAUUCCUUAAGAUUGUUGUUUCGGGUACACAAUCUGUAUGGUUUGCGCAAACACUUCAACACAAGUUCAAGACUGUAUCAAGAACACCUAUGAAGUUUUAACUCCUUCAACAUAAGUUCUACAGGAACUAUCAAAGAAAUAUAUUGCUUAAAGAAAUAAGAUGAAGUAGAAGUAGAGCCAAUUCCUCUGAUUUCAUGGAGUACCCUUAAGGAAUUAAUUCCCCUCAAGUACUAGAGGUUGCGAAAUUUUUUCUCUCAAGAUAAAAUGGAUCACAAUCAGAAUGUUGCAGUACCUCAAACUUUAUGAUUCUUAAAACACAUUCAACAACAGAUGAUCACAAAGAUUUUUUAGAAGUAGAUGAGUGUUUUUCAAUUCUAAAAUUUUCAUGUAUACCUGUGGAAAAAAUGCAGGUUUUAUAGCCAUCAAGUGCCCCUUCAGAAAGGAAGCAUGUAACUCCCCGAGUCUAUACCCCAGACGCUACACGAUGCUCAUAAUUCCGAAGGACCAUAAGCUAACCCUUGACUGGUAUCUGCUGCAAUAACGGAACAAUAAUAAUAAUAAUAAUAAUAAUAAUAAUAAUAAUAAUACUAUAAUAUACGGAAUUUAGGGGGAAACUUUCCAUAAGGUUCAAACCUGUAGAUAAAACUGAAUACGGUAUAACAAUACCAAAACUAAAAUAUCUGUCUAAAAAUACUUCUAGUCUGAAAAGGCUCAAAACUGUCUGAACUAUGGAGUUGAUAGGACAAGCCCCCAACUAACUCCAACUACUGAAAGUGAACUAAUAACUGAAAUACUGAAUGAAAAUAAUCAUGUCAUCGAACUAUGAGGGCUCACCACUAACUCUAACUGCUGAAAGUCCAAACUACUAAGGGUGCUCGGGAGCCACGCGUCUGAACCUAUGAUAUAGGACAUGAUAGUGCAAGAGAAAAGUAUGUGUCAGUACUUUGAAUGUACUAGUAUGCAAAGUGAGGUAGGCUAAAAUGCAUGGGUUUGUAUGUAUAAACAAUACUGACUGAAUGACAUAAGUAUAACUGACUGAGAAUACAUGCAUGAAUACGUAAAUUAUAGCUGAGAUUGUGGUGACACUGAAUACUGAAUCUGAAUACUGACUAACUGAUAUCUAAUUAUACUGACAAUGUAUUACUGAUAACUGGGUAACUUUAUCUGAUAGUCUUGAUUCUGUGAAACUAUACUGAGUUUUGUACUGAGCUGAGUGACUGUGUCUGACAGUCCUGAGUCUGUAGAACUGAACAGAGUUCUAUACUGAGACAAAAUCUGAAACUGGGACUGUGGGAAGUAAUCAUCUAACCGACAUGCCCCUUCUCUAACUGAUUUGGGGUCCAACCUGUAACCUCAAUUGGAAGGGUAUCAAUACCGUGCCACGAAUAAGUAUAAGCUAAGUCACCCUAAUCUGGCAGGUGCUCUGAAAGAGAAUGGUGGGACCCUCAAAUGGCAAGUUAAAUCACCUCAUCAACCCUAAACUGGCAGGUUGAUGUCUCAACAUACGCUGGCUACGUAGUUCUGGAACUCAAGGAUUGCUUCUAAGGAUCAUACCCUCUACUGGAAGGUGAGUCCCCAUCCUUGGAUUCACUCGGUGUUGAAUCCUACUCCCAACUGAAUAGACACUGAACUGAUUCCUAGACUGUACUAAGCUUGACUGAACUGUUACUGAUUGUACUAUUUUAUUGAAUUGAACUGAGUUCACUGAGUUCCGUGGACUGAAGAAAUACUACUGAAUUCUGUUAACUGACUGAGUACCGCUGAAUUCUGAACUGAAUACUGUGACUGACUUAUGAAUACUACUAGAUUUUCCUAAGUUCUGUAACUAACUGAAGCUCUAGGUAAACAGCUAAGUUUUCGGGUAUUGAAUACCCCAAGGACUUGAUAGCAUGAAAGGUAAAUCAUAGCAUCUAUAAUAUAUUAAAAGUGUGAAGACCCUUAGAAAAGCUAUUUGACCUUUUUGCCCUUCAUUAAAACACUCUUCUUUAGAUAAAACUGUCUUUUCACUAUUUUUUAAUUUAUUAUUUCAUUUAUUAUUUAUUAUAUUAAAUAGACUUCCUAAAAUAUAUGGUAGGAGAAUUAAUUAAUAUUUUUCUUUCUACUAGACUUCCUAAAAUAUAUGGGACUCCUAAAAUAUAUGGUAUAUAUAUAGUAGACAAUUCAUAAAUUAAAAAGACAUUAAUUAUAUUUUUGGGAAAAAUCACAUAUCCAAAAUAAAAAAGAAGACAAACUAAUAAUUUUGGAGGAAAUUUCUUUAUCAGCCGUACUCUUUUUUUGUUGUGCUAAAGUGAAUUUUUUAAAAUAUACUUUUGAAAAGGAAAAAGGGUGAAAACACUAUAAGAAAAAAACAACAUGUAAAAUAAGGAACAAUGCUUAAAGUAAACUCUUAUUCAAUUUUUUUUUUUAAUAAAGGCUAUAUGUAUAGUUACCAAUUAAUUAAUUUUGUCUCCGUUUCUUCACGUGAAAUUGAAACUUUUUUCCUAUUAAAAAGUCUCUUAAAUAUAGAAAGAGUGGUUCAAUAAUUAUGGGGACAAAAACCUACCAACAUUAAAUAAAAUCUAUACGUUAAAUUAGAGAACUCAUCCAAUUUAAUUCGAUUGCAUGUCUAGAUUGGUUGAUGCUUGAUUUUCUGACCCUCAACUUCUUCGCUCAGACAAGAAUUAGUUGGAUCAAAAUCAAAGCUUUGUGAUCACUAUUAUAUUUUUUUUUAUAGUUUACAGGUCGUAGAUGAAUGCCGGUUGGCUUUGAAGAAUUUGUUGUGUAAAGGUUAGGUUUAAGUAUAUUCGUUUUGAUAUCUUUAUUAUUAUUGUUUUAGUUUAAUUUACAGAUGCUAGAUAAAUGUUCAUCGGCUUUGAAAUUUUUUUUUAGAUAAAAGUUAGGUUUAAUUGUAUUAUCGUAAUAUCUCUAUUAUUUUGUUAUUUUGUGGUAUUUUAGAGUUCGUAGAUGAAUCUUGAUCGAUUUUGAGAACUUUUUGUGUGUAAAAUUUAAGUUUAAUUGUAUUCUUUUGAUAUCACUUUUAUCGUAUUAUUUUGUUGCGGUUUACAGGUGAUAGAUAAAUGUUGAUCGACUUUGAGUUUUUUUUAUGUAAAGGUUAGAUUUACUUGUAUUAUUUUGAUAUCUCUAUUAUCGUCUUAUUUUGUUAUUAUUUACAGGUGGCAAAUAAGUGUCAGACGAUCAGCUUUGAAAUUUUUUUAGGUAUAAGUUAGGUUUAAUUGUAUUAUCGUAAUAUCUCUAUUAUUUUGUUAUUUUAUGGUAUUUAAGAGUUCUUAGAUGAAUCUCGAUCGGUUUUAAGAAUUUUUUAUUUGUAAAAUUUAAGUUUAAUUGUAUUAUUUUGAUAUCAUUUUUAUCGUAUUAUUUUGUUACAAUUUAUAGGUGAUUGAUAAAUUUUGGUCAGCUUUGAGUUUUUUUUUAUGUGUUUCUUAAUAAGCACACAUGAAAGUUGCUUUCUCCCAACAAUGCGGGAGACGUAUACUUUCCUUAAAUGAGUACACUUUUCCUUCAUUUUCCAUUCACACUAAUUGAACCCAACAACAAAUGCCAAGAGACCUUCAGGGGUCGUUUGGUAGAAAAAUAAAUUAUUCAGGGAUUAGUAAUACAAGGAUAGUAAUGCGGAAAAUAUUAAUACAAGGAUUGUAACGCAGAAAUUAUUUUUUAUCAAGUGUUUGGUUCAUUGCAUUAAAAUCUAGAUAUACCAUGUAUUGUGUUUGAUUUAUAAUUCUACAAGUAUGGUCAUUACAAUUAUGCCCUUGAUCUUUUUAUGGAUUCCUAUUUCAUUUAGCUAGACUUCUUAAAAGGGAAAAAGUUAUCGUUUCCACCUCAAACUAUACAUUAAAAGUCACUUACACACCUAAUCUAAUAUGGUGACCCAUUACACACUUAUUCUUAAUAAAUAUGAAUUUAAUUUCACCCAAAAUCUGACGUAAAAAUAAAAUAAAAUUAAAAAGAACAAGAUGCCCGUCCAAAACCAAAAAAUAUUCUUUAAAAUUCCCCACCCCCACUCAGAUUCUCUCUCCUUCAACUCCAUUUUUAAUUUUUUUUUGUUUCUCUCUCAAUCUUGUUUCUUCUUCUUCUUUUUUUCAAUUCAUAACCACUCCUCCCUUUUUGUGGUUGAUGAAAAUUAUUUUUCCAUGACAGCUUCUGGAGUGAAAAAGAAAAAAGAUUAAGUAGUUGAAUCGACAUUGGUCAGAAAUUUUUUCGAUGAGACUUGUGAAAUUGAUCAAAUCUUAUUUCUCCCAUCAUCAAACUCAUCAAGUUAAGCAUCAAUUUUUUUUAUUUUAUUUUUAUAUUUAUGUUCUUUCCCUGUAAAAGUUUGUGGGUUUUUCUCAAAAUUCAAUCUAAUACAUUUUGUGUAGAUAUAUCUUCUCUCUAUAAAAAUUCUCUUUCGACUUGCUCAAAAUCAAUAACAGUAUAUUGAUGUAGAAUUUAGUUGUGGUGCAGGUGCGAAUUUGUGGUGAUUUUUGUAACUUUGGAUGUUAACAGUGGUGAUAUUGUGAUUCCGAUGGCAAUUUUAGUAGUGGAUGUUGAAUUUUAUGGUGGUUGUUUAUGAUUUUUGUGAUACUAAUGGUUGUAUUGUGAUUUCAAUAAUGAAAUCCAUGGUGGAUUCUUAAAAUUAUUGUGGUGAAGAUUUGAGUUUGAUGAUGAUGAUGUCAAUGGUGGUGUUUUAAUGGUGAUUUUGAUGAAGAAGAAGCAAUGGUGGACAUGGACUUUUAAAAAAAAUUGACAUAAUAUCUGAUGUGGAUAACAUGGCGAUGAUGUGGCGUGAGUGUAAAUCACUCUCCAUCAUGUGAGUGGUUCUUUACUUUUCAGGAUGGAAAUAAAUUUACUUUUGCAUAGUAUAGGUGCGUAUUAGGUCGCGAUAUUAGUUUAAGUGUAAAAGUGACUUUUCGUGUAGAGCUUGAGGUGAAACGAUGAUUUUUUCCUUCUUAUAAAAAAUAAAAGGCCAACCCCAUCGAUAGCCCCUCGAACUUGUCCCUAAAAUUCACUUAGACCCUAAACUAAGGCUUGUACCUAUUAAAUCCCUAAACCCCCCAAUUUGGUUACAAUUGGGUAUUUUUUUCCCUAUCAGCAAAAAGGUCAAAAUAUGUGUUGCACACAUGCGAUGACAUGGCAAAAUGAGCUAACUGGAAGCUGACACGUGGCAUUGUAGGUCCAAUAAUUAAUAAAAAUUAAUAAUAAUUUUUUAUAAAAAAGUAUAAAAAAAUGGCAUGGAGGAAAUUAUUAAAAAAUAAUUCUAAAAUUAUAUCAAAAAAUAAAAAUAAAAAUUGAUUAUUUUUAACAAAUUAUAAAAAAAUAUAAAAAUGAAACAAAUUAUUAAAAAAAUAUUUUUUAAAAAAACAUUAAAAAAAUUAUAAAAUUUCUUAAAAAAUGAAGAUAAAAAAUGGCAUUGACGAUAUAAAUUAUGAAAAAAAAUUAUAAAAUUAUUUAAAAAUAAAAAUAGAGAACUGAUUAUUUAAAAAAAAUUAUACAAUUUUUUAAAAAAUAAAAUAAAAUAUUAAAAAAUUAUUUAAAAAUAAAAAAUUAAUUAUUAAAAAAAUUAUAAAACUUUUUAAAAUGAAAAUGAAAAAUGGUUGAGGAUCCAAAUUAUGAACAAAUAAUUAUAAAAUUAUUAGAAAAAUAAAAAUAUGAUUAUUUAAAAAAAUUAUAAAAAAAUUUUAAAAAUGAAAUAAAUUAUUAACAAAUUAUUUGAUAAAUUAAUUAUUAAAAAUAAAUAUAAAAAUAUUUAAAAUGAAAAUAAAAAAUGGCAUUGAAGAUCCAAAUUAAGAAAAAAUAAUUAUAAAAUUAUUAAAAAAAUAAAAUAAGAAACUAAUUAUUAAAAUAGAAAUUAUAAAAGUUUAAAAAAUUAAAUAAAUUAUUAAAAAAAAUUAAAAAUAAAAAAUUAAUUAUUAAAAAAAUUAUAAUUUUUUUAAAAAUGAAAAUAAUAAAUGGCAUUGAGGAUCCAAAUUGUGAAAAAAUAAUUAUAAACUAUUUGAAAAAUAAAAAAACUGAUUAUUUUGAAGAAAAUUAUAAAAAAUUUUAAAAAAUGAAAUAAAUCAUUAAAAAAAUAAAUAUUAAUAAAAUUAUAAAAUUUUUCAAAAAUGAAAAUAAAAAAUGGCAUUGAGGAUGUAAUUAAGGAAAAAAUAAUUAUAUAAUUAUUUAAAAAAUAUAAAUAAAAAACUGAUUAUUUAAAAAAUUAUAAAAAAUUUUAAAAAAUGAAAUAAAUUAUUAAAAUAAUUUAUAAAUAAAAAUUUAAUUAUUAAAAAAAUUAUAAAACAUUUUAAAAUAAAAAUAAAAAAUGGCGUAGAAAAUCCAAAUUAUGAAAAAAUUAUUUAAAAAUUAAAAAUAAAAAACUAAUUAUUAAAAAGCAAUUAUAAAAUUUUUUAAAAGAUGAAAAUAAAAAACAAUUAUUUUUUUAAAUUCAGUUUUAUUAUAAAAAAAAAAAAAAAAUUGGGGCCCUCUAAUGCUUUUGGGGGCCUUUAGUGUUUAAAAAAAAAUUGCUAUUAAUAAAAUUUUGGGGCCCUCAAUGCCACUUGGCAACUUUUUAUUCUUAAAUUGGUAAGAUAUGAAUGCUUCAGAAAUUGCAUAAAACAAAUGAUUUACUUGGUCAAUAUAGCCAGGGACUCCCUUGCUUCAAGAAUGUUUUCUCGUUUAAGCAAUAUUGCACUUACAUAGGUGUUAGACUAUUCACUGUAUUCAGUGACUAAGUUUAAGAAAAUAUAUGACUUAUAACAAAUUAUAGCUAGGAUAUGUGGCUUACCAGAUGCCCAAAUUCAAGUGCAAAAAAAAGAAGAACUUCAACUCCACGUCAAUCAUCAAGAAUGCUAGUAUUAGCCAAUUCUACAGAGAAAUUAUAUUAAUCAGUCACAAAACAAUUAACGAUUGUUUACAAUAAUAAUACAAAACUAAUACAAUUAGAAUAUUUUACAUUGUUCAAGCUUUUCGAGGACAUCUAUAUCUUCCUCAAUCUUAGUGAGUACAGCCAUCAAUCUUAGUCUCUCAGUAGAUUAGGGGGUUCGGAGGUCUGAUUCUCAAGAUCUGCAGCUGAGGAAAUUGACAUCUACCAGUUGUCAGGGGGUCCGAGCACUAAAUAAUCUCUCCCCCUUCGUCAACUACCAAUGGAGGAUCAAGUUAAAUGCAAGAUUAGGAGGUGGAUUCAACAAAUUCAAAGAGGGUUUCUUACCAGGUGGAUGUAUCUUUUCUCAAUAGACUGAAUCUAUAUUUUGUAGCAUCAAAACGAUAGAUUUCCCCUACAUACUGGAGAUUUCAGCUGGAAUAAAGAAAUGGCUAACAGGUACACAGAGACAGGAAGGAGAAAGGAAAAACAAUAAGGAAGCUUACUCUUGCAAGCUAGAAGACGGGGUUAUCAACAACACCAGUAGGAUAGUAUUGAUGAUCCGAAGAAGCAGCAGCUCAAGUUGUUCAUUGACAAAGAAAGCCAUGGAGAUGCGGCGGAAAGGGAAGAAGAUGAAAGGGAUUUUCUUAGUUUCUCAUUUUAGAAACCCUACUAGAUAUUUAGUUGAUAUAUUUGGAUAUGAUGGGUCAAGUUGGGUCGGGUCAGUUGACCCUUGGUUAAUAAAAUUACGUAUUAAACCAAUAUAUAUAUAUUAAUAUAUAUAGUGAUAAUAUAAAUAUUUAUAUAAAAAAAUAUAAAUAGGGGUAAAAUUGUAAUUUUUCUGUAUUCUUAUUGGAUUCUCGGUUAAACCGAUAACCCAAUAGGCCUAAAUCGAUACCAAACCGAUAACCCAAUAAAAAAUUUUCUAAAACCAAUAACCCAAUAACAGUAACCCAAUAACAUUUUUAUCAGUUCGGUUUAUCGAUCGGUUCGGUUUUUGCACAGCCCUAAGUUUGAGUGCCUAUCGAUGGGUUUGGCCAAAAUUAAAAUAUGAAUAGUUCAUAUGCCUGAAGUACAUAGAUCCUUCUUCAAAUGAUCUACGAACCUCUGCCAUAUCUUGAAAUGCAUACUAACGUGAGACAUCAUUGUUAAAACAAUUGUUGGAACCUCAUAUACCUUUUUCUUUUAAUCUGUCGGUGUCCAUCUUCGAGGUCAUUUGUGUGUAUAUGUUGUUUUUAUCAAAUGUGUUUUUAUUACAUGGCUUAAGUCAUCGACAAACACUUAAAGUUGUCCCAAAAAUUCACUUAAAUCCCUCAACUAAGGCCUAUCAGGCCUCUAACCACCCGAAUUUUGAUCCAAUCAAGCCUUUUUUGAACAAUCAGCAAAAAGUGUAGAGUGUGUAUAACACACUCGCCUGAUGUAGCAAAAAUGAAGAAUAAAAAAAACUAAAAAUUACACAAAUACACAACUUAUGUUUUCAAUAUUACAAAAAAUCCCAAGUCCCUAAACAUAUUACAAAAAUCUCAACAUAUACACAGAAUAUUAUGUUUAUGUCGGCUAUGUUAUGUAUAUUAAUAGGGAGAGAGAGUAAAGUAAUAAAGUAAUUAAAAAAUGAGAGAGAGUGUAAUUACUUCCAAAAAGGUUGGUAUUUAUGUUAUUUGCUCAUAAAAAACCACGUGGCAAACGAAUUUUUUAAAACAAACUAUAAGUUAGAAAUCCAAUUAAAUAAUGACACAUGUAAUGUGGGUCCAAAAAUUAUUGUAAAUAUAUUACUCCACAAUAAAUUAUUUUAAAAUUAAGAAAAAGAAAAAAAAACUAACCUACCCCUCCCCACCCCUACGCCCCAGUAAAGAACCGGUUCCCCUCACCCCCCCCACACACACACUGUUACAACCAUAGGAGAACCACACCCCAAAAGCUAGCUAUUAAGGUGGGGGAGCCCAAGGUUAUAAAUAACCCACACCAAUACUUUGUAGUAGGAGAACCACACCCCAAAAACUAGUUAUUAAAGUGGGAGAGCCCAAAGCUAUAAAUAACCGACACCAACACUUUGUAGUACCAAUGGGGGACUUUACAAUGGAUCAUAACAAAUCACCACGCUCGGCAUCCGUCGUCCUUGACGUCUCCACUCUGGGGACGGCUCCACUCUGGGUAGCUUUCACUCUACUUGUGUAGGUAGCUCUUUCCCAGGUAGCCCUUUUCGAGUCAGGAAAACCACACCCCAAAAACUAGCUAUUAAGGUGGAAGAGCCCAAGGUUAUAAAUAACUCACACCAAUACUUUAUAGUACCAAUGUGGGACUUCACAAUGGAUCAUAACAUACCCUCGCCCUUAUCAUAUUCUUGUCCAAUUCUGUUAAAAUAAAUUCAAAAUUUUUUUAGCAAUCUUAUUCUUUAGCAAUCCAAUUCAUAUUUGUUGCUAUUUUUUUGUUCUUCUUGUGUUGUGGGUUUCUUAGAAUUUGAAUUCUUUAACAAUAUCAAUAAAGUAAUCUCAAAGUCAUAUCAAGUUAGCCGGAAAAAUGGAGUUUCGCCGCAAAAAAUGGAGUUUCCCAAUUCAAGAAUAAAAUUUGCUCCCAUUGCUUUUUUUUUUCUUUUUCUGGUACAUAAAUUCGUGAUUACAUAUAUGGCUAAGAGAUUGUUUGAUCUAUAAUCGGUCUUUUAUUGACGAAUAAAGAAUAUAUUGCAUAUAUGUUCAGCAAUGCCUGAUUAACGAAAAGAAUUGAUGAAUUUAAAAAACUUACAAGAUUGUUAAGAAUCGCUAAGGAGGUUUAUUGAUAAGAUUCUUUUUCUUUUUGAGGUAGCUUCAACAUUCUUGUAAAUUGGCUAAUAGUUGCGGGACUUUAAAAAGGAAAAAAAAUACAUAGAUGAAGGAUGAUGAAAAUGAUGGGUUGCUACGUUCCCUUUUAUUUUUUAAUUAAAAUUUGAUAUUAUUAGAAAUUAUUAAUGAAAUAGAUUGAAGUGUGAUUUUCUAUAGCAGAUCUAUCUAUCUAUCUAUCUAUCUAUCCAUCUAUCUAUGUGUAUAUAUAUAUCAUUUGGUACUCUAUUUACGCUCCUAAGGAGAGUAAAUAAUACUUUUCUUGCCACAUCAGUACUUUGUGCUUGAUAGGUAUGAAAUUGAAUGGGUCUGGGGCCUGAUAGGUACAACCUUAAUUGAGAGGCCUAAGUAAAUUUUUAAAACAACUUAAAGUGUCUGUCGAUUCUUAUUACGUUUAACUAAUUCUUCAAAGAAAUGAACAUACUGCAAGAUCUUGGAUACCUAGCACCCAAGAUAUUGCAUUGGAAUAAGACUUGAUGCGAGAAGGAUGGAGUAUUUCUGAAGUCAAGUUUUGACGAAGAAGAAGCCAUAAAAGGUCGUAAGGGGCAGAGCUAAUGUUUUGCUUGUUGCUGUUGACAAUUUCACUGGUGGACUGAAAGUUUGAAAUAGUUUCUUGGACUCCAAGGGUGGAAGGGACCCUUGGAUAAACACUUCACAUACCUUGAUUACUACUUUCGAGAAGAUUGAGGUGAGUUCUUCAGACUUGAAUUUUUGAACUUGAUGAGGCUAGGGCUUGCUCUUGAGAGGGUUUUAUGAGUAAGGAAUGAGAUUUUGCGCUAUAGGCUAAUUAAUUUCGUGUUAACGCUGAAUAAGGGUGGGGAAAAUGACCUAUUUUCCCCCACAACCCUUAUUAAAAUAAUAAUGAAUAGGGUUGUCCUCACUUCGUGACCCCUGCUUGGGUCAAGUAUCCAUAGCGACGCAACCCCUGCUCGGUUCAAGCAGCCAUCGAAGCGCAACCCUUACUAAGGUUGACUGGCCCGCGCGACGCGGGGCUAUAGUGACCCUCCACUGUUUUGUGCAUCUAAACUCGCACUUACGCUAGUCUAAAAAAUCCAAAACUCGCCUGAGAUGGCCUACAAGUGACCCUAAUCAUGAAUCAAUUUUAAAAUCGAUAAAGUAAGGACGAAAAGGUCGGAAAUAAAAUCCUCCAAAUUUGGAAGGCUAAAAUGAUUCUAAGUCUUGAUACUUAGCUAAAAUUUUCUAAGUCUGGGACUCGUUAACGAGCUUAAAGGACUAAGUUAAGCUAAGAAUUUUGCGGGGUCUUACAAAGCAAUGGUUCAUCGGAAAGGUGUAUCACUUCGGAUCUGAGUUUCUGGAUGCAUCUGCAUGGCGUUUAUAGAGAAAAUAUAUUUUUUGUUUUUCUUUGGAUUUUUCGGAUUAAUAAAUUCCAUUUGUUUUUUCAAAUUUCAAAUAAACUUUUUCAAAAGAAUUAAUCUCAAUGAUUAAUUUCCAAAUCCAAAUCCCGAACCCAAACCUGGGCGACGAUGGCGUGAAAUAUCUCCUGGUUCUUGCCUCACUAUCCACUUAAAGGUGUGUUUCUUAAUAAGCACACAUGAAAGUUGCUUUCUCCCACCAAUGCGAGAGACGUAUACUUUCCUUAAAUGAGUACACUUUUCCUUCAUUUUCCAUUCAUACUAAUUAAACCAAACAACAAAUGCCAAGAGACCUUCAGGGGUCGUUUGGUAGGAAAAUAAAUUAUGCAGGGAUUAGUAAUAUAAGUAUUAGUAAUGCAGGAAAUAUUAAUACAAGGAAUGUAACGCAGAAAUUAUUUUUUUAUCAAGUAUUUGGUUCAUUGUAUUAAAAUCUAGAUACACCGUGUAUUAUGUUUGAUUUAUAAUUCUACAAGUAUGGUCAUUACAAAUAUGCCCUUGAUCUUUUUGUGAAUUCCUAUUUCAUUUAGCUAGACUUCUUAAAAAGGAAAAAGUCAUCGUUUCCACCUCAAAGUAUACAUUAAAAGUCACUUACACACCUAAACUAAUAUGGUGACCCAUUAGACACUUAUUCUUAAUAAAUAUGAAUUUAAUUUCACCCUAAAUCUGACAUGAAAAUAAAAUUAAUUUAAAAAGAAAAAGAGGAGCAUCUAAAGCCAAAAAUAUUCUUUAAAAUUCUCCACCCCCACUCAGAUUCUCUCUCCUUCAACUUUAUUUUUAAUUUUUUUCUGUUUCUCUCUCAAUCUUGUUUCUUCUUAUUUUUUUUUUCAAUUCACAACCACUCCUCCCUUUUUGUGGUUGAUGGAAAUUAUUUUUCCAUGAUAGUUUUUGGAGUGAAAAAAUAAAAAAUAUUAAGAAAUUGAAUCGACGUUGGUCAGAAAUUUUUUCGAUGAAACUUGUGAAAUUGAUCAAAUCUUAUUUCUCCCAUCAUCAAACUCAUCAAGUUAAGCAUCAAUUUUUUUUAUUUUAUUUUUAUAUUUAUGUUCUUUCUCUGUAAAAGUUUGUGGGUUUUGCUCAAAAUUCAAUCUAUACAUUUUUUGUAGAUAUAUCUUCUCUCUAUAAAAAUUCUCUUUCGAUUUGCUCAAAAUCAAUAACAGUAUAUUGAUGUAGAAUUUAGUUGUGGUGCAGGUGCGAAUUUGUGGUGAUUUUUGUAACUUUGGAUGUUAACAGUGGUGAUAUUGUGAUUCUGAUGGCAAUUUUAGUAGUGGAUGUUGAAUUUUAUGGUGGUUGUUUGUGAUUUUGUGAUACUAAUGGUUGUAUUGUGAUUUUGAUAAUGAAAUUCAUGGUGGAUUCUUAAAAUUAUUGUGGUGAAAAUUUGAGUUUGAUGAUGAUGAUGUCAAUGGUGGUGUUUUAAUGGUGAUUUUGAUGAAGAAGAAGCAAUGGUGACAUGGACUUUUAAAAAAAAUUGACAUAAUAGCUGAUGUGGUAAUGACAUGGCGAUGAUGUGGCACGAGUGUAAAUCACUCUCCAUCAUGUGAGUGGUUCUUUACGUUUCGGGAUGAAAAUAAAUUUACUUUUACAUAGUAUGGGUGCGUAUUAGGUCGCGAUAUUAGUUUAAGUUUAUAAGUGAAUUUUGGUGUAUAGUUUGAGGUGAAAACGAUGAUUUUUUCCUUCUUAUAAAAAAUUAAAAUAUGAAUAGUUCAGAUGCCUGAAGUGCAUAGAUCCUUCUUCAAAUGAUCUACGAACCUCUACCACAUCUUGAAAUGCAUAGUAACGUGAGACAUCAUUGUUAAAACAAUUGUUGGAACCUCAUAUACCCUUUUCUUUUAAUCUGUCGUUGUCCAUCUUCGAGGUCAUUUGUGUGUAUAUGUUGUUUUUAUCAAAUGUGUUUUUAUUACAUGGCUUAAGUCAUAGAUAAACACUUAAAGUUGUCCCAAAAAUUCACUUAAAUCCCUCAACUAAGGCCUAUCAGGCCUCUAACCACCCGAAUUUUGAUCCAAUCAAGCAUUUUUUGAAUAAUCAGCAAAAAGUGUAGAGAUACACACUCGCCUGAUAUAGCAAAAAUGACCAAUAAAAAAAACUAAAAAUUACACAAAUACACAACUUAUGUUUUCAAUAGUACAAAAAAUCCCAACUCCCUAAACAUAUUACAAAAAUCCCAACAUAUUCACAGAAUGUUAUGUAUAUGUCGGCUAUGUCAUGUAUAUUAAUAGAGAAAGAGAAUAAAGUAAUUAAAAAAAUAGGAUAGAGUGUAAUUACUUCCAAAAGGGUUGGUAUUUGUGUUAUUUGUUCAUAAAAAAAACACGUGGCAUACGAAUUUUUUUAAAAAAAACUAUAAGUUAGAAUCCAAUUAAAUAAUCACACAUGACAUGUGGGUCCAAAAAUUAUUGUCCCCCACACACAUUGUUACAACCUUAGGAGAACCACACCCCAAAAGCUAGUUAUUAAGGUGAGAGAGCCCAAGGUUAUAAAUAACCCACACUAAUACUUUGUAGUAGGAGAACCAUACCGCAAAAACUAAAUGUUAAUGUGGGAGGACCCAAGAUUAUAAAUAACUCACACCAAUACUUUGUAUUACCAAUGUGGGACUUUACAAUGGAUCAUAACAAACCACCACGCUCCGCAUCUGUCGUCCUUGACGACUCCACUCUGGGUAGCUUUCACUCUACUAAUGUAGGUAGCUCUUUCCCACUAGCUAUUAAGAUGAGAGAGCCCAAGGUUAUAAAUAACCCACACCAAUGUUUUGUAGUAUCAAUGCGGGACUUUACAAUGGAUCAUAACACACCCUCCCCUUAUCAUCUUCUUGUCCAAUUCUGUUAAAAUAAAUUCAAAAAAUUUUUAGCAAUCUUAUUCUUUAGCAAUCCAAUUCAUAUUUAUUGCUAUUUUUUCUUCUUCUUGUGUUGUGGAUUUUUUAGAGUUUGAAUUCUUUAACAAUAUCAAUAAAGUAAUCUCUAAGUCAUAUCAAGUUAGCCGGAAAAUGGAGUUUCGCCGCAAAAAAUGAAGUUUCCCAAUUCAAGAAUCAAAUUUGCCCCCAUGGCUUUUUUUUUCCUUUUUCUGGUACAUAAAUUCGUGAUUACAUAUAUGGCUAAGAGAUUGUUUGAUCUAUAAUCGGUCUUUUAUUGACGAAUAAAGAAUAUAUUGCAUAUAUGUUCAGCAAUGCCCGAUUAAAGAAAUGAAUUGAUGAAUUUAAAAAACUUACAAGAUUGUUAAGAAUAGGAGGUUUAUUGAUAAGAUUCUUUUUCUUUUUGAGGUAGCUUCAACAUUCUUGUAAAUUGGCUAAUAGUUGCAGGACUUUAAAAAGGAAAAAAAAUACAUAGAUGAAGGAUGAUGAAAAAGAUGGGUGGCUACUUUCCCUUUUAUUUUUUAAUUAAAAUUUGAUAUUAUUAAUGAAAUAGAUUGAAGUGUGAUUUUCUACAGCAAAUAUUUAUAUAUAUAUCAUUUGGUACUCUAUUUAUACUCCUAAGGAGAGUAAAUAAUACUUUUCUUGCCACAUCAGUACUUUGUGCUUGAUAGAUAUGAAAUUGAAUGGGUUAGAGGUCUGAUAGGUACAGCCUUAGUUGAGAGGCUAAGUAAAUUUUUAAAACAACUUAAAGUGUCUGUCGAUAACUUAAGUCUUAUUACGUUUAACUAAUUCUUCAAAGAAAUGAACAUACUGCAAGAUCUUGGCUACCUAGCACCCAAGAUAUUGCAUUGGAAUCAGACUUGAUGCGAGAAGGAUGGAGUAUUUCUGAAGUCAAGUUUUGACGAAGAAGAAGCCAUAAAAGGUCGUAAGGGGCAGAGCUAAUGUUUCGCUAGUUACUGUUGACAAUUUCACUGGUGGACUGGUCGGAGAAAACAGACCCUUCCUGGACUAAAGCUUGGUAGGCUAAAGAGUGGCUAGCAAGGAAUAUGGCGGGACGAGACCCAAUAUUGAGAGCACGGAGCAGGGUUCCAACUAGACGAAGGUCCUUCCAUUGCUGUCUUUCAUUUCCGCUACUUCUAUCAACACAAAAUAUAAGCUUUCAUUUUUCAUGUGUGUGCGUGUAGGGGUGGGCAUGGUAUGGUAUGAUACGGUAUUUAAAAUUUCGGUAUUCGAUUUUUAAAAAUAUUAUACUAUUACCAUACCAUAUUAAUUCAGUAUGGUUCAGUAUUUUGAUAUUUGAUUUCGGUAUUUUGCGGUAUGGUAGGUACCAUAGUUUGUACAACUUCGAUAAUAUAUACUCAUAUACUAGAGUAUUAUUACUUAAACUUUUCAAAAGCACGUCUAAAUUGAUUCAUAAAUACACAUUACAAAUGUAGAAAUAUUGAAAAAAAAAGUACAAACAAUUUCUCUUGUUAGUCAACUACACAAAAAAGAUAUUUCAAUCAAGAUAAAGUAGCAAAAGUUUCAAUGUCUAAAUAUUUUUAUAUUAAUACUAAGUAUUAUAUUUGUGUGUGUAUAUAUAUAUAUAACAAUUAUGUAACUAUAUAUACUUCGGUAUGGUAUUCGAUAUUUCGGUAUGUCAUUUGUAAAUACCGAAUAUCAUAUCAUAUACCAAAUAUCAUAAUAAUAAAAUCACGGUAUCAAAAAUUUUAAUUCGGUAUAUAGCAUACCAUACUCACCAGUCACCCCUAUGUGUGUGUAUAUAGAGCAGCAAAGGAGAACUAUUUUUGAUUCGGUAUAGUAAUUCGGUAUAUAGCAUACCAUGCUCACCAGUCACCCCUAUGUGUGUGUAUAUAGAGCAGCAAAGGAGAACUAUCUAUAGAUUCUGCGGCCGAUAAUAUGCAUGGCAUCGUGUAAUUUCACUUUUUUUUUCAUAUCUGUUAAUUAAUCCAUUAUAUUUUCUCCCUAUUAAUUUCAGUACAAAGCUUCAUGGCAAAAGUUUAAUCUGAAUUGCCAGAGCUCAGUCUACUAUGAUAUAGAUCCUGGCGUCUUUUACAUUAUCACCAACGUACUAGCCCCAUUUUCAAUUACACCAAACACAAGAAAUGAAGUUACUUCAUGUUGAACAAACGUUUUAGGCCAAGAAAGUUCAAUAAUACUUUGUGAUGUUGCAAUUCUUAAUAAUACUUCACAAAAGAUUUUAAGGAAUUCACUUUCCGGGGCAUGUUAAAUUGAAGACCCAGCAACGUCAUAUACUUCUUUCUGUGCCAUCUUUUUCAAGCUUUGUGCAACAGCAAAAGUCACAGCUUGAUGGCUUCUUAAAAUUUGGUUGAAUCAUUUUCUUAAUUUCACCUUUAUGAAUCUAACAAUAUUUGAUCCAGUCGUUUACUUUCAUUUCAAAAAGCAGAUCAUGUUUCCACACACAGAACAGACCAAAAAAGGCAUAUAUUAUAAAAUACAAUACAUUACAGUAAAGUACAAUAACAAGUAACAACCAUAGCAACCAUACAAACAAUCCGAGCACUUGAUUUUCCCACUAACUCAUACUAGGAGGGAAAUCCACAAGAGAUAAUAUGCAAAUAGAAAGAACCAAUUACCAAAUUCAAAGAGUGUUAACUCGGGGACAAAUACGAGCUCGUAGUGGAUUCUUCAUUACAACAGUGAAUUCUUGCUUCUCCGAGAGAUCAACACCAUAUCCUUCCACAGGAUUCCAUUGAAAAUGCCAAAUCAGAUUAGCCACAAAAUAUUCUAAAUGAAGCAUAGCCAACGCAUAGCCAGGACAUAUUCUCCUCCCUGCACCGAACGGCAUCAUCUUGAUCUCUCUACUUCCUGUUAUAUCAAAGGAUUCCUUAUCUGAUCCUUCCACUAAGAACCUCUCUGGCUUAAACUCCAAGGGAUCCUCCCACACAUUUGGGUCUAAGGCCAUGUCCGCAAGCAUGAAAUUGAUGGUCACAUUCUUUGGGAUUACAUAGCCGUUCAGUUCAACUUCCUCUGUCACCUUGUGUGGAAACAGAAUGUGACCAGGUGGGUGCCGCCUAAGGCCUUCCAAUAUCACUGCUUUCAAGUAGGGCAUUUUUUGCAAAUCUUCCUCCUUCACCACCUCUUCUGUCGACUCGCUCUUUUUUUCACCCACUACACUGGCAAUUUCUUGAUAUAGCUUGUCCUGAAUGGUAGGAUUUUUAACCAAGUUGGCCAUAAUCCAUUGCAAGGCAGUGGAGGUCGUAUCAGUUGCGGCGGUUAGGAAUUCAAUGCAGAGGCCAACGAUUUCUCGAUGAUUGAGUUUUCUUUUUUCAUCUGGCCACUCCAAAUUCAAUAGAGUAUCCACAUAACACGUCACAAAUUCAUCCUCCAACUCACCAUGCUCGGUUUUUUGUUCUUUGGCCUUGAUUCGUGCUUCAAUCAAAGGAAGGUAGGUUUUCUCUUGCUCUUGUCCUAGUUCAUAGAAUUCCUUCCAGAGCUUCCCAAAAAUUAGCUUUCCAAGUCUAGGAAAGAUAGCGAGUACUUUGAAACGUCGGAGUCCCAAGAGGAACUUCACUAGCAUAUUUUCAAUUUUUUUGAUUUGAGGUUCGUCAAGUUUGUCCCCAAAACACAUCAAGACAAGAAGACAGAACAUAGCAUACUGAAAAUGAUCAACUAACUUCACGGAAUCGUCUUGUUUGCCACGGAGCUGUUUAAGGAGGAUAUCCAACACCCAGGCUCGGGCUUUGGAAUAGGACUUGAUGCGAGAAGGAUGGAGCAUUUCUGAAGUCAAGUUUCGACGGAGCAGACGCCAUGUUGAGCCAUAAGGUGCACUGUUGAUGACGCGGGUUUCA
This 126128-nucleotide long non-coding RNA is filed under the name Capsicum annuum. RNAcentral's name for it is "long non-coding RNA (CANN_LNC004324)". Lineage: Eukaryota; Viridiplantae; Streptophyta; Magnoliopsida; Solanales; Solanaceae. The record is from RNAcentral.